AACGAUGCUAUAAUAACACAACAUAAGCCAUAUAUAAUAAUUCAAGCACGUUUAAAGGAAGUGAGGUUCCUUAAGUGCUUCAAUGGCUGAUCCGACACAGCAGCUUCAUAAUUGUUAGAAGAUGAACCUUCUUUGGCAGAAAGAGUGAGGUGGUAGUUGGUCCCUGCAACAACCUGUGAUUCACCUUUGAUAAGUUUCUCAAACUCCAAUGUUGCUCCUUUUUGCUUGUUGUACUCGACAAGUGACAACUGCGAAACGGGCUAUUUCAAUCGCAUAUGGAUCAGUGAUGUUCUUUAUGGGAGUCCAACUGCCUGGUAUAGCUUGAUUCAGAGUGGCCGAAGCAAACAAAAUAAGGAAGAGGAGACUAAGGGAUUGAAAUCUCAUGAUGUUUGUUUGGUAUUUUUUCAAGCGAAAUCAAGAUGGUAUGAGUUAGACUCUGUAGACUGGAAGAGUAAUUAUAUAUAAUGUACAAAAGUUAUGCCAUGUUUGGUGAUAGACUUUUUUAUUCAUUGAAAUAAAUCAAAAAUUUCAUUUGAUUUUAUUUCAUGAAAAUAAAAUAAAUUUCUUUUUUGACCAAAUAAAUAAAAUCUCUUUAAUAAUAUAUAAUAUUUAAUAAACCUACAAUUAGUUUAAUAGAAAAGUAUGGUCAAAAAUAUUAUAUUUAAUGUCAUUCAAGGAAAAUGUUGUCAAAAUAAAUAAAAUCUCUUUAAUAAUAUAUAAUAUUUAAUAAACCUACAAUUAGUUUAAUAGAAAAGUAUGGUCAAAAAUAUUAUAUUUAAUGUCAUUCAAGGAAAAUGUUGUCAAAAGUAUUAUAAAUAAUAUUAUUCUAAAAAAUGUCAUACAAUGUUUCUGUUUUUUUAUAUAUUUAUUUAUAUAAAACAUUUGAAUAAUAGGUUGUUCUAUGUUUUUUAUUUUAUCUUAAUAAAUGAUAAAUAUUUUUUUUUCAAUUUUUUAAGUAAUAAUGAUAAAUAUUUGUCUCCUAUAUUUUAUAAUAUUUGACAUGCACUUCCUUUCUUUGUCUCAAUGAAAUAUUUAUUCCUUGUUUAAGUUAAUAUUUAUUAGUGACAAGAUAUUUGUUCUGUGUCUUUUAAUUUAUUAGUACAAAUUAUAUAAUUCUAAAAAAAAUGAACAAUUAUUUUUUUUAUAAUAAAAUAAAUAAUCAAUAUUUAUUACUAAUAAAUUACAAAAUAGGAAACAAAAAGUUAUCAUUCAUGUAUAAAAAAGUGCAAGACAGUCAUUUUUCGUUAAUAUAAAAAAAAAUAGGACACAAAUAUUUAUUGUUGAUGCACAAAUUAAUUAAUAAAAUGUAAGUUUAAGAAAAGGAAACAUGUUUUUAACCUAUAGGUGAAAAUUGAAGACUAUAUCAUCAUAUAAAUAACCCGGUUUAAAUUUCUUUGACCCAUAAAAAAAACAAUGUAAAAAUAAAGGGAAUAUAAACCAUUAAAUUAAAGAUGUGUGUGACUGAAAUGGAGGAGGGUCUCCUUACCUUUUGUUGGUGCACAAGAUCAAGUCCAAGCUCAAAAGACAAACCACAUGAUCCAUGAGUACCAAAGACCAAGAACUAAGGUUUUGCGCAUAAGUAAAUACCAUGAUUGUAAUAUUUAUGAACCAUGGUCCCAAGAAAAAAGAAUUAAGGUUUCACCCCUUGAUUCCAUAUUGACAGUACCACCACAAUCUCUAGGGCUUGAUCCUCAAGCAAACCCUAGCUUUUGUCAGGUAUAAAUAACCACAAACUUUGAAUCUAUAAUGUAUGUUUGAGAGUGCUAACAUGAAUGAAUUAUGCAUAUGUAUUUGGUAUGAAUGAGUACAGAUGAAUCUCAAAUCAAAAGUCAAAUGAAAAGUAAAAAGGGGAGGGGAAAUUUUGGGGUAUGACAGCUUCCCCUAUUUAAUCAUCUUAAACCUGAAUGCGCGAAUUGCGAUAGCUUUUCGGGUAUUCAAGGUAGAAGAGGAUUAAAUAUCAAAAUAUUCAAAAAAAAGUCCCGUUGAGAAUGGUUGUAAUGUGAGAAGGUAAGUGUAUUGGGAAUAUCGAAUGAUAGGUAGACUUUUGUAGGUUCAUCUGAUGGGGAUUGACUGAAAUACUCUGUUGGGGAAAUAUAUCAGUCGCAAAGGAAAAACAUGAUAUGCGUGCUAUAUGCAAAGUAUGUUUAAUUUUUCAUAAUGCAUGAAAUUAUGUAUGCUAUAUAGAAAUAUGGGUUAUUUUAUGAUAGAUGAAUGAUAUUCACAAGGUUAAAAAAUUUCUGGUGUAAAGUAGACUUUGACUCACCGAUAGCCGCACCAAAGAACGUGUAAUGAAGGAAUGCUUUACGUUACCAUCACUGCUGGAUAUUUUCACUUGAUCCUGCUGGGGAGGAAAGUGUGUGAUCUAACCGGGAAUUCAUUGAGAUGCUCUUGUAUAUCAAGCACUUUCCAGGUAAUCAAAGCAACACACAAAUCUUUGCUUGUUCGUUUUCAAGGCUUCAUGCUAUGAGAGAAGCGACAUGAUUCCACAUGGUGAUGAAUUAUGCAAUUGUUAACCAGAUGCUCUUGUGGCGGGAGGUGGGAGCUUUAAGGCUAGGAUAAAGGUCAUAAAGAUGUGAUUCUCCGGCACUAACUUCAGGCUCAACAGUUGUUGUCACACCUCUGCGCUGUUUUGAAAUAGCGAGAGAACUUAUUCCUUAGUAGCCUACCUCUUCCCUAGUCUGUAGGGUGUCGGCAUGAAUUUGCCCUAUCAUAAAUUAUGAAGCAGACUUGUUAUGGGAAGAUCUUGAUCUGGCUUUCCCUAAUGUCUAGAAAUUGUAUCUCCUUGAUCAACCAUUUCCGGGAGUGUUUGACUUCUCGUGCUCAUGAGGUGGCAUGUCUCAUUAUGAGCCUUGAAGUGACUUUGUCCCUAGUUGGCUAAGCUUGGAGAGAUUUGUCUUCUCAAUGUGAUUGCCUCAGAUUGACUGAGUCUUGAAAUGGUCUUCCCUUCUUGUCAAGGGAAUGUUCAGGCGUUUUUCCCUUUGGUAUGAUCAAACUUCCCAUUAUGGAAAUUUUCUUGAUGUCAAAUGCUUGUUCGUAAGUAAAAAUGUUUAUUUUUCAAAUGAUAAUUCUAACGUUAUGUUUAUGUCAGUUUUGAAAUCCAAAUAUGGUCACUAAAAUUAUGACAUAUAAUGAAUGAAUCAUUAAUUAAUAUGUCAUAUCAAUACCAACAUAAAUGAUAAGUAAAUCUUUAAGAGUCAGUUUUACAUGAUCCUAAUGUAGUAUGCUUUUCGAAAUAAAUCCCUCUUAAAUUAGGUCUUUUGAGGGUUGUGAUGUGGUCUGGUUCACGGUUUCAGAAGUAAAGGAUAUAAGGCUCAAAACCUAUUCUAGCCCGCCCAUUCUCCUUGUGUUCUCCAGUCCUACGUUCAGCUAGCUCACACAAACGCUCAUUUUUCAAAAUGGAUUUUGAAUAGUAGAUGUGAUGGUUAAGGAACCCAUGAGAUUUUGAGAGUGACAAUCACCCACCUUUUACUUUUUCUUGUAUCCACACAAACUUUAUCUUACCGAGGAUUCUUGAUUCCUCUUUGUUUUUUCUUUUUUUUUUUGCUUUCCCUUAUUUUUGUCAGGACUAAUCCCUUUUUAAUCUUGCAGUCCAUCGGGAUGCCCUAAUUUUCUCCUAAGUCACUUAUUUUCAAGUUUUCGACUUAGCAGACUUUUCUUUUGCUUUUGAUUUCUUUGCAUUUCUCAUUUUUCUCUUCUCUUUUAAGAAAAAAUUCCAUGACAUUUGCUUGAUUUGUUGAAAGGGUUGUGACUGCCUCGCUCCUUUUGUUGUAAGGGACAACCAAUGAGGAUACUGCCGAUUCAAUCCUCGCCUGAGGGAUAUUAUGUGGUUGAUCCUUAGAUGGGAUACUCUCCUUUUUGAAAUUUGAAUGAACGGUCAACUACCUGAAGAUUACCUACCCCCAUUUAAGACUGAGGAUUUUAUGUAAAAAAAAAAACUCCUACUCCAAGGCCCAAAACGUUGAGUAGGGAUUAUCUUCCUUAUAUCUCUGGUGUUGAGGGAUUUGAAACAAUGUCUUACAUCGUCAAUAAGGUUUUAUUCAAAAGAAUACAACCAGUAGUCUCGUGUACUUUGAUUUCAUCAUUCUCUUUUCAUUUUUCUUAAACAAAAGUAUGAUAUUGAAAAAAAAAUGAGUGAACACGAAUGGAUUGAUUCAAAACAUGCAUAUUCAAUUCAUUAUGAUUAUUAUUAAAAAACAAACGAGUUUUUACAAGUGGAUAUUACAUUGACAAACAAGAAAAACUACAGAUGAAAAUGAAUGACAAAAUGAUCUUCGACGUUGAUCAGUCACCAUUUGUGCUAGAAUUUUCAUCAGUUAUACGUCAAGAAACCAGGUAAACUGUAGAAGUUUCAGCUUAAUUCUGGGUAAUUCGAGACAGUUUGUGUCUUAAUAGUAUUUUCUUGGUUUUAGUUUAUGUUAUCUAUUUUUUCGCUUUUGGUAUGACUGGCAUGUUGGAUGCAUGUAUAAAGGUACAAGGAAUCAAGGAUCAGACGCAGGACAGGGCCAGAACAAGGAUUCAAAGAAAAAAAGAAGAAAAAGUGCAAGCAUUUGCCAUACGCGUAUGUAGUCAUGUAAUACGCGUACGGACCCGCAUUGUACGUGCACCUUACAAUUUCUACUAGAAAGGAGAAAAAACUUGUUUGAUACCCUUACGCAUAAGAACAUAGGUGUUAUGCGUAUGGCCAUGAUUGUUACUCGUACGAUACGAGUUUCACCAGGAAGAAGAACAAAACAAGCUUUUGUCCAUAUGCAUAUCGUACGUGUAAGGGCAUGCUUGAGAGGCCACUAUAUUGGCGUACACGUAAUGUACGUCUGUAAGGAAUAAGGCAAUACGUGUAUAACACUAGUCAUUACACGUUUUGAAGCCCAAAUAUUCAGAAAGCCCAAAUUUUGAGUAUUUAGCUCCUGAACGCGAUUUUACAAGGGUUGGGCGAUUUUACUGAGAAAAAACACGUUCUAAGGCUGAAGAACUCAGAUUUUCAAGGUGGAUUCAGAUUUUCAAGAGCUUUCUGCGAUUGAAGACCAAUUCAUCUAAGAUUUCUGUAAUGAUAACAAUCUUUACCAUGUUUUCUUUUCUUUUUUAUGAGUAGCUAAACCCCUUAUUGCUAUGGGUGUCCCUAAUUCAUACUUGUCUUACUUUAUGCAAUAAUAAUAAUUUUUAUUAUAAUUGAUUUGUUCUCAUGAAUGUUCUAAUUUCUUUAUCUGUCGAACAAACGGAGUUUGAUGUAUGUGAAAUAAUUAGGCGGACCGCCAUUAUUCAUGAUCUGCUUGAGAAUAUAUCAUAGUAGAUGUCACCUAGGACUAGGGAUACCCUAUAAUAACUGGAUUAUUCUUGAUAUAAUAAUGCUUAAUUUCAUCUAUAAUUUUCUAUGGACAUAGUAAUUAGGUUGAAUGAUUAAAGGUUUUCUCACUAAGGACUUAGGAGUAAACAUCCUUAAGAACCGGUAGUCAAUUAUAUAAAAGUUGUUGUUGCACUGUUAGUUCGGAAUCGUUACAUGAUUGAAUCAUACACCUUCCCUUGCAUACUACUCAUAUUUGUCUUAAUUGUUCAAGUAUUUUAUUUACUUUAUUCACUAUUGCUUUUCUAAUUUCAUCAAAACAAUACCAAAACACCCAAUCUUUUGUUUAAUUGAAAUUAAUCCAGAACUUUGUAUCUUCAAGUAGUCCUUGAGAUCGAUACUAGGGAUUUACCCUUUUUAUUACUACAUUGGCAUAUUAGUACACUUGCUAAUUUACUGAUCAAGUUUUUCGCACCAUUGUCGGGGACUGCCAAAGAGUAUAGAGUUCAUAGAUCUAUUUCAGUUAAAAUUGUGUUGCUUUGCAACUAAAAUUUAAAAUUUCAGUUUAUUUAUUUAUUUAUUUAUUAUUUUUUAUUAUUUUUUGUGGCUAUUGUUGGGUUAUAACUAAUAUUUGUAUGUGAGGAAAGCCCUCAACUGAUUUUACUUUUGAAGCAAGGUUGGUCGCCUCUGAAGCAUAAAUUUCUGAAUACUCAGAUACAUAAUCCCACAGAGAAAGAGAAGAUCCAAUUAUGUAUGAACCAUAAGAAAGACUUCUUGGGGAUUAUGGAGGAGAAAAUUCCCCAUUGGUAUGUUUAACUAUAGCGAAUCAACUACUGAAUGUUCCAAAUUUUCCGUUGUACCCAACAACCAUUCGUCAGCUUGAGAAAAGGCCUUUCGCAUGGAAAAACAAUGAAGAUGAAAAUAAACAUCUACAAAGGUUUCUUACUAUGAGCACUACUUUGAAUAUUGAGGGGAACACUGAAGAAGCAAAAAAAUUGAGAAUGUUCCCAUUCACUUUAGCUGAAGACGCCGAAGAAUGGUAUUAUUCAUUGCUAGCUGGAAGUAUUACUACAUGGGAACAGAUGGAAACAACUUUUCUAAAUGAGUACUUUCCGGAUUCUGUUUAUAAAGAUAAGAUAUUGUGAAUUUUAAGCAGAAAGAAGGGGAAUCAAUGGGUGAUGCAUAUAAGAGAUUUAAAAGGUUAUUGGUUGCUUGUCCCACUCACAACUUGGAUCAGACUGAAUAGAUGAAAAUGUUUGUUAACGACCUCAGAUUGAAGACUAAGAAACUUAUUGAUACAUCUUUCGGUGGCUCGGCCAACUUUACAACAUCCAUUGUUAUCAAGAAGAUAAUAGAAGCCAUUGCUGCAAAUGAACAUCUAGAGUUAUAUGACCGAAGUGUGAGUAAACUAGAAGGUGUGAUUGAUUUAAAAGUUGUAAAUCAGAUUGUGAAGAUGGAAUACCAAGUUGUUGUUGAAGUUGGGAGAAGACUUAAGGCUAUGAAUAUAGGUAUUCAACAAGUAUCCCAAUUCAACCUGUUCCAGCAGUUGAUUGUGAGAUUUGUGGAGGACCCCAUUUUCCCAUGCAUUGUGUUGCAACUACACAAUAAAUUAAGGAAAUAUUUUUUUUGAAGCAGGACAACCCAUAUUGUAACACAUAUAAUUCGGGCUGGAAGAACCAUCCAAAUUUCUCCUGGAAAGAUCAGCAAGGGAAUGUUCAAAAGCAGGGUCUUACUCAGUAUCAAAAUCAACCCCAUCAAUAUCAGAAUACACAACACCAACAACAGUAUCGACCACAGCAACAACAACAGUAUCGACCACAGUACCAACCACAACAACAACAAUAUCAAGAACAAGCACCCAAAAUGGCCGAUUGGGAAAUUUCCAUUGAAAAGAUGGUAGCUCAAAGUUCCCAGUUCCAAGAAGAAACAAGAAACAAUCAGAGAAACACUACGACUUCUAUAAAAAAUCUGGAGGUUCAGAUGGGUCAGAUAGCACAACAAAUAGCAGGUUCUCAAGCACAAGAUUCCCUACCUAGUGCAAGUAUGACAACCCCGAGAGACCAUAAUAAUGUUAGUGUAGUGACAACAAGAAGUGGGAAAUCACUUGAAGUGUCUGAAGACAAAUCAAAGGAAGAGGACCAAUUGUUUGAAGUGGAGCUAGAAAUCAAAGAAAACCAGACUACUAUAGAGGAAAAGGUCACACCAAAAUAGGUUGUAAAAUAAAAACCCACAUAACAAAAACCAAUCAUCAAACUACCAUUUCCUACAAGGAACGGGAAGAAGGACCAAAAUGAGAAAAAAUUGAGAAGAUCCUAGAGAUGUUUAGAAAGCUAGAAAUCAACAUUCCAUUCUCUGAGGCACUUAAGUUGAUGCCCAUAUAUGCAAAUUUCAUGAAGGAUAUUAUCUCAAAGAAAUGCAUGAUUGAAACUGAACCUAUAUUGCUAACUAAAACUUGUAGUUUUAUUUUGCAGGGUAUGAAGAUCCCAUUCAAAAAUAAAGAUAGAGGUUUUGUCACUAUUCCAUGCACCAUUGGGGAUAAAUCAUUCAAAAGGCACUUAUUGAUUUAAGAGCUAGUGUGAGCCUUAUGCCUUUAUCCAUAUACAUGAAGCUGGGAAUAGGAACGGUACAUGAUACCAGGAUGACACUCCAGUUUGUAGAUCAUUCAAUAAAGAGACCUUAUAGUGUAGUUAAAGAUGUUCUGAUUAAGAUAGAUAAAUUUGUGUUCCAUGUUGAUUUUGUGAUCCUUGAGAUGUCGGAGGAUGAAGAGAACCAUUUGGUUAUGGGAAGACCUUUCCUAGAAAUAGGGAGAUGUAUGAUAGACAUUAAGGAAGGAACCAUGACCCUCAAAGUUUAUGAUGAAGAGCUAAAGAUUGAUGUGGGAAGUAUCAUGAGACACAAAGAAGACGUGGGGAAAAGUAAUGCAGUGGAGGUGAUAGAUAAAAUGGUAAUAAAAAAUAUUCAAAGCCAAGUCCAUAUGUUACCUUUGAAAAGAGUUCUUAGCUUGUCCGCCCAGGAAAUAGAGGAUAAUAAGGAUGAAAGAGAGAGGGAAGUUCUAGCCAUGUUAGAGGUAUAACCACCGUGGUUGAGAUCCAAACCACAACGGUGGGAAUAUUUAAGAGCUCCACAAGGAGUUGAGACUAAAAAGGAAGUUAAAAUAGAUACAGGUGCAUAACUUAAACAAUUAACUAAAAAUAUCAAAUAUGUCUUUCUGGAUUCUGAAAAUAAUUUUCUUGCAAUAAUAAGUUAUGGGUUGCAAGCAAAAGAAGAGGAAAAAUUGGUACAUGUGUUGAAGAAAUACAAAAGUGUUAUGGGAUGGACCAUUGGAUACUUGAAAGGGAUUAUCCAUAUAGUAUGCAUGCAUAAAAUACUGAUGGAGGAUAAUCACAAACCAGUGGUACAACCCCAAAGAAGGAUGAAUCCAGCACUGAAGGAGGUUGUGAGAAAAGAAGUGGUGAAGUUAUUGAAUGCAUGGUUAAUCUACCAUAUUUCUGACAGUUCAUGGGCGAGUCCAAUACAUGUGGUACCAAAGAAGGGAGGAAUAACGAUGAUUCUAAAUGAGAAAAAUGAAUUGAUUCCCUCUCGCAUAGUAAUAGGAUGGAGAAUGUGUAUUGAUUACAGGAGGCUCAACAUCGCAACAAGGAAAUAUUACUUUCCUCUUCCUUUUAUUGACCAUAUGUUAAAGAGACUUGCAGGUCAUGAAUACUACUGCAUUUUAGAUGGAUAUUCAGGGUAUAACCAGAUUGUUGUAUCCCCGGAAGAUCGGGAGAAGACAACGUUCACAUGUCCUUAUGGUAUUUUUUCCUAUAGGAGGAUGCCAUUUGGGUUGUGCAAUGCCCCUGCUACUUUUCAGAGAUGUAUAUUUAACGAUAUGCUUGAAAAGCACAUGAAGGUGUUUAUGGAUGAUUUUUCUAUAUUUGGAUCCUCUUUUGAUCACUAUUUAACUAAGUUAUCUCAGGUUUUGGAAAGGUUCCAGGAAACUAACCUUAUUCUUAAUUAGGGAAAAAUUACAUUUCAUGGUACAUAAAGGUAUAAUGAUGGGUGAUAAAAUCUCCCACAAGGGGAUAGAAGUUGACAAAGCGAAAGUGAAAGUAAUUGCUAAUAUCCCACCACUAGUAAAUGAAAAGGGGAUAAAGAGUUUCUUAGGACAUGCAGGUUUCUAUCCUAGGUUCAUAAGAUAUUUUUCCAAAAUUGUUAAGCCUUUGACAAAUAUGCUUGUUAAAGACAGGUCUUUCACUUUUGACUAUGAGUGUAGGGUGGCAUUUGAGACCUUAAAGAGUAAGUCGGUAUCUGCACCCAUCGUGAUAGCCCCAAAUUGGUCUCUACCUUGUGAAGUCACGCCCCUUCAGAUAUAUGUUUUGAUGAAGUAAACUAAUAUGCAUGUGUAUCAAGAAAGGAUGAGCAAAAGAUUAAGAAGGUUGUGAAUCAUGAUUUCUACUUCAUGAAGAUUAGCUUUGUUUGAUUGAUCUUCAUAUUUUAUUGGUACAAGUUUCAAUUCAAGCCUUGAUAUAUUUUAAGUGCUCAAAAUUAUCUACAUUUUCAUACAUAUGCACAACAAUCAUUUUAUCACAUUGCCAUUAGUUUAAAACAAGUUUAAACAAUUAUUUUUCACUUUUUUCUUCAGUAUAACCGGUUACAUGAGCAAGGUAACCAGUUACAUGAACUUUGGCAGAACUGGAUUUUAAUGUUUUUUACAAUUUUUAAGUGAGGUAACCAGUUACAUCACUGAGGUAACCGGUUACAUGGACAUAUUUUUUGAAUUUUUUUAAAAUUACAAUGAGGUAACCGGUUACAUCCCUGAGGUAACCGGUUACAUCGCUGAACCAUUGCCUUUUUCAGUGCAAAACAUUUUUAAACGUUUUCAGCUUUUACACCAUUAAACCAUUGUAUUGUUUGAUCAAUUCCUACUCUUUGAAAAUGGUGUAAUUCUCCUAUAAAUACUCUAAUCUUUCAGAUUUCAAAUCACCUCUUUCAUUUGCAAUUUCAAAUCAUUUAUUAUCUCAAUUUUUAAACAAGUGUUUUGACAUUAACAUUUUCAUUGAUAUUUUUCUGCACACUUUAUCAAAUCUGUCCAGAAAAGUUUCAGCAUUAUUCGUAUACUUUUGAGCACUUGUAUAUCUUGGUAAAUUUCUUACUUGAAAGAGAAGAUCAAUCAUAGUGAUAUAUAUAUAUAUAUAUAUAUAUAUAUAUAUAUAUAUUCAAACACUUUCUUUACUCAAUAUUUUUCCAGAUUUGGUUGUAUAUCCUUGUUGUCUAGGAUUUUGUAUAUCUUGGUAAAUUUCUUACUUGAAAGAGAAGAUCAAUCAUAGUGAUAUAUAUAUAUAUAUAUAUAUAUAUAUAUAUAUAUAUAUUCAAACACUUUCUUUACUCAAUAUUUUUCCAGAUUUGGUUGUAUAUCCUUGUUGUCUAGGAUUGUUGAAAGCAAGAGAGUCAUUAAGAGGGGAUUGUUCUCAUAGUAGACUUAUUAAAAAAAUCCAAGAGGAUUGUUCUUGGUGGUUUGUUAGAGUCGUUUGAAAGUCCUAAUAAUAGUAAAAUCUCUUUCAUGUUGAAAGGGGAAUGAUGUACUCUCGAUCUGUGAGGGGAACCAGGAUAUCUCUCUGUAUUCUUUAUCUUUUCAGCAUUUACCGUGUGCAUCACAUAGUAAUCUCUAAGGAAAGAUUCUUAAAACAAGUCAAAAGCGAAAAAAGUUUCAUCGUACCUAAUUCACCCCCCUCUUAGGUGCACACUCAACUUACAUUUGGUAUCAAAGCGGGUUAUUGGUAACUUGCUCCUUAGAUCCAAAAGAUGGCUUCCGCAAGCGCAAACCCGAUUUUCAAAGAUGGUGGUAGUAGCAAUAAACCCCCUCUAUUUUCUGUAGAAUAGUUUGACUUCUGGAAAAUCCGCAUGAAUGCAUAUUUAGAAGCACAAGGAGAUGGUAUAUGGGAAAUUGUUGAAAAUGGUACGCAUAGUCCAAUUAGUGUGGUCAAUGGUGUUGGCACUCCUAAGGUUAAAAGUUCCUAUGAUGAAAAUGAUAAGAAAAGAAUACUCAAUGAGAAGAAAGCUAUCAAUAUUCUUCAAAGUGAAUUAAUUAUGGAUGAGUUCUUUCAUAUAUCUCAAUGUAAAUUGGUAAAAGAAAUAUGGGACACUUUGGUGGAGACUCACGAAGGAACCGCUGAAGUUAAAAGUUCCAAAUUAAACACAUUGAGUCAAGAAUAUGAAAUAUUCAGAAUGCAGCCCGGAGAAUCCAUUGUUGCAUUACAGAAAAGAUUUAUUCACUUGAAGAAUCAUUUAAUUGCUCUCGGAAAGACCUUUACAAAUUAUGAUCUCAACCUUAAAGUGCUAAGAUCCUUGACUAGAGAAUGACAACCAAAAGUAACGGCUAUAUCGGAAAAGAAAAGUAUUUCUACCAUGACGUCUGCAUCAUUAUUCGAAAAACUCCAAGAACAAGAACUUGAACUUAGAAGACUUGAAAAGAAUGAAAUUCAAGAGAAGAAAUACAAAGGCAUUGCUUUGGAAGUAGACUCAAAGGAAGAUAAAGAUGAUGUCGUACCAGAGGAAGAUGAAAAUUUCAUGCUCCUUGUCAAAAGGCUUGGUAAGUUUUUUGGUAAAAAUGAUAAAUCCUUUUAUGCAAAAACAAAUAAACAUCUGCACAAAAUGUCACAUGCAAUGAUGUGGAAAGCAGGGUCAUAUAAAGCAGGAUUGUCCGAAACUCUCCAAGAAAGGUGGCUUCAAAGGCAAGAAGGAAUUCAAGAAUAAAAAGGUGUAUGUUGCAUGGGAAGAUAAUGAGAUAAGUUUAUCAUCUGAGUCAGAAAGCGAGGAAUGUGCAAAUUUAGCAUUAAUGGCUUCACACCAUUCUGAUGAUGUAGAAGAUAAGGUUAGUAACGAAUUUUCUCUUUAUAAUAGUGAUGCACAAGUUGUUAUAAACGAACUUCUUAAAGAAUGCAAUUUUUUUAUAUAAAACAAUAUCAUCACAAAACAAACUAAUUUCAUCUCUAGAAGAAAAAGUCGUGACAAUGGAAAAAGAUGUCGAUGAUUGUUGUACCCCAAAAUUUACCCUCCCUUUUUCUAGUUUUCCAUUCAACCACUUGACUUGGGGAUCAUUUGAAUACAUUCAUAAUUCAUUCAUAUGCAUAAUUCCUCCACUAGUGGAUUAUCAUGGAUCCAAAACUUUUGGCUUGUGAAGCUAGGAUUUGUGUGGAGAUCAAGUGUCAAAAGCAUGGUCUGACUAUCGCAUCCAGCAUACGAGAUGUGAAACCCUAAUUGUUUGGUGGUGGAGGCAUGGAUUCAACAAGGGGUUGUCCAGGAAAUCCUCAGGGGUCUUCAAAACCAUAAUUCCUCAAGAUAUGAUGAUGGGAUCCUAUGGAGCGUAUGAGACAUAUUAUCUACUACCGUUAUAUGGGUAAAAAUGUACGAAUCCUACUCGACUGAGGAAGAAAAAGACUUCAACUGAAGAGUGCAUGAGACAUAUUAUCUACUACCGUUAUAUGGGUAAAAAUGUAGAUAACAUACUCGCAUGGAAGAUUAUCCACAACCGGUUACUGGGUUAAUAAAGGAUAAAUCGACCAAAAAGAAAGGACAUCGGGAUACCAGUUAUUGGGUAUAAAAUGAUGACCAAUCAGAAUGGAGAAACAAUCAUUACCAAACAAGGGUAAAUGAAAGAUGACUCGCUAGGGAUAAAUUGCCUGACAAAAGCAAUUAUCCAAGAGAUAUAUCACCGGUUAUUGGGUGAUACACUCAAAACGAAGGAAUAUCAAUAUCGGUUACUGGGUAAAGAUAACCAACAAAGAGGGGAUUAUAUCUACCGGUUACUGGGUAGAAAACCAUAGAAAUAGGAUUUACAACUACAGGUUACUAGGUAGAAGGCCACAAAAUCUGCUGGGGAAAGGAUGAACAACUACUGGUUACUGAGCAAUUGAACAACUAAACCACAGGGAACUGCAGGGGAUAACAAGAAAGGAAAUAAAUCUAGGAACAAACUAGAAAGACGCAAUCAAACAAGACUCAACCCGAUGAGGAUAUAACUCAGGGGAGUAAUUCCAUCCCGAUACACAACUGGGGAGGAAACUAAAACAAUAACCAUCCACGAGGACAUAACUCAGUGGAGAAGAAAGAAGGAAAGAUAAACACUUUCUGCCUAUGGGGCUGACUCUAUAUGGAGAGAUCAGACACAAACAUCUGCUUGGGGAAGAACACUUCACUAAUAGCAGGAGAUAACAAGCAAAGAUAUAUGGCAAAGAAUGCAUCAUGAAUAUCUGAAUGCUAUGAUUAUGCAUGUAUAUGCAUGAUUUGUGUAUGAUUAAUGCUGACAAACAGACAUAUCUAACACAAACAAGUCCAAGAAUCACGAACAGACACUCGGCAAACGUCUCGACAAGAAGGGCGAAGCCUACUGGAGAACUCAUCUUGGGAACAACCCGAGAAGGAUGAAAAUAAAUCAUCAGGGAUAUCAAACCCUAUCCCAAAGCUACACUCGCUGAGGAUACAAAGAAGAUGUAUUCAGGAGCAGCGAAAGAAGAUGAUCAAACAGAGAGCUCAACUCUGAUGGGGAUCAUCUUUGGAAUAAGAAUGAACAAGGGAAGACUUUAACCAUAGCUGGGAAUAAGCAAAGUCAAAGCUUCCAAUUGUAGGAAACAAAACUCCGCACAGGAGAAAUCUCCUAGGGGCAAACAAUCCUGACAAAAGGAAGAUGCAAAAGAAUUUGCCGGGGAGUUUCCAUCAACUCUCUUGGGGACAGGUGGUUAAAACAAAAUAAAAUCCUCCGAAGAAGAAACUCUAUUGGGGAAGCUUAUCAAGGAAUGAUGUAAAACUCUGUGGGGAACAACCACCAACCGGAUGUACACCAAUCAAAACACUCCUUUCUACCUGCCGGAGAGGCAACUCUGCAAAGGGGGAUAAUAGUAUUUUACUCUACUGGAGAAGGAAGUAAACACCUUCACCACCUGCUCUCUAUGCUAGAAGAAAUCUUCAGACUCGGAGGAGAUACAAAUAUCAAACUUUGAUCUGGAAACCCUAAUGGGGACACGUUGUAAAUGCUCUCGAGGAAACCAUCCUGGCUGGAGAAAACGGAAAUGAAUCCUUCAUCCACAAGAGACAUACCGGGGAUACUUCUUUUCAAAAUGAGAUGGGAAAUAAGCCCUUCAUCAACUGGCGACUUUACUGGGGAAACAAUUAUCACAUGCUUACUCCCCUGGAGAUUCCUACUCAGGCUGGGGAAAAACGACCUUCCUUGUGAGUAGAAAGUCAGGAUAGUGAGACAAGGAAUAUUCUCCACUCAAAGCAAUAUCAACUUUUAUCAAUCUAUAAGGGAUUUUAGGUCAGUCCACACAAGGGAUGACAACCAUACAAUAGAUAAAACACAAACGCUAGUGUCAGACUCUUUGGGAAACUGAUGAUGUAUUAUUCUUUCUGCGCUCGCUGGGGAGACAACUUGAACACCGAUGAAGAGGAUAUAAGAAUGCCAGAAUAUGAACAGAUGUCUUACCCUUUGGUGAUCAUACUAUCCUUGGGAAAGCACUAAGGACAUCCCACUUAUCCUUUCAAUCAUUGUGAAUGUUUAUUUUGUUUAAAACAAUUUAUUUAUGAAAAUUUUAUUUGUUUAAAACAAUGAUAUUUAUCAAUUACUCACAUGCAAACAUUUGUUAAACAGAAACAAAUAAGAGUGCAAAGAAUUGGAUAAAGGCUCAAAUUUAUUUAAGAGAAUGGUAGUCCGCAAAUGGCAAGACUCCAUGGAUCUUUACAAAUUUGAAGUUGGUGAUAUACAUGGAAAAAGGGCUACACUGAACAUAAUGAUCGUUUCUCCAUCAACUCGGAAUCCACGGUAUUCGAAAUUUCGGUUGAUGACGAUUGAGCGAGAAUCUUUGACAGAUGACAGUUGUAGAACAAAGUCUUGUCAGGAUGCAGUUACUUGCCAAAUCCCUAAAUUUUUUCCCCUAAAUUGCCCCAGAGUGAGGUACUCAAUCUAGCGGGAUAUAUAUAUUCAUUUUUCAUGUCUCUAACUUUUUCCUGGAUCGACCUUUCGGGUUUUCAAUCCACCGAGAUGCUCAUUUUUGCCUAAGCCGCCCUUUCGGGUUUUCAACUUAGCGAGCUAUUCUGUUUUUAUUUUUAGGCGAAGUAUUUCUUGACUACAUCUGAAUUCACAUGACGAGUGAAAUCCUCCCCAUCCAUAGUUGUGAGCAACAGAGCAUCACCUGAAAAGGCUCUCUUAACAACGUAUGGACCUUCAUAGUUUGGAGUCCACUUGCCCCUGGAAUCGGACGCGAAAGACAAGACUUUCUUGAGCACGAGGUCACCUUCUCGGAACACGCGAGGCUUGACCUUCUUAUCAAAGGCUUCCUUCAUCCUUUGUUGAUAUAACUGAACAUGGCACAUGGCAGUUAACCUCUUCUCUUCAAUCAAAUUCAGCUGGUCAUAACGAGGCUGAACCCAUUCAGCCUCAGUCAACUUGGUUUCCAUCAAGACUCUCAUUGAUGGGAUCUCGACCUCUACGGGGAACACAACCUUCAUGUCGUACACAAGGGAGAAAGGGGUUGCCCCUGUUGAAGUGCGGACGGAUGUACGAUAGCCAUGCAAAGCAAAUGGCAGCAUCUCAUGCCAAUCUUUGUAAGUAACAACCAUCUUCUGAAUAAUCUUCUUGAUGUUCUUGUUAGCAGCUUCAACAACCCCAUUCAUCUUGGGUCUAUAGGGAGAAGAAUUAUGAUGCGUAAUCUUGAACUCACUACACAGCUCUUUCAUCAUCUUAUUGUUUAAGUUGGAUCCAUUAUCAAUAAUGAUUCGGUCUGGCACACCAUAUCGGCAUAUGAGUUGGUUCUUGUUAACCUCACAACCACCUGCCUGGUCACAUUUGCAUACGAUGCCGCUUCAACCCACUUGGUGAAGUAAUCAAUGGCUACGAGAAUAAAACGGUGACCGUUCGACGCCUUAGGUUCAAUCAUGCCAAUCAUGUCUACGAUGCCGCUUCAACCCACUUGGUGAAGUAAUCAAUGGCUACGAGAAUAAAACGGUGACCGUUCGACGCCUUAGGUUCAAUCAUGCCAAUCAUGUCAAUUCCCCACAUGGAGAAAGGCCAUGGUGAAGAAAUAACAUUCAUAAGUGUUGGGGGAACAUGAAUCUUGUCCGCAUAGAUCUGACACUUGUGGCAUUUCUUCAUAAACUUGCAGCAGUCAGACUCCAUUGUCAGCCAAUAGUAGUCUGCUCUCAACAUCUUCUUUGCCAUGGCAUGUCCAUUAGAAUGAGUACCAAAUGAACCCUCAUGGACUUCAGUCAUCAACAGGUUUGCUUCGUGUCUAUCCACGCAUUUGAGCAGAACCAUGUCAAAAUUCCUCUUGUAAAGCACAUCACCAUUAAGGUAGAAACUGCCAGACAAUCUCCUUAAAGUCUUCUUAUCUUUAACAGAUGCCCCAGGCGGGUAAGUCUGACUUUGGAGAAAAAACUUGAUAUCAUAAUACCACGGCUUAUCAUCUUUUACUUCCUCCACUACAAACACAUGAGCUGGUCUAUCCAAGCGCAUCACGGUAAUAUUUGGGACUUCAUUCCAAUAAUUGACAGCAAUCAUUGAAGCAAGCGUUGCGAGAGCAUCCGCCAUCCGAUUCUCAUCUCGAGGAUUAUGAUGAAAGUCAACUUUAGUAAAUAAAGUCGAAAUCCUCCUCGUAUAAUCUCUAUAUGGGAUAAGGCCAGGCUGAUUCGUCUCCCAUUCACCUUUAAUCUGAUUAACAACAAGGGUCGAAUCGCCAUAAACAUCAAGAUGUUUGAUCCUAAGAUCAAUACAUUAUUCCAGACCCAUAAUACAAGCCUCAUACUCCGCCAUAUUAUUCGUGCAUUUGAAAGUUAGCCUUGCUGUAAAAGGAAAAUGUGUGCCUUGAGGAGUAAUAAUCACUGCCCCAAAUACCAUUUCCAUAUUGAUUGACAGCGCCAUCGAACACCAUACCCCAUCGGGAACCAGGCUCUGGCCCUUCAUCGAGCGUAGGCUCAUCAUAAUCUUUCAUUUUCAAAUACAGAAUCUCUUCAUUAGGGAAGUCAUAUUGCACAGACUGAUAAUCUUCAAUUGGUUGAUGCGCCAAAUGGUCAGCCAAGAUACUACCUUUAAUAGCUUUUUGAGCUCGAUACUCAAUAUCAUACUCAGACAACAACAUCUGCCAACGGGAAAUCCUCCCCGUUAAAGAAGGCUUCUCAAAGAUAUACUUGAUCGGAUCCAUUUUGGAUAUCAACCAAGUUGUAUGAUUCAACAUAUACUAGCGUAAACGCUUAGCAGCCCAAGCCAAAGCACAACAUGUCUUCUCAAGUGUUUAGUACCGAGACUCACAGUCGGUGAACUUCUUACUCAAGUAGUAUAUUACAUACUCUUUCUUUCCUGAUUCAUCUUGCUGACCAAGGACACAACCCAUGGAAUCAUCAAGCACAGUCAAGUACAUAAUCAAUGGUCUCCCUUCAACAGGCGGGGACAGAAUCGGAAGCUCGGACAGAUACUCUUUGAUACUAUCAAAGGCCUUUUGGCAAUCCUUGGUCCAAUCAUGACGUUGAUCUUUCCGGAGGAGCUUGAAUAUAGGCGCACAUGUGGCGGUCAUGUGGGAUAUGAAUCUCGAAAUGUAAUUCAAGCGGCCAAGAAAACCUCGGACUUGCUUCUCAGUUUUGGACGCAGGCAUCUCUUGUAUUGCUUUGACCUUGGCAGGAUCAACUUCAAUACCUCUCUUGCUGACAAUAAAGUCCAAUAACUUGCCGGAACGGACUCCAAAUGUACACUUAUUCGGAUUCAAGCGGAGUUUGUACUUCUUCAAACGUUGGAAAAGCUUCAACAAGUGUUCUACAUGUUCAACUUUCGUUUUCGACUUUGCAAUCAUAUCAUCGACAUACACCGCAAUCUCCUUGUGCAUCAUAUCAUGAAAACCUCCACCAAGUGAAUAUGCUUGCAAAUUAACUUGUUAAGGAAUAACUCCACACAAGUCAACAAGACUAUGCCAUUCUCCUAUCAUAAGUGCACUCGAGUUCGGGUAUAGAACUCAUCUCACAAGAAACCACCAAGCAUACAAGCAAUUGAUAUAUUGACUAUGCCAUUCUCCUAUCAUAAGUGCACUCGAGUUCGGGUAUAGAACUCAUCUCACAAGAAACCACCAAGCAUACAAGCAAUUGAUAUAUCAAGCAAUUCAUACAUUACAAAUAAUACAUUCAUCCCAAAUUUGCACAAAAAUAUGCCACAAAUAAAUAUAAACAUACAACACAUACAAGCAAAAAGUAGGCUAAACCCACUGGGGCGUCUUUCCUCAGCAGAGUCGCCACUUUUCUGUAGCGGGGUUUUCGUUACCUUUAGGUUUAUUUACUAAACCAAAAGUCAACAUACAAUUCGAGUUGCCACCACACUUUUAUUUGUCCAAAGGAAAGGCUAAAAAGCGAACAAAAGUCAAGUAAGAAAUUUUUCAAAUCAAAAACCAAUAAAAAUGUUAGAGAUCUAGGUAAGGAGGUUGGUUAUGAAAUGGGAAGGCUUUACGCACCCAAAACAUCCUUAGUACUCUAAGGGAACCCUUUUUGCAAAUAUGUGUUGUAGGUUGGUAUUUGUGAAAAGUUUUAUACAAAAGAUUAGAGGGAUGAGAAGAGAAUAGAUUAUAUUUACAAAUUUUGUUGUUUGAAUGGAUGAAUCCAUUGCCUACGUACCAUCACAAAGGAGGAUCAAAACCUCGUAGUUCGGGGUAAAAAUCUCAAAGAUUGGUGAAUUGAUUUGAUCAAAAGCCUUAAGGUCUUUUGUUAUCAAAUGGAGAAAACUCAACCUAAACCAACAAUCCACCAUGUGAGGAAGGCUUCAACAUGCUAGUGAGGGGUUAACCCUAUAAUAAGCAUGGAAGACUUAUAGUCCAACACUAAGGAUGAGGUGAGAUUUACAUCAACCACUAUGAUAACUCAAACCUAUGACUAAUGUUUUGAAAAGGGUUUAACAAGUGGCCAUUGGAACCACAAAACAACUUGAAAUGGAUUGUAUUUACAAAUUAGAUUUAUUUACAAAAUGAAGUCAAAGUUGAAUUAAAGUUUAUUUACAAUGAGUAUUUAUGAAAAUGGUUUUGAAAAGUCAAAGGCAUAAGGCCUAAGUUUCUAAUUUAAAACAAAGUCAAAGUUUUUAAGAUGAUUUUUGGCUUGGUUAGAGUGGGGAGAAGAAGAGAAGGGCUAUUCCUAAAGCAUACAAAGAUAAGAGGGGAAAGAUAAACCCUUGGAUUUGCUUUUCUUGAAGUCAUAUAGAUGACUCAAGAUGCUCCUUUCCCUUGGACUUAGCACACAAACAAGCAAUCAAUAAUUGAAUUCAAGCUCCUAGGAUCAUCCAUUUGGCUUGUCUCUUAACUUGGCUAGUCAUGACAAUGGUCAUCUUUUCACAAUCUCAAGAUGGAAUUCCUAUCACACAAAAGCAAACAUCAAAAAGUUCACAGCACAAUAAAGGGAAUGGACAAAGAAUAAGUCUGAGGAGAAGUCCUUUGAGAUCAACUUUGGAAAUUUUAGCAUUCUAAAGGCAUGAGGCCUAGUUGCUCUUCAACAUAUUUUUCAUUCUAAAGGCAUGAGGCCUAGUUGCUCUUGAACUCCUUUAAGCAUGGGUAAGUCCUAAUUCUAAGUCCUUUCUCCUUUUGCAUUUGAUUCACAUCACAACAAACACAAAUGACAAUAUAUUUAUAUACAAUAAUUGGCUCAAAUGAGCAAAGUAAAAAUGACAUAAACAUAAAAUAUGUGUUCAAGUGAGCAAAAAUGAAAAUCAAUAUGAAUAAUGAGUAAGAAAUAAAUGACAUUAAAAGUAAAUGACAAGAAAUUAAAAGCUCAAAUUAAAGUUAGUAAUUAGUGAGGUUAUGUUAGCUUGUCAUAAGAUGAUGUAGCGCUAUGUUAAGCAAUCGUAAGUGGACUAAUGUAGUAGUCACACCUAUCUGAGGUCGGUCAAUAAGAAUAUAGCCAAAGAACAUAAGUUAGAGAUCAUGACUAGUAAGCCAAGCUCCAUAAACUUGCCAUCCAAACAAAAGGGGAAGGGCCUUGUAUUGACUUUUGGUUAUUUGCUUGACCAAGAAGCAACCUAUCUUGGACACAAAACAACUCACUUGAUCAUGUAUCAAGUUGAGUUUGGUUUGGACCAAAGAAGGUUAAGCUUCUGAUUUGUCAAGACAAACCUCAAGACUUUAACUCAUUGGCCAUUGAUGGAAAGAAAGGGAUGAAGAUGAAAGGCAGGGGGUAAGAAGUCAACAAACAAUCCCAAUUGAUCAAGGGAUAACUCAUCCUUGAUCAAAUUCAUUCAUCUUUCUAAGUGAUGAUCCAUAAGGACUUUCAAACCACAAGAUUUCAAUGAAUUUGAUCAAAGUUGAAUCAAUUCAACCUCAAUCAACACCAAACAGAAGAGAAAUGAAGAUAACAGGUCAAGAAGUCAAAUAUUUUUUUUGGUAUUUUUGAAUUAAAAUAAAAUGCAAAUAAAAAAAAUAAACAAAUAAGUUGAACCUCAAAUUCAAUUCAAAUUAACUUCAAAAAGUCCAAUUAAAUUCUCAUAGAUUCAACAUAGUCAAACAAGCUUUGACUAAUUUUCUCACAAAUUUUUGAAAUCAGAAAGUAAUUAAAAACAAUUAAAAACAAUUAAAAAUAGCAUAAUAUGAAUUAAAAUCUCAAAUAAUCUCAAAACAAUCAAGAAAUUGUUGAGACUAUUUUUCAUUGACUUAUCAUGAUCCGUAGAUGCUAUGAAAAUAUUUUUGGGUUUUUUAAAAGUCAUAAAGUAUUUAAAAAUGAAUUAAAAGCAUAAAAAAACAAGGAAUUCGUAAAAAAUAUCAAAUGAAGUCACAAAAAUAAUUAAAAAUCAUAAUAUGAAACUAGAUUUUUCAAGAAAUUUUUUGGAAUUGGUCUCAUAUUUUUCUGACUUCAAAUGAAUUUUUAAUGAAUUUUUGAAAAUAAAAGGAAUUAACAGAAAAUAAAAAUAAAAUGAAAUAAAUGAAAAAAAGCAGCGCCACAGGAUGCAUUUCAUUAAUUGAUGUGGCAUCAAUGAAUGACUUAGAUCUGAGGAAACACGCUACACAAAGCAUUAAAUGAAGUAAUUGAAACGGACGUGUGAGAUUAGAUCGUGGCAAGAUGAUCCAAUGGCCAGGAAGUGACACACGUGGUGGUGGUGGUGGAAACCACCAUCUUCUCCGGCGAAACAACAACUUCCGGCCACCAGUUGCAGAGAAAUAAAUUUUAAUGAAAAUGGAAAACAAGGACAUGGAAAUGAAGCUCGUGUGAUGGAGAUCAUCACUGUACCAUUGGAUUUUCCUCACUCUUCCUAUAUUGAGAGAAAUGUGAAGGAGAAAAUCAUGGUGUUCAUACUGAUUGCUCAUGAAAUGAAGAAUUGAAAGCACCAAUGGCUUGCCUCAAGUGUGAGGACUUCAGAAAACCAUAGAAACACAAGAAUGCUACAUUGAACUAAGAGUUCUAGAUCCAAAAAGUUUGAGAUUAUACCUCUGAAUUGAUGAACUUCUGGCCACGAAUUCUCCAAGAUCCUUGCUCCUCUUUGAUCUAUGCAUGUAAUGGAAGUGAUAGGCUAAGGUAUUUGGCUUUAAAACUCAGCUAAUGAUGUUGAAUUUCAAGCUCGAAAAAUUGAAGAAAAGUGAUUAAUUCCUUUGGUAAUGGCUAUGGUUUCACUCCUGCAGCACUUGGGAUCUCCAAAAGGUUAGCAAAUGAAUGAGAGGGAGCCUCUAUUUAUAACUGAAUGCCUCAACUGAUCAUGAUUUGUUCAUGUGCAUGGCAAAUGGAAUCUGAAUUGCAUGGGCCUGUGUAAGCGUGUGGAAGGCCCAAUGAUGAAUGCAGAAGUUUGCUGAGAUCAAGUGAAGGGCAAUUGGACGUGUACAUUGGAAUGAACAAGCUUGCAUAUUCAAGUUUUAUCAUAAAAUAUUAAAAUGCACCUAAGUGAAAAGAAUUUUGAAUCUCCCAAAUGGUGAAUCCAAAAGACUAAUGUGAGAAAUGGUUAGAAAACCCUUGAAAUAAGGAACAAAAGUUAUGUUGGGAAAAAAAUCAUUUUGCAAUUGGAAAUUGAUCAAAAUUGGCUUGGAAAAUUCAAGUACAUAACAUAUUCAAAUCACUUUAAAAAAGUUCACCAAAAGCAAGCUUAAUCAAGCCCCUCUAUUUUCAUGAUGUAAGCUUCAAAUGGAAAUAUCUCCAACAUAAAAGUUGUAUAUCUUUUCAAGAUAGUCAAUCUAGAAUCAAAUUUUGCAUCAUUUGGAUUUUCUAUGACAAAGUUAUGGGCAUUUGAAGUUGGGUACUUUUUCAAAUUCAAUGAAUUAGGUCCAAGAUGACCUAUAAUGUUUUGCAUUAUCACAUGUAUUUAUUUUUUUUCAAAUUCAAUGAAUUAGGUCCAAGAUGACCUAUAAUGUUUUGCAUUAUCACAUGUAUUUAUUUUAGGAUUAUGAAAUUUUGUCCAACAUAACAUUUGAAUUAGACAUCUUAAUAUUUCCAAUUAAUUUUGUCUCACCUCAAAAUCACAAAAAUUAAGGAAGUUAUGCCCUUGGUAAGUUCACCCAAAAUUAGGGUUUCAGUCAAAAUGACCUAUAAUGUUUUGAAAUGAAUGAUGACCUUCCAGGCUUCAAAUGGAUUUUUGAUGAAGAUUAAAGUUGUUAAUAUGGUUCUUAGGAACAUGUUUUAUUUUGGGGUCAUCUUCAUUUGACAAACACAUCAAAAAUUAUAUCUCAUUGGUUCUCAGUUGAGUCAGAUGACUUGACUGGUCAACUUUUCAAGGCCAAACUUCCAAUCUUGAUGAAUGAAUGAUUAAGGGGCCUCAAAUAGGCUCAUAUAUUCAUAGAAUAAUUAAUGAAAGAACUUACCUUGAUUAAAUUUGAUCAGAGGUUGAGAUUGCUUCAUGGGCAAGGCACAGUCAAAGCAUAGUGAAAUUAGGGUUUCCUUGGGAAACAAUCUUGAAAUCCUUUGGGUUAUCUUGAUCAAAUUGGUAAAUUGAGAUACUUGGGAGAAAUAUAUGAUUAUUAGGAACUUUGUGGACCAUUGUCAUGCUUCUUCUCAUCUUCAUUUAGCCAUUGCAUUGGGCUUAGGAGCCUCUUAGGAGCAUUGUAGAGCACAUGAUCACUUGAGCUUCAAAACAAAAAGAGUUAGUGACAUAUUUUUGUGCUUUUGGUUAGUAAUCAAAUAAGAAAAGCAAUAAUAUACAAUACAAGCAUGCUUGGUGAUUUCAAAACACUCAAACAAAUCCCCACCCUAGGGUUAAGGAGCCAAACAUGCUAUGAUCCUUGAGGCAAUGCACUUGUGUAAUAACAUGAUGCCAUGAGGGAUCUUAGGGUCAAAAUUAGGGUCUUACACCAUGGCUAUGUGUCGCAACACGAAAAACAACCGGCGGAAAAAUACAGAGCCGCCACCGACGCUAUUCAUCCUAUGACGGAAAGGAAGCGCGAGAUUAACCUAAGAAAGGGAAAGGAACGGUCUUACGACCAGAGAUUACAAGGUACGGGAGUCGGUUACGCAAGGGGAAGGUAUUAGCACCCCUCACGUCCGUCGUACUCGACGGGAUCCACGCUCAAAAAGAUAGCUCAAAGAAUAGGAAAAGGUUGCUAAUAAAACUGCUCAAAGGAAUUGCACAAACUGGAAUAAUAAAACAGAUGAAAGAAGACGGAGGAAGUGGACUCGGCAGGAUGUCGCAUCCUGGGCCUACGUAGUUUGUCGGAAACAAACAUCAGAGUCAACGUAGUUCGGGGAAAGGGAGACAUGCUCGCUAGGAUAUCGCAUCCUAUGCCUACGUAUCUUCCCAAUCCACAGGAGAAUCAGAGCACUCGUAGCUCGGCUAACACACGCUGAAACAAGACACCAAAAAGGAGACGCUGAGACGUCAAAAGAAACACUCAAAAGGAAACAGAAUUCCAAUACAUGGACUUAUAUCCGACUCCCAACAAUAACCAACAAAAGGAAACAGAAUGCCAAUACAUGGACUUAUAUUCGACUCCUAACAAUAACAAACGCUAACCGGCGAACACCAAAGAAAAAAAAGUUAUCAGAAUGAACCCCGAUAUGUAUAACCAAUCACCACAAAUGAACCCCAAAAGAUGAACCCCGAAUGAGUGACAACCGUCACAAAUGAACCCCAAAUUAGUGACAACCGUCACAAAUGAACCCCAAAGAUAAACCCCAAGUGAGUGACAACCGUCACAAAUGAACCCCAAGUAAUAACAAUCAUCACAAAUGAACCCCAAAGAUAAACCCCAAAUGAGUGACAACCGUCACAAAUGAAGCCCAAAGAUAAACCCCAAGGUAUAAACAUACCACACACGCUCACGUUGGACAAACAAGUACUCACACCAAAACGAAGAAAAGGGUGAACACACAGAGACUCAAAGAAAAGGGUGAACAAACACACGAAAAUAACACAGCAAAAAAGAAAAAGGGUGCCCGGAGAGAUUGCUUGCAACCUCCUGCCUACGUAUCUCAUCUGGUAUGAGAAUCAGGGCGACGUAGUUCCCCUGAACAAGGGUACAACACUCUCCUAACCAGAGACCAGGGAGACAACAAACUAAUAGGGAGACUAAGACUCGAGCCUAAUAGUUGUCAUGCAAUCGAAUCCCUAGGUUGAGGUCUCUAACCUGCACUCAACUCACUCUGGAAGCGAGCCAACUCAAAAGCAAAUAAUCACCAACACAAGUGAACAAGCAUCACACACUAUAUCCAUACAAGAGGCCCAAACAAUGGGUAGGCUUUAGUCAAGAGGGGUCAUAUCAACCUUGACAAACAAGCCAAACUGUAAUGGGUAACCUGUAGCUCUUAACCACUAACAUUGAGAGUUAGGGUGAAGCUGAUCAAAAUGGUAAUGAGGAUGAGACCUCAUGCUCUUAACCCUGGCCUGGGUGAGCUCAAAACAAAGAAAGUGUGGGGAUCCAGAAAUUGAGAUCCUAUUCCACUUGACAGACUCUGGACAAAGAUCUUGGGUACAUGUUCAGAAGCAUCAGCACGUAGUGCGAGCAUAAUGAACGACUCACUGAAUAAUGGGGGAUUGGCUACUAAUCCCUUUUAUCCGUCAAUUGCCUCUUCACUUAGGAGGACUUAUCAAGUAAUACAUGCCUCAUCUUGGAGGUCUUUGGCACAAUCUGUAAACAAACACAAACAGAGCCUCUUAAGGAGGACUUCCAACAAAAUGCCUGCCAAAAAAAGUGACAGGACUUCCAGACUACAUGGAGUAAGAAGAUAACUACCUAAGUGGUGUAUCAACCACAAUCCAAAGCUCAAGUAAGAGCUAAAAGCAAGCAACUAAGGUACCUGUACAAAAGCUAACCAGUUAAUAUUUCAGACAUAAAAUCAGAAAACAAACAGUGAAACCAUCCAACUGUACACAACUCAAUGAACAAUGCUCAAGCACUCAAAUGAGCUCAAGCCUAUCACUUAGAACCCUACAAAACAAACAAAAGUUAGAAUUCAAAUCAUUUGCAUCUCACAAAGUGAGACCAAACCAACCAUCAAUGCUAAAUGUCCAAACCUGAAACACAAGUCAAGGUUAGUUCAUGUACAAAACACUAGUACAAAGACUAGGUCCAAAACCAAACCAAAUGAUCAAAACAGAAGUCAAUCUUUUACACAAAGCUCAUUCAAACACUUCAUUCAAUGUCCUCAAAAGGACCAACAUCAAUUCAAAAAGCAAAGGCAUCAAAUGGCUCAUGUAAUGCAAUGACCAAACAAUGUGCACAAGAUGAACUUCCAAUUUAGAAAAUCCAUAUCAAAUGGAAUAUGCAUGCAAUGGCCUUGAGAUUUUUCAUACCAGUUCCUCAUGUCAUGAACAAAUAACAUGCCAAAAAUUAAAUCCAGAAAGGUUCAAAUGAUAUAUGAACAAAAAUGAAACAAUUCAAUGUCAAAAAUGUGACACAAAUUGUCACAUUAUUCUCCAUGUGUCAAAAACAAUGAUGACAUAUGAGAAUAAAUCCAAACUAGUGCUCAAAAAUUCAUAUCAUGAGUGAAUAGUAAGCAUGUAAAAAAUUUGACCAAGAAGCUCAACACAUAGAAUUUCACAAGGCAAUGAACAUAACAUGUCAAAUUAACACAAGGUUCAAUCAAAAAUCCACAAUUAAAAAAAUCAGACAUCAACAAAUCAUGAAAAUAAUAUAAAAAAAACUAGACAUUCAUACAAAACUAGAAAAAAAAUUGGAGUUAAUUUGGAUCAUUUUCCUAUUUUUAAUGAUUUUUCUAAAUGAGCAAAAUAAAAUGGAAUAGCAAAAUAAAAUGGAGGGAAAAACAAAAUUCAAAUUAAAUCAGAAUAAAUUAAUAAAAUGGAAUAGCAAAAUAAAAUGGAGGGAAAAACAAAAUUCAAAUUAAAUCAGAAUAAAUGAGAGCCACACGAUGAAGCGCGCAAAAGCAAUCCAGCGGUCCACAUUCAAAUGUCAAAACACAUUGUUUCAUUAAACACGGUGGCAUGCUCAGUCAGCUAGUCAAGACACGCAUGGCAAGUCAAAGCAAUUCAGUCCAAUCAAUUGUACAGGCAAGGCACACAUCAGCAUACAGCAUGGCUAAAUGAAACGAUGCGUUUCAUUUAUUAGUCAGCACACCACAUCAUCGGUCAAAGCAAACGUGUGGCUAGUCAAUGCAAUUACAACCAAACAAUUGGUCACGAAGGCGCACACAUGGAACACACGUGGAUCUAGCAAGGCAAACCCUAACAAAUAACCAGACGCCGGAGUUGUAGCUCUGGUCGUCUUCUCCGACCAACCAGGCGGUGGCACUGCCGUGGAAAUUUGCAGAAAUGCACAAACCAUACAUCAAUCGAACCGCUCUCUCACAAGGAAUCCAAAUAUCAUAUCAGUUCUUCCUAAAUCAUCAUGUAUUUUCCAGAUCGAACGAAAACAUUUUCAUAAUCAAAUUUUGAAGUUCACAUAACAUGCUCAAUUCUCAUCCAUUUUUAAAUCUAAUCAUAUCUACGUGCUCUACAUAGUGAGAUCUACACAACUAUAACAAGAAAAUAACAAAAAGAGAUGAUGAAUUUCAACUCACUUGGAAAUGCAGGUUGUUGAAUUCGUGUGUUCAAGCUCUCAAAAGCUCCAGAUCCACUCCACUACACUUGACUUGAAGCUUUGUGCACGAAUCAACAGCUGAAACCACCUAGAUCUAGCUCAAUUUCCAACUUCCAUCUUCAUGAGAUUGUGCUUGAACUGCUCCAAUUCUUUAUGAAUUGCACCAAACCAAAGCUGAUUCUUGAUCAGUGAGAUAUGAGGAUCAUGAUUAUGCAAAAAUAUUUGACGUUUAUGUGGAGAAAAUGGAAGAAUCGAAGAGAGAUAAAGUUGAGAGAAUUUCUUGAAUUUUGAUCUCAAAAGUUAGUUAUGGCAGUUAUGGCUUAGGGUUUGGCUUAUAUACUCCAUGCUAAUGACCAUGCUAAUCACACUUUGCAUUUGUUAAUCAAGAUUAGGGAGAUUUGAAGUGAUUUGCAAAAAUGCAAAAUGAGUUCAUUAUGCCAUGUUCCACGUGUACAGUACCAUGCAAGGCUUGGAAUUCACUUAAAAUCAACCAAGGAUCAACAUGGAAUUGGUAUUUUGCUUGUAUCAUAAGCCAAAUUUGAAUUAUGGAAAUUCCCUCCAAAAUAAACACAUGAGAAAUGAUGAGCAUACACCUUUUUCCCAUGCAUGGCAAAGGCUAUUUUGAGAUGUCUUGAACAUUAGAAGCACUUUGCAAAAAGAAUGGGCCAAUUUGGAGCUUUGUAUCAAAAAUUAGGCCAUUUUGAAUUUCCAUGCACACCUUGUGAUCAAAUGACCAUAACUCCUCAACCAUUCAUCAUAUGGACAUGAAUUAAGGCUUCUUGAAAAGGGGAGACAAAUAUCUACAACUUUCAUGUUCACCAAAAAUCAAUUUGAAACAUCUUUGAUAUUGAAAAGUUAAGUUGAAGGUGGACUAAAAACUUGCCAAAUUGGGAAACUUUGAAUUACAGGUCACUUUCCAUUUUUGGCAACUUUUGCCAUGACCUUUGCAUCUUCAAGAUGGAUGUUUAAAAUGAUGAAUGGACAUCCUUUGAACAAGAUUGAGGUGUCUCAACUCAUUUCCCCACCUCAUAGCCCUCAGUUGACUGCACAGUUGACUUUUGGUCCUCAGAUGACCUUGACAUGCUUUGAUUCACUUGAGCCUCUACCACUUGGGGAAAUUGCUCAAAAAUGAAACCCUAGCUCAUGUAAGCUCCUUAUAACAAUCAUAUGAUCCUCAUCCCCAGAAAAUACAUCAUCUCUUUGAGAAACCCCUGGUUGGAAGAAAUGCAUUGAUUAGGGUUGACCAGAGGUCACAACCCUAAUCCCAAGGAACUUGAGGAUGAACUAUGAAACCCUUGAUGAUGAUAGAACCAUGAUGAUGGUAAGAUAUCCUUGAAAACAAGAUGAUGCCCAAGACCUUUGAAGAAUCAAGAAACCCUAAUUGAAGUACAAACCCUCAGAUGGUUGAUAAUCAAUUCAUAGAGACCCUCAGGCUUGAAUCAUGUAACUUCUCCAUCUUUGAAAAGAUUUUGGAGGAUGACUUUCUUAUUUCCCUAUGAAAUGCAAAAUGCAAUGCCUAAUGCUCUAAAAUACGAAAUGCAAUGUGUCAAACUAGUCUCAAGAAGAGGAGGGCAAAUUUUGAGGUGUUACACUAUGAUAAGUGAUUUUUUUAUGAUUGAUAUGGCUUUGUUAUGAAUGAUGUACAUGGUCUUGGAUGUAUUACUAGUUAUGCUUAUUUUAAAAUAAAUAUGGAUUGAAAUGCUAGAAGUAUGUUAACAUAUGGUCUUAUUGGAAUUUUGCUGCAGCGUAUGGUACUAUGCAGCAUACGAACCGCACUUACUGUUAUGCUCCUCAUAUUGUACUUUUUUCAUUUUAUUCACAAAGCCUAAAAUUUCAAAUAAGAAUUGAUUCACACUCAAAUUUCAAAUGACUAACAAUUUUAAAACUACUUUUACCAUGGUUCUGAAUUUGGUCACCUUUUUGGCUACUACUAUCAAUUUUCACGAAGAUCCUUUCUCUUUGAGGUGAAAGGAGGGGUCCGCGAUUAAAACAUAUGGUCAGAAAAAGAGGAAGGGACUUGGGAAAGUAAAAGAACAUAUAUAUUAUGUUUCCAUGAAAAAAAUCAAUGGCCAUUAUUGAAUGUUAAACUGGACAAUGUAUUUGGUUGUGGAGUUGGAUAGCAAAAAAUGGUUUAUGGCUAAUGAGAAUUUGAAUUGGAUAUGAAAAUGUGCUUAAGAAUUUGGGUAUGGGUAAAAAAGGAAGAAUGGGUUUUAAUAAAAAUAUAGAAUGCAUGGCUUAUUUAAGUUCACUAGUGAAAAACCGAAACAAGACAAUUUUAACAAUGGGAUCAAAUCGAAAUUAAAAAAGGUUAAUGGUUCCUAAAGUUACUUUGAUAAAAGAAAAGCAAAGCCUCCUAAAAAUCAACCCAAAGGCCAACUUGAAACCCCAAAGACCAAUUUGGGAGUAAACCCAUCUGAACCUCCGAGAUUAAAUCAGAUUUGAAAUCAAUUUAAAAAAGAAGACUAGGACACAAAUGAUGACUGAAUAAGCGCCGGAUUGAUGAAUCCUCAUGGCGCGACCUGUGGGUCAGAUCGUAUCAUGGCCAAAUGGACGAAUGGAUAUCGACCCCAUUAUGCACCAGAAACAUAUGACCAAGAACCAACUGGCUAAUCAAGAAUGGAUCCAGACCCCUAAAAAUGAGAUAUACAACCCCCUGGGACCCCUGAUCAUCAAAACACGUGGCAAACCCUGAUGAUNAACCCAUUCUUCCUAUUUUUACCUACAUCCAAAGUUCAUUAAGCACAUUUUUCCAAUAUCCAAUUCAAUUAUCUCAGUUACGUCCAUAAAGACCAUUUUUUGCUAUACCAACUCCCACAACCAAUACUUUCGUCCAGUUAACAAUUCAAUAAUGGCCAUUGAUUUUGUUCAUGGAAAUAUAAUAUAAUGUUCUUUUACUUCCAAAGUCCCUUAUCCUCUUUUCUGACCAUAUGUUUUAAUCGCGGACCCUCCUUCACCUCAAGAGAAAGGAUCUUCUGGAAAAUUGAUAGUAGUAGCCAAAAGGUGACCAAAUUCAGAACCAUGGUAAAAGUAGUUUUAAAAUUGUUAGUCAUUUGAAAUUUGAGUGUGAAUCAAUUCUUAUUGAAAUUUUAGGCUUUGUGAAUAAAAUGAAAAAAGUACAAUAUGAGGAGCAUAACAGUAACGUGCGAGUUCUGUUGUAUGACUGCAUAGUACGCAUACGCUGGCAGCACCCACUACACUGUGGGGAUAUCAGUUUUGGUCUUAUGUUAUUACCUGACUUUUCGAUACCUGCGCCAACUCAGUUACAUCCUGAGAAUCUUCGCGAGUCAACCCUACAACUGAAUACAAAAGUAAAUGGCAUUAAAAAAGGUUUUUGUACCUUUAUAUAGAAGCAUUAAAUUCCCCCCAAUAAGACCCAUAUGUUAACAUACUUCUAGCAUUUCAAAUCCCUAAAUUUAUUUUAAAAAUAAGCAUAACUAGGUAUACAUCCAAGACCAUGUACAUUCAAUCAUAACAAAAGAUUUUACCAAACAAAUGAAAUUAUUCCCCGAUGUUAUAGACCAAGACAUCAGGGCUCGAUUGCCUGAUCCUCCUCAAAUUGUGAAUGAACCAGAGUGCUCACCAGGUGCAAGCAUAAAGCCAUGAAUCCGAAUCACUUGUAUCCUCUUGUAUUGGACCAUGAUUGUGCAGAUGAAAUGAAAUGUCUGUAAGGCUAUGCAUAUGAUUAAGGUUAGUGACCUAGAUGAACUUUGUGAAAGGUUGGGUGAAAUUUGGGGUAUGACAGUAACAUGUUGGGAUGAAUGGGGCUUUCUCCCCAUCCUUUUCUUGUUCCUCUUUUUGUUUCUUUUCAUGCCUCGAGAAUAUUUUGAAGUCCUUUAUUGUAAGGGGCAUGUCACUGCUAGAGUCAGAUUCCUCUACUUUGAAUGUUAGGCUUUUGGUUUUCUUUUCUUGUUCAUCAUCUAUGACAAGUCUUUUAAGUUUCAUCUCGUGUACCUGUACUUUGAAAAAUAAAGUGUUUGUGUGUCGAUAGUUAAAUUCUUAAUGACUAUUGGGUUUCCAACUACGGUUUAGGCAUCUAAGAAAUUUUAUAACUAGGUCCUCGUUUGAAUUACUUUGAAAAAUAAAGUGUUUGUGUGUCGAUAGUUAAAUUCUUAAUGACUAUUGGGUUUCCAACUACGGUUUAGGCAUCUAAGAAAUUUUAUAACUAGGUCCUCGUUUGAAAGUGUUAUUCCCAGAAUUCUCAUAUGACAUAUGAUAUGGGUAAAUUGUCACUACUGCGUAAAUGCUCUUUCACCCUGGUUGGAAAAGAGAUACGAUCACGGUUGACCAACUAUGGUAGGGUAAGGCAUAAUAGUAAGUAUGUUGCUUUCUAGCACAAGCAUAUGACCGUGAUGACAAACUAUGUCGCACGCUACAUAUCACAAAGGUUAUCUCAAACAAGCUUGGUGAAACAUAUUAAGGUCGUGGACUCGAUUCCCAAUCAUAAUAUGAUAUAUAAUAAUUGACACUCUAGCUAUCACCAUGGUGUCUUAUUCAAUUAUGGUGAAAGACUUUUUUUUUAAAUAUUAUUUUUUAUUAUUCCAUUUAUGUCCCCUCUUUUUUAGUACUUAUACGCUAUAUUUUACCAUAAUAAAAUUAGCAAAUAUGCAUAUCUUUGUAACCAAAAUAUGACUAUAAAAUAUUUCCAUCAAACUUAAAAAUAUAGCAAACAUAUAAUUACAAAAUAUAGCUUUACCAAAAUGUAACCAGCCUAAAUAUUAUUUACAUCCAACAUAAAAAAAUAGUAAACUUAUAUUACAAACUUAUGUAUGAUCAACCUUACCUAUAAAAUGCAUUGAAAAAAAACACCAAACAUGCAUAUACGUCUCUAAAAUCUUCUUCUGAUAAUGAUGUAGUGUCACUACAAUAUACAAUAAAAAAUACACAACUAAUAUUUGUAAUAGUAAAGAAACACAACAAAUACUAUAAUUUUUGUUGAUUAAUAUAAAAAAUAAUAAUACAACACAGAUAUUUAUCAUUAAAGCAUAAAAAAAACACAAGAUAAAUAUUUGAGCGGCAAAAUAAAUCCGCUUCAAAUCAAAUGCAAAUAUAAAUCAAAUAAAUUUUUCAUAAAAUAAUAACAAGAAAGUUUGCACAAAGAUAAUUAGACGAUGAUGUUAUAGAACUAGAUCCAUAAUCCAUUACGAUAUAAGAAAUAUAAUAUUUUAUUGAUAUGAUAAUAAGGCAUACAUGAAAACAAUGCUAUAACAACACAACAUAAGCCAUAUAUAAUAAUUCAAACACGUUUAAAGGAAGUGAGGUUCCUUAAGUGCUUCAAUGGCUGAUCCGACACAGCAGCUUCAUAAUUGUUAGAAGAUGAACCUUCUUUGGCAGAAAGAGUGAGGUGGUAGUUGGUCCCUGCAACAACCUGUGAUUCACCUUUGAUAAGUUUCUCAAACUCCAAUGUUGCUCCUUUUUGCUUGUUGUACUCGACAAGUGACAACUGCGAAACGGGCUAUUUCAAUCACAUAUGGAUCAGUGAUGUUCUUUAUGGGAGUCCAACCGCCUGGUAUAGCUUGAUUCAGAGUGGCCGAAGCAAACAAAAUAAGGAAGAGGAGACUAAGGGAUUGAAAUCUCAUGAUGUCUGUUAACUUGAGAAAUCAAGAUGGUGUGAGUUAAACUCUGUGGUGUGGAGGAGUAGUUAUAUAUAAUGUAUAAAAGUUAUGCCAUGUUUGGUGAUAUACUCUUUUAUUCGUUGAAUUAAAUCAAAAAUUUCAUUUGAUUUUAUUUCAUGAAAAUAAAAUAAUUUUUUUUGACCAAAUAAAUAAAAUCUCUUUAAUAAUAUAUAAUAUUUAAUAAACCUACAAUUAGUUUAAUAGAAAAGUAUGGUCAAAAAUAUUAUAUUUAAUGUCAUUCAAGGAAAAUGUUGUCAAAAGUAUUAUAAAUAAUGUUAUUCUAAAAAAUGUCAUACAAUGUUUCUGUUUUUUUAUAUAUUUAUUUAUAUAAAACACUUGUAUAAUAGGUUGUUCUAUGUUUUUGAUUUUAUCUUAAUAAAUGAUAAAAAAAAAUUCUUCAAUUUUUUUAAGUAAUAAUGAUAAGAGAUUAAUUACUAUACACUGUCAGUGUAAAAAGUUUUACACUGUCGGUUCAUCACCAUCACCCGUUUGUAUUACUUUAUAGAUUUUUAAAAUAAACGUCAAACUUCUUUUAAUAUCCAACGUCUAUAAUUAACUGACGGUGUAAAACCCUUUUACACUGUCAGUGUAUUUCAAUUAAUCUCUAAUGAUAAAUCCUAAAUGUCCCUGAUCACCGUAUUUGAACCCCGACAACUUCAUGUCACUCUUGCUGCCAAACAAUGAACCCCGUUCUCCAUUUGAACCCCAAUCGCCUGACGAUAACUCUCGAUCGUCAUUAUGAACCCCAUUCUCCAGAAAACAUCCCGUGUCUCCUUUUCUCCAUUUGAACCCCGUUCUCCAUUCUCCCGUGCUAAUUCCGUUAGCAACGUCGGAAAUAACACCAACCACCACUCAGACGGCGACAUAUCAGAGGGUAUACCUUCACAACAGGAAGGUAACAUGUGCAUUUCUUCCUCGGAAGACACCCAUAACGACUUCUCCUGGCCUCAGCCAAAGUCUAAGGUGACACAUGAUCAGAAGACAAUCCUGAGGACCUCAUCCCGGAUACAAUCUUCAAUCUCCAUCUCCAGUUGAACCCCGUUCUCCAGAAAAUGCGCAACACUUCCUUUUCUCCUGGUGGACCCCAAUCUCCGCUCAUCGUGUAACGUUCUCCGAUCUUCAUUUCCAUCUCCGCCUGACGGAAUCCCUUCCUCCAAUAUCGCGCUACUGGGGAAAAUUGUUGAUCCAAUGUCACGAUGCUAAACUCCUCAGAGUAACAUCUUCACCAACCAGCUAAGCCAAUUCUCAAACGGUAACCACGGCUCGAGACUAGCUUAUGCUUGCAAUGCUGAUGCAUGAGUUUUACAGCGUAAUGCUCCAUAACCAUGGAAAUGCUACGCGAUUAGUUAUGCAAUAUACUAUGCUUCUCUAAAUGAUGAAUGCAUAAAAAGUAUCCCCCUCAGGGGACGGCACGAGAAACUCUGUUGAGGAACUCGCUAUCACUCCGAUCUCCAACCCUGCUUGGGCUAACACUGCUGCUGAGGAAAGGACAAUCCUUACUGGGGAUGACCUCCACUGAACUCGAUCCGCUUGGGGACUUCGCUGGGGAAUAACCACCAACGCACACCCCUGCCGGGGGAACAACAACCUUCAGACCUGCUGGGGAAAUAACAAUCUCGACCCUGCUAGGGGAAACACCGACCUCGAACACACUGGGGAGAUACAUAAUAUUUGACACGGAACACCUGUCGACUCGUCGACCACUGGCAUUCACCAUCUAACCACGGUGUCAAUGUUCCACUUCUUUAGACUUUGAAGAGUCUUCUUGAUUAACCCUCUAGGAUCGUCGCACUUCUCUCGUCGUCUCUACACCAUUCUUCAACUCCCCGUACCUGAUUGGACCUCAAGGGAAUAUUUUGUCAAAACGCUUCAUACCACAACCUGCAAGUGAGUGAAAAUAAACCAACAGCGCCUGUAAAAGAGAUCGUUAGAUAAAACGUGCCCCAGGCGUGCCAAAAUUUCAACACCCAGGUCACUCAACCUUCCGAAUAAGAUUUCAAGUUUUCAAUCAUAUAAGCAUGCAUUGGAAAGGACCCCUAUGUCUCAAAAUGCAAAGAUUCUUUAUCAAAAUAAACUGAUGUUUUUGCAAUCAAAGCGGUAAUGAAAACAAAAACAAAAUUACUUGACUGAAUAUGCAUUUUAUUGAUUGAAAAAGGUGGCUCGUAACUGAGCGGUACACAGGAAGCAAUCCCUGAAAAGAGGUAAUUGCGCAUAAAAGGAAAAUCUAUCCUAAUGGCAAUGUGAAACCGUGAUCUCAUCGAGUUCCAACCCGGUUACAACCCAUAUGUCCUCAAAACUCUCCGCACUUUCUGCCUUCCGAAACAAAACGCUUCCGACCGAUCUCUGUCGGGGAUUAUCCUUGGUGUCAUAUCCAAAGUACAAACGAUCAUGCUAGACGCAGUUGUUCGUUUCACUCCCUCUUUUGCCUGGACCGCCCUUUCGGGUUUUCAGUCCACCGGGAUACCCUUUUUUGCCCAAGUCGCCCUUUCGGGGUUUUCGACUUGCCGGGUGUACAGUUUUUCUUUUUAUCCCUAAUUUUUGCCCGAACCUUUUUUUUCAUUUUUUAUUUGGUUCGUCGGGAUGCCCUUUUUUGCCUGGACUAUUUUAUUCUUUCCGUCCAGCGGGUCUCUUAUACGAAGUAUUUUUUAACUACGUCCGCAUUCACAGGGGAUGGAAAAUCCUCACCAUCCAUGGUCGUCAACAACAAGGCUCCGCCAGAGAAGACCUUCUUGACCACGAAUGGACCUUCAUAAUUGGGUGUCCACUUGCCCCGACGAUCUGACGAUCGUUCUGAGGAGGAAGGAUCCUUUUCAACACCAUAUCUCCCACAUGGUACACACGAGGUCGCACCUUUCGGUCAAAAGCACGCUUCAUUCGUUGCUGGUACAACUGCCCAUGACAAAUGGCUGCCAGCCUCUUUUCCUCAAUCAAGCUCAACUCUUCAUACCGAGUCCUUAUCCAUUCAGCCUCUUCCAAUUUCACAUCCAUCAGGACUCUCAAUGACAGGAUCUGGACCUCAACCAGUAGCACGGCUUCCAUCCCAUACACAAGCGAGAAAGGCGUUGCCCUAGUAGACGUACGCACUGAGGUUCGAUACCCAUGCAAUGCAAACGGCAACAUCUCGUGCCAAUCCUUAUAAGUCACGACCAUUUUCUGCGUAAUCUUCUUAAUAUUCUUAUUAGCCGCCUCGACCGCCCCAUUCAUCUUUGGACGAUAAGGAGAAGAAUUGUGAUGCUCGGUCUUGAACUCCUGGCACAGUUCUGCCAUCAUCUUGUUGUUGAGAUUAGAACCAUUAUCAGUAAUGAUUCUUUCAGGAACCCCAUACCUACAAAUGAUGUCUCUUUUCAGGAACCUGGCAACGACCUGUUUCGUCACGUUUGCAUAAGACGCCGCUUCCACCCACUUGGUGAAGUAAUCAAUAGCCACUAAUAUGAACCGAUGCCCAUUCGAAGUCGUAGGCUCGAUCUUUCCGAUCAUAUCAAUGCCCCACAUAGCAAACGGCCAUGGAGACGACAUUAAACUCAACGGAUUUGGAGGUACGUGCACCUUGUCAGCAUAAAUCUGGCAUUUAUGACAUUUUCGCACGAAAUUGAAACACUGAGCCUCCAUUGUCAUCCAGUAAUAUCCAGCUCUUAACAACUUUUUCACCAUCGCAUUCCCACUGGCGUGGGUACCAAACGACCCCUUGUGCACUUCUUUCAUCAACUGACUUGCUUCCUUGUCAUCGACACAUCUGAGCAAAAUCCAAUCAAAAUUCCUUUUGUACAACACCCCAUCUUUAUUCAGAUAGAACGCCAUGGCCAACCUCCUCAGAGUCUUUCGGUCCUUUUUAGACGCUCCCUCGGGAUACUCUUGGGUUUCCAGAUAACCGAACUACAGUAUUAUGGUGCCGAAAAGUAGUAGUCCGCCUGCUUCAACAGCAAACACAUAAGCCGGUCUAUCCAGUCGUCCCACCUCAACACUAGGGAAUUGAUUCCACCACUGCACUUUAAUCAAAGCGGCCAGAGUAGCCAAAGCAUCUGCUAAAGGAUUUUCUUCUCUCGGCACAUGGUGUAAUUCCACCUUGGUGAAAAACGUCAUCAACCUCCUUGUAUAAUCCCGAUAUGGAAUUAAGUGAGAUUAAUGCGUAUACCACUUCCCGUUAACCUGGUUCACAACCAAAGAUGAAUCUCCAUAGAUAACAAGGUUCUUGAUUCGCAAAUCAAUCACCUCUUCGACACCCAAGAUACAAGCUUCGUAUUCAGCCACAUUGUUGGUGCAUUCAAACGUUAGCCGGGCAGCAAAAGGAAUGUGGGAUCCCUUCGGCGUAACCAAAACAGCACCAACUCCAUUACCAUUCAUAUUAACGGCCCCAUCAAACAUCAGAAUCCAUUCGGACUCAGGGUCAGGCUCCUCCUCCGGGAUCGGUUCCUUACAAUCUUUCGAUUUGAGAAACAUGAUGUCCUCAUCAGGGAACUCAAAUUUCAUCGGUUGAUAAUCCUCAAUGGGUUGCUGGGCGAGGUAAUCAGACAAUACACUCCCCUUGAUUGCUUUUUGGGAAGUGUACUAGAUAUCAUAUUUAGUCAAAAUCAUUUGCCAUCUCGCAACCCGUUCGGUCAAUGCUGGCUUCUCAAAUAUAUACUUGAUCGGAUCCAUCUUGGAAAUCAACAAAGUGGUAUGAACCAGCAUAUACUGUCUCAGUCGGCGAGCAGCCCAUGCCAAAGCGAAGCAAGUUUUCUCGAGCAGUGAAUAUCUUGUUUCACAGUCGGUAAACUUUUUGCUAAGGUAGUAAAUUGCAUGCUCUUUUCGACCAGACUCGUCAUGCUGCCCCAGUACACACCCCAUAGACCCCUCGAGGACUGUCAAGUACAGAAUUAACGGUCGUCCCUCCACAGGAGGCAUCAAAAUCGGAGGCUCCUGCAAAUAUUCUUUUAUUUUUUCAAAUGCCGCUUGGCAAUCAUCAUUCCACCUGACCGUUUGAUCUUUUCUCAAUAACUUGAAUAUGGGUUCACACGUGGCUGUUAGAUGAGAUAUGAACCGCGAAAUGUAGUUCAAUCUGCCUAAGAAACCACGAACCUCUUUUUUUGUUUUCGGUUCAGGCAUUUCUUGUAUCGCUUUUACUUUGGCAGGAUCAACCUCGAUUCCUCUUUCGCUUACAAUAAACCCCAGCAACUUACCGGACCGCAAUCCGAAAGUGCACUUAUUCGGAUUCAACCUCAAUUUGAAUUGUCUCAACCGGUCAAACAACUUGGCCAAGUCUACCAAAUGCCCUUCUUCUGUUUGGGACUUUGCUAUCAUGUCAUCAACAUAGCAUUCAAUCUCAUGAUGAAUCAUAUCAUGAAACAAAGUCACCAUAGCUCUUUGAUACGUGGCACCGGCAUUCUUGAGACCGAAUGGCAUCACCUUAUAGCAAAAAUUGCCCCAUGGUGUGAUGAACGUUGUUUUCUCCAUAUCAUCUGGCGACAUUUUAAUUUGGUUAUAGCCAGAAAAGCCAUCCAUGAAGGAAAACACCGAGAAUUGAGUUGUAUUAUCUACCAACACAUCGAUGUGAGGUAAUGGAAAAUCAUCUUUCAGGCUAGCUCUGUUCAAAUCCCGGUAAUCCACACACAUUCUUACCUUUCCAUCCUUCUUCGGCACCGGCACAAUGUUCACGACCCAAGGAGGAUAAUUAGUGACAGCUAGGAAACCAGCAUCCAACUGCUUUUGCACUUCCUCUUUGAUUUUCAUGGCCAUCUCGGGUCGAGUUCUGCGCAACUUCUGCUUUGCUGGAGGACAGUCUUCUCUCAAUGGCAACUUGUGUACAACGAUAUCGGUGUCCAACUGUCGCAACCUGAAAAAUACAGUGCGAAAAAAAACAACCGGCGAAAGAAAAAGACAGAAGAGUCGCCACCGUGCGUUAUUCAUCCCAAAGGAGGGAAAGGAAACGCUCGAAGUAAACCUGAAAAAGGAAAGGACAAGACGGGGUCUCGCAACCAAAUCUUGGGUUCGGGAGUCGGUUAUGCGAAGGGAAGGUAUUAGCACCCCUACGCAUCCGUAGUACUCUACGGGAUCCACUUUUGUNNNNNNNNNNNNNNNNNNNNNNNNNNNNNNNNNNNNNNNNNNNNNNNNNNNNNNNNNNNNNNNNNNNNNNNNNNNNNNNNNNNNNNNNNNNNNNNNNNNNNNNNNNNNNNNNNNNNNNNNNNNNNNNNNNNNNNNNNNNNNNNNNNNNNNNNNNNNNNNNNNNNNNNNNNNNNNNNNNNNNNNNNNNNNNNNNNNNNNNNNNNNNNNNNNNNNNNNNNNNNNNNNNNNNNNNNNNNNNNNNNNNNNNNNNNNNNNNNNNNNNNNNNNNNNNNNNNNNNNNNNNNNNNNNNNNNNNNNNNNNNNNNNNNNNNNNNNNNNNNNNNNNNNNNNNNNNNNNNNNNNNNNNNNNNNNNNNNNNNNNNNNNNNNNNNNNNNNNNNNNNNNNNNNNNNNNNNNNNNNNNNNNNNNNNNNNNNNNNNNNNNNNNNNNNNNNNNNNNNNNNNNNNNNNNNNNNNNNNNNNNNNNNNNNNNNNNNNNNNNNNNNNNNNNNNNNNNNNNNNNNNNNNNNNNNNNNNNNNNNNNNNNNNNNNNNNNNNNNNNNNNNNNNNNNNNNNNNNNNNNNNNNNNNNNNNNNNNNNNNNNNNNNNNNNNNNNNNNNNNNNNNNNNNNNNNNNNNNNNNNNNNNNNNNNNNNNNNNNNNNNNNNNNNNNNNNNNNNNNNNNNNNNNNNNNNNNNNNNNNNNNNNNNNNNNNNNNNNNNNNNNNNNNNNNNNNNNNNNNNNNNNNNNNNNNNNNNNNNNNNNNNNNNNNNNNNNNNNNNNNNNNNNNNNNNNNNNNNNNNNNNNNNNNNNNNNNNNNNNNNNNNNNNNNNNNNNNNNNNNNNNNNNNNNNNNNNNNNNNNNNNNNNNNNNNNNNNNNNNNNNNNNNNNNNNNNNNNNNNNNNNNNNNNNNNNNNNNNNNNNNNNNNNNNNNNNNNNNNNNNNNNNNNNNNNNNNNNNNNNNNNNNNNNNNNNNNNNNNNNNNNNNNNNNNNNNNNNNNNNNNNNNNNNNNNNNNNNNNNNNNNNNNNNNNNNNNNNNNNNNNNNNNNNNNNNNNNNNNNNNNNNNNNNNNNNNNNNNNNNNNNNNNNNNNNNNNNNNNNNNNNNNNNNNNNNNNNGUUUUUUUAUGGAUGCAUGAAUGAGGAGGGCAAAUUUUGGGGUGUUACACCAACCCUGGCAUAUCCUAAUAAGACCAAGCGAAGAUAUCAACAUACUCUUUCAACAAUGCUACCAUUCUGCUCUUGACAUUCACCUUCAAAGCGGCCCCAACCUUUACUUCGUUUAUGACCGCCUCGGUACCCAGAUUAACAAUCUCGACUUGCUCCUCGUGCGGUUGAAUCACCUUCUCCUCUUGUUUCAACAACCUGGCUAAUUCUUCCGACAGUUCACAAUCUUCUUCGCCUUCUUCUUCGGCAUGAUAGAUCGGGUUGUCGAAGUCAUAUAAAGGUGUAACAGGAUUGUUAUCAAUGAGAUCCGGAGAAUGAUCGCAUCUGCAUGAAUGUUGAUUCAUGCAUUGCUUUAGAGUCGGGACGAAGCAAAUUAAAAGGAAGAAAAAUGAAAAUAAACAUUGCCAUUUUUAUUUUAUUUUUCUUAAACUGCAAAAAUAAAUGAAAAACAGGGAACACCGCUUUUAAUGCGAAAAACAUCCGUUUAUUAAUGAUGCAAAUAAUGCAAAAUGAAACACAUGAGGUGGCCCUUACAAUGGACCAUUACGUUUCGGGAAAAACGUAUGGCUUUCAUGCAAACAGAAUUGAAAAACAGAAAUAUUACUCUUCACGCAGAGUGACAGUGAUGAUCUUUUCUCGUAUGGCUUUCAUGCAAACAGAAUUGAAAAACAGAAAUAUUACUCUUCACGCAGAGUGACAGUGAUGAUCUUUUCGGCCUUCCAGUUCUGGAUCUCCAUCCCUGGUACGCACAGUUUUAUCCACGAAUCAAGCUCGCAGUCACUGUCAGUCUCUUCACCCACUGCACAGACGCGAUCUGGAUUUAACAUUCCAGCACUGGUGAACGUGAGCGGUUGACGACGCUCUCUAUUCUGUCCAGACGAGCCUUGGCCCGACUGAUAGCCAAUCCCAAACCUGUCCUCUUUCGCCGCAAUGUCUAUCAUUCUUCCCCAACCUGGGGCCUCUCCACUUCUCACCACCUCCACGGCCUGUUUGUAAGAAGCAAUGGACGGCUUUUUCUCUUCCUUAGCAAAAAUGGCAUUCUCCACCUUAACGGUUUCAAACGCCUGGCUUGGUGUUUCAAAUAUUUCACCGUCCAUUUCCACAUAUUUGAACGAUGACAGUUGGCUGACAAAAAUAUCCUCCUCCCCACAAACUGUUACGACCUGCCCGUCCCAGAUAUACUUUAACUUCUGGUGCAAAGUCAAAGUUACUGCCCCAGCAGCGUGUAUCCAUGGUCGACCCAACAAGCAACUGUAUGCCGGCUGAAUGUCCAUGACAUAGAACACAGACUUGAACACCUCGGGCCCAAUCUUCACAGGGAGCUCAACUUCCCCAAACACAGCCCUCUUAGAGCCAUCAAACGCUCUAACCACCAAAUCAGUAGGCCUCAACACCACUCUUUCGCAAUCUAACUUAGCUAGGGCCUUCUUAGGCAACACAUUGAGUGACGAGCCGGUAUCAACCAGAACGUGCGAAAGCACUUCUCCUUUACACUCAAUUGAAAUGUGUAAUGCCUUAUUGUGAUUACGUCCAUCCACAGUAAGAUCAAGAUCAGUGAAACCCAACCCAUGGCUGGCAUUGACAUUUGACACCAUUGUCUCCAGCUGAUUGACCAUAAUCUCCUACGGGACAUAGGCCCUCUUCAAGAUUUUUAACAAAGCCUCUCUAUGCCCUUCUGAGCUUAACAGCAAAGAUAAGAUUGAAAUCUUGGACGGAGUCUGCUGCAAAUGAUCAACAAGUUUGUACUCAGACUUCUUGAUAAUCCUUAAAAACUCCUCGGCUUCAUCAUUCUUCUGAGCUUAACAGCAAAGAUAAGAUUGAAAUCUUGGACGGAGUCUGCUGCAAAUGAUCAACAAGUUUGUACUCAGACUUCUUGAUAAUCCUUAAAAACUCCUCGGCUUCAUCAUCAAGCUCAUUUUCCGACCCAAGAGGCAUCGGUGCCGCUCUAGGAAUACCCUCAUUCAUCACCUGUUUACCUUUUGCCCUGCCUAAAGCCUCGGCCUUAUCUCUCUUUUCUUUUUCUGCAUCCCUACUCCUUAACAUGUCAGGCGCAAACAACCUCCCACUGCGAGUGAAACCACUAAGUCCGGCAUUAUCCACCUUUGAAACGGUGGUAUCACCUGCAACCUGAUCUUCCUGCUUCUUUCCAUUACAAUACACCUCCCCACCAUAGUCCCACGGCACAGCAUCAUCAUUUUCAUAUGGAAUGGGUCCCGGUACCGUGAUGGUAACUGGAGCCGCAUCUGUCGGCGCUGACAAGUAGACAGGGUCAAAAUAAAUGGUUAUUGUUGAAACAUCCUCCUUCUCCAAAUCAACUUUCUCAAAUCGGAGACUUCCCUCAUCCAUCAUUCUCUGAACCGUCUCCCUCAAUACAAGACACCCAUUUGUAGCGACAGUGCAAGCAGCACAACAAUUAUCACAACCCGGAAAAACUCCAUUUUUUAACAACUGUCUCUUGACCACAGACAUUGGAGUCCUUAUCUGAUCCACGUCCAUCACCCCAAUUUUUCUCUUAUCCUCCGAAAUUGCAUUCACCCCCAUCUGACCAUGCGUCAGCAUGGGAUUAGCAUUAACAUUUGGCGAUGGUGCAAAAUUGAUGGCUUUAGAAUCCACCAAAUCUUGAACAACAUGUUUAAAGGCCUUACAACCCUCAAUGUUAUGCCCGGGAGCACUAGAAUAGAAUUCACACUUAGCAUUCUCAUCAUAAUUGGCAGGCCUCUGGUCUGGUCUUAACGGAGCCAACGUCCUCAGCUGAACCAACCCAAGAUCUUUCAACUUCUUUAACAGAAAUGCAUACGUCACGAGUGGCCUAUCAAACUGACGAUCAAUCAUCCUUCCUCUCACUUGAUACCCGGCCCGUUGUGUUCUCUGCUGAAAUGGUUGUCGUUGUUGUUGUUGUUGCUGUUGUGCAGGUUGAAUAUCAGCAGGAAUUGUUACUGCAGCAGUAUGCUUGUAGUAACGAUCCCUACCAUGUCCUCUCUGGGCAUACACAACACUCGUGUCACCCUCCUUCUUACGCUGACCGUUCCCAAAUGGCUUCUUCGAUCCAGACGACGAAGCAUUUCCCUGUAUCUUUCCCAUUUUUAGCCAGCUUUCAAUUCUCUCACCAGCCACUACUAUGUCUGCAAAACCAGUGACGGGACAACCCACCAUCCUUUCCGCAAAGGUCCCCUGAAGGGUACCCAUGAACAAAUCAGACAUCUCCCGAUCCACUAACGGUGGUUGAACUCUGGCAGCCAACUCUCUCCACCUUUGUGCAUACUCUUUAAACCCUUCAUUCGGCUUCUGAGACAUACCCUGCAACUGGGUACGGCUAGGUGCCAUGUCAGCAUUGAACUGGUACUAUUUAAAGAAAGCAUCUCCCAAAUCCUGCCAGCUCUUAAUAUCUGAUGAUCUCAACUUGGUAUACUACUCAAGAGACCCACCAGAUAAGCCAUCCUGGAAGAAGUACAUCCAGAGCUUCUGAUCCAUGGUAUAGGAAGAUAUCUUUCGGACAAAGGCCUGAAGAUGAGUUUCUGGGCAAGAACUCCCAUUAUACUUAUCAAACGUGGGCACUUUGAACUUCUGUGGGAUCACAAUCCCCUCAACCAGCCCCAUGUUUGUCAUAUUGAUAGCCCCAGGAGAGGUAUGGCUUUCCAGAGCCCUGAUCUUUUCUGCCAGUACCUGAAUCUCUUUGUUCGGCAGUUGAACACCAUAUUGACCAAGUUGCUCGUUCAGCACAGAGAACUGAUCUUCUUCUUUAUCCUCCACAGCCCCAAAGAAAGGAGGAAACUGAUUAUCCUUCAGAGUAUUGCCCACAGGACCUGGCCCACCGCCUGCAGCGAAACCAAAACCACCACCAUUGUUGAUGAAUACUCCAGCAUUAGUUGCCUUCUUUCUGAGAUCGCUACCACCCCUAAAACCACCAGGACCAUUGUUGGAGUUACCCUCAUGACUAUUGCCAUUGUUGACGAUCGAAGCCAGCUCAAGCCUCUCCACCUUCUCGACGAUUGCUUUCUGUUCCAUGGCGAACUCUUGCAUGGCGCUGAUCAACUCACUCAUCUUCUCUUUCAGCUCGAGAAUGUCAGUAUUGGAUGGAUCCAUCAGUUUGGGUUUGUUGCGUCUGGUAGGGUAUCUGUGCGGACGAGCUACGUGCAAAGGAAUGAUUCUGCGUGCGCGAGCAAUGAUUCCUAAAACAAUCAAACACGUUAGAAACCAACACUGGACGAGCUACGUGCAAAGGAAUGAUUCUGCGUGCGCGAGCAAUGAUUCCUAAAACAAUCAAACACGUUAGAAACCAACACCUGCAAAAUAGAAGAUAAGUUAUUAUGAUUCAUGCAUGAAUGCAAUGUCUAUCCAUAUGAGGAACAUUCUGUCCUUCGAUUCUGGUUUCAUUGAGACGGAUAAUAAUUAGGCAGCAAUAUCAUGACAUCAAUCAUCAGGUUUCGCCGUACAGAAAAAAAGGUUGUGCUCUAGCAAAGAUAUCACCCGACCAUGUGUGUGUUAAGUGAGUGUACACGGAAAAACAAAUAAAGCGUUGAGAUCAAACACUGAAUGAUAAUAACCACUGUAUAGCAAAAGUGCGCUACACGUGCGAGAAUCAUACACCAUGUUUGAUACGAAUCAAAUUUACAAUCCUCCAGAAUCAAAAAGGAAUACAAUCAAGUGAAUUCCGCCAACAUGCCUGACGGUAAUCCAACACAUGAUAACACUGCAAUAAAAGCUAAUCUGAAUAAGGUCUCACAGAAGACUCUGCUCCAUCAACCAUCCUGGUAAACUUCAUAGCGAACCUGAGCUCAGUGUUCUCCAGCCGAAGUCUUCCCACCUCUUUCUGAUGAAUCUUCAUCUGACGGAAAUAAUGGUCCCUCUCAGCAAGAUAAUGAUCUCUCUCGGUCAUAAUCUUCGCUUUCUCUUCUUCCUUAAUCCUCAGCUUUGCUUCCCACUCUGUGGUAAGGGCCUUGGCUCUAGUUUCCCUUUGAGUCUUCACAAGGACUUGUCUCUUCUUUUCAUCUUCAAUGACUUUCAACGCUCUAGCCAACUUCUCUUUGGUAAUGUCGUGCUCCUUCGUAGAUGACUCUAACGCUUGGCUGAUCUUACAGUAAUAGGCGGUAUCUUUCUCAAAACGCUUCACCUCCUGAGCAUGUAUCCUAGCCUGGUCUUCUGCUUUCCCCUUGAUCUCCUGAUUAGCCAUUUGAAUUCUAGCAACACUCAUUUCUAUCUCAGCCUUCUCUGCUUGCAGUUGAUCUCUCGUCCUCCUCAUCUCAAGAAAUUCUUCCAUACUGACAGAAGAACGUGGCUCCUCAAUCAACGGAUACCAAAGAUCACCCACAGGAAAUGGCAGAUGAGUGAGCUCAACCCUCUCUCUGAGCCAAUCAUCAAAUGGAGGAAAAGACAUGUUAUUAGCUCUACCAAAAGGAACCUUGCCUUUCCUUUGAAUGUCGCGCCAUGCCUCAGACACUUGCCUAAACAAUGACUGAUUACCCUCGAUCGGGAAGUAGAAAGACUCCUGAAUCUCACGCUCGAAGGGAGGACCCUCCAUAGCAAAUCCCAUUUGUCUCUUAAGAAGCGUCGGGUUGUAAUUAAUACACCCUUGAACUCCUAUAAGGGGCACAUUGGGAAAGCUCCCUCAACUGCAAAUAAAAUCUCGUCCAGCCACACCACUGUGAGUCCAAGCUAUGUCCUUGGCUCGCAAACCCAUUAACUUGGUUGCCCAAUUAACCGUAUGGUCAAGAAAGCCAAAGGCACCUCUGGAAGGCAAAUAUCCCAUGAACCAUUUAUAUAACAGUUGAGCACAAUAUCUAACCAAUCCUCCACGCCGCUUCUCGUUCCGAUUAUGGACCGAGUAAUAAACAUCCCCAAUCAAGGUAGGAAUGGGAUUCCUCUGAGCAAACACCCGGAUGGCAUUAAUAUCCACAAAAUUCUUCUGAUUAGGGAACAGGAUAAUUCCAUAAAUGCUUACAGCAAGCAGAGCACAGACAGUCCUCAAAUUACCCGAAACAACAUGUUCCUUGGCUCUGGCCUCCAAGAAACUCAGAUGAAAACCGGGCAACUUUCCUUUCUCCUUCAAACCCUUCUUAGUCACUUCCUGGCUCAAACAAAGAGCACGAGAAAUCUCAACAACACCAGGUUCUUCCUUAGUAACAUAAAAAGGAAUCUGGUUUCUGACCCGAAUACCCAGAAUACCGACAUAAUCUUCCAUCAAAGGUCCCAACAAAUAGUCUGGGAAGACAAAACAUCUCAAACUCGGAUCAUAAAACUGGAGAAGAGUAUGGAGGGCACUCCUAUCCCCAUCUGUGAGCCUGAAAACCAUCUUCAUAAUACCGCCAUAAGCUUCACGGAACAUCCCCACAUGGUCAGGUGUAAUCAAUGAUAUCAUACCCUUCAGCACGCUAAUCUCUGGAUUAAAGAAACUGUAGACAACAUUGUCUUUUAAGCCGGUCCUCAUACCUGGAACAAAGAUGUCUCUCAACCAGAAUCUCAAUCAAGAAUGUACCCUGCAUAUGGAUAAACAUGAGUUAGAUACGGAUAAAUGCAAAAUGGGAAUGAUGCAGAUGCAUGAAUGCAAUGCAUAAUUCCAUCCUCCAAGACAUCUGAGCACCAAUUGUACUGGAUUCCGGUCUCUGAACUGAUCACAACCAUCUGAGGGACUAAGUAACCACAAAUCCAACUCGGGGUUCCGAAAUAAACGGAACCGGAGGAUAUAUCACCAUCAUCACAGGAAAGCCACAGAACGGAUAACCACAAAACCAUCUGAACAAGUAACCCUUAAAUUCAACCCGGGGAUCCGAAAUAAACGGAACCCGCUGAUAAAUACCACGGACAGAACUCCGGCGUGUCAGAAAUAAACAUCCAUAAAUCCAACUUAUAAAUAGAACUCAGAUCACAAACCGAACCAAAGUCACCAUCAAAGAGUCACCAACAGAACCUGUAUCUGUAAGAAUCAAACCCCUCCCCUCACAGGUGAAUUCUAAUACGGUCAUCCUAAGGCGGAUAAUGGUCUCGACAAUCGGACAAGAUACUCAACGGGUUUGCCCUUUCGGGUGUGCCGUGCAGCUCUCAUAAGAUCAUCUAAACCAAAGAUCCGGGAAAGAACGGUCACCGUUUGCCCUUUCGGGUGUGCCGUGCAGCUCUCAUAAGAUCAUCUAAACCAAAGAUCCGGGAAAGAACGGUCACCGAAGUCAACAGCUCAAAAGAGGUAACCCAACCAUAGUGGAUACUCCACCAGGAAGAGCUCUCUCAGAAGAACCUCGUCCGGUUGUGGUAUGUCACGUCGCCACAAACAUGUUGACCUAACAUGUGAGGAAACAUGAGACCACGCUAAUCCUAAGUGUAUACUCGAGCCUGGGUUUUAGCCCCACUCAGAACACCCACCCCCAAAUCAUAGGAACCACACAUGUCCAGAAUCCAACACAGUGAUAAUAUGAUGCAUGCAAACAUAUAUGCAAAUAUCUACAAUCACAGUAUAAUAAUCACAAAUGCAAUAAAUUAGCAGUAAAAGCAACCCAAACUACCCUAAAAACUACACUAGAGAGCGCUAGGAUUAACUCGCUUAGGGAAGAUGGACUAGUAAGAGGUCAACCUUUAUCCCCAGCAGAGUCGCCAGCUGUCGCAACGCGAAAAACAACCGGCGGAAAAAUACAGAGCCGCCACCGACGCUAUUCAUCCUAUGACGGAAAGGGAGCGCAGGACUAACCUAAGAAAGGGAAAGGAAUCAACCGGCGGAAAAAUACAGAGCCGCCACCGACGCUAUUCAUCCUAUGACGGAAAGGGAGCGCAGGACUAACCUAAGAAAGGGAAAGGAACGGUCUUACGACCAGAGAUUAUAAGGUACGGGAGUCGAUUACGCAAGGGGAAGGUAUUAGCACCCCUCACGUCCGUCGUACUCGACGGGAUCCACGCUCAAAAAGAUAGCUCAAAGAAUAGGAAAAGGUUGCUAAUAAAAUUGCUCAAAGGAAUUGCACAAAUUGGAAUAAUAAAACAGAUGAAAGAAGACGGAGGAAGUGGACUCGGCAGGAUGUCGCAUCCUGGGCCUACGUAGUUUGUCAGAAACAAACAUCAGAGUCAACAUAGUUCGGGGAAAGGGAGACAUGCUCGCUAGGAUAUCGCAUCCUAUGCCUACGUAUCUUCUCUAUCCAUAGGAGAAUUAGAGCACUCGUAGCUCGGCUAACACACGCCGAAACAAGACACCAAAAAGGAGACGCUGAGACGUCAAAAGAAACACUCAAAAGGAAACAGAAUGCCAAUACAUGGACUUAUAUCCGACUCCCAACAAUAACCAACAAAAGGAAACAGAAUGCCAAUACAUGGACUUAUAUCCGACUCCUAACAAUAACAAACGCUAACCAGCGAACACCAAAGAAAAAAAAGUUAUCAGAAUGAACCCCGAUAUGUAUAACCAAUCACCACAAAUGAACCCCAAAAGAUGAACCCCGAAUGAGUGACAACCGUCACAAAUGAACCCCAAAUGAGUGACAACCGUCACAAAUGAACCCCAAAGAUAAACCCCAAGUGAGUGACAACCGUCACAAAUGAACCCCAAGUAAUAACAAUCAUCACAAAUGAACCCCAAAGAUAAACCUUAAAUGAGUGACAACCGUCACAAAUGAACCCCGAAGAUAAACCCCAAGGUAUAAACAUACCACACACGCUCAUGCUAGACAAACAAGUACUCUCACCAAAACAAAGAAAAGGGUGAACACACAGAGACUCAAGGAAAAGGGUGAACAAACACACGAAAACAACACAGCAAAAAAGAAAAAGGGUGCCCGGAGAGAUUGCUUGCAACCUCCUGCCUACGUAUCUCAUUUGGUAUGAGAAUCAGGGCGACGUAGUUCCCCUGAACAGGGGUAUAACACUCUCCUAACCAGAGACCAGGGAGACAAUAAACUAAUAGGGAGACUAAGACUCGAGCCUAAUAGUUGUCAUGCAAUCGAAUCCCUAGGUUGAGGUCUCUAACCUGCACUCAACUCACUCUGGAAGCGAGCCAACUGAAAAGAAAAUAAUCACCAACACAAGUGAAUAAGCAUCACACACUAUAUCCAUACAAGAGGCCCAAACAAUGGGUAGGCUUUAGUCAAGAGGGGUCAUAUCAACCUCGACAAACAAGCCAAACUGUAAUGGGUAAUCUGUAGCUCUUAACCACUAACAUUGAGAGUUAGGGUGAAGCUGAUCAAAAUGGUAAUGAGGAUGAGACCUCAUGCUCUUAACCCUGGCCUGGGUGAGCUCAAAACAAAGAAAGUGUGGGGAUCCAGAAAGUGAGAUCCUAUUCCACUUGACAGACUCUGGACAAAGAUCUUGGGUACAUGUUCAGAAGCAUCAGCACGUAGUGCGAGCAUAAUGAACGACUCAAUGAAUAACGGGGGAUUGGCUACUAAUCCCCUUUAUCCGUCAAUUGCCUCUUCACUUAGGAGGACUUAUCAAGUAACACAUGCCUCAUCUUGGAGGUCUUUGGCACAAUCUGUAAACAAACACAAAUAGAGCCUCUUAAGGAGGACUUCCAGCAAAAUGCCUGCCAAAAAAAGUGACAGGACUUCCAGACUACAUGGAGUAAGAAGAUAACUACCUAAGUGGUGUAUCAACCAUAAUCCAAAGCUCAAGCAAGAGCUAAAAGCAAGCAACUAAGGUACCUGUACAAAAGCUAACCAGUUAAUAUUUCAGACAUAAAAUCAAAAAACAAACAGUGAAACCAUCCAACUGUACACAACUCAAUGAACAAUGCUCAAGCACUCAAAUGAGCUCAAGCCUAUCACUUAGAACCCUACAAAACAAACAAAAGUUAGAAUUCAAAUCAUUUGCAUAAAUCAUUUGCAUCUCACAAAGUGAGACCAAACCAACCAUCAAUGCUAAAUGUCCAAACCUGAAACACAAGUCAAGGUUAGUUCAUGUACAAAACACUAGUACAAAGACUAGGUCCAAAACCAAACCUAAUGAUCAAAACAGAAGUCAAUCUUUUACACAAAGCUCAUUCAAACACUUCAUUCAAUGUCCUCAAAAGGACCAGCAUCAAUUCAAAAAGCAAAGGCAUCAAAUGACUCAUGUAAUGCAAUGACCAAACAAUGUGCACAAGAUGAACUUCCAAUUUAGAAAAUCCAUAUCAAAUGGAAAAUGCAUGCAAUGGCCUUGAGAUUUUUCAUACCAGUUCCUCAUGUCAUGAACAAACAACAUGCAAAAAAUUAAAUCCAGAAAGGUUCAAAUGAUAUAUGAACAAAAAUGCAACAAUUCAAUGUCAAAAAUGUGACACAAAUUGUCACAUUAUUCUCCAUGUGUCAAAAACAAUGAUGACAUAUGAGAAAAAAUCCAAACCAGUGCUUAAAAUUCAUAUCAUGAGUGAAUAUUAAGCAUGUAAAAAAUUUGAUCAAGAAGCUCAACACAUAGAAUUUCACAAGGCAAUGAACAUAACAUGUCAAGUUAACACAAGGUUCAAUCAAAAAUCCACAAUUAAAAAAAUCAGACAUCAACAAAUCAUGAAAAUAAUAUCAAAAAAAACUAGACAUUCAUACAAAACUAGGAAAAAAAAUUGGAGUUAAUUUGGAUCAUUUUCCUAUUUUUAAUGAUUUUUCUAAAUGAGCAAAAUAAAAUGGAAUAGCAAAAUAAAAUGGAGGGAAAAACAAAAUUCAAAUUAAAUCAGAAUAAAUUAAUAAAAUGGAAUAGCAAAAUAAAAUGGAGGGAAAAACAAAAUUCAAAUUAAAUCAGAAUAAAUGAGAGCCACACGAUGAAGCGCGCAAAAGCAAUCCAGCGGUCCACAUUCAAAUGUCAAAACACACCGUUUCAUUAAACACGGUGGCAUGCUCAGUCAGCUAGUCCUGAGACGCAUGGCAAGUCAAAGCAAUUCAGUCCAAUCAAUUAUACAGGCAAGGCACACAUCAGCAUACAGCAUGGCUAAAUGAAAUGAUGCGUUUCAUUUAUUAGUCAGCACACCACAUCAUCGGUCAAAGCAAACGCGUGACUAGUCAAUGCAAUUACAACCAAACAAUUGGUCACGAAGGCGCACACAUGGAACACACGUGGAUCCAGCAAGGCAAACCCUAACAAAUAACCAGACGCCGGAGCUGUAGCUCCGGUCGUCUUCUCCGACCAACCAGGCGGUGGCACCGCCGUGGAAAUUUGCAGAAAUACACAAACCAUACAUCAAUCGAACCGCUCUCUCACAAGGAAUCCAAAUAUCAUAUCAAUUCUUCCUAAAUCAUCAUGUAUUUUCCAGAUCGAACGAAAACAUUUUCAUAAUCAAAACUUGAAGUUCACAUAACAUGCUCAAUUCUCAUCCAUUUUUAAAUCUAAUCAUAUCUACGUGCUCUACAUAGUGAGAUCUACACAACUAUAACAAGAAAACAGCAAAAAGAGAUGAUGAAUUUCAACUCACUUGGAAAUGCAGGUUGAUGAAUUCGUGUGUUCAAGCUCUCAAAAGCUCCAGAUCCACUCUACUACACUUGACUUGAAGCUUUGUGCACGAAUCAACAGUUGAAACCACCUGGAUCUAGCUCAAUUUCCAACUUCCAUCUUCAUGAGAUUGUGCUUGAAUUGCUCCAAUUCUUGAUGAAUUGCACCAAACCAAAGCUGAUUCUUGAUCAGUGAGAUAUGAGGAUCAUGAUUAUGCAAAAAUAUUUGAGGUUUAUGUGGAAAAAAUGGAAGAAUCGGAGAGAGAAUUUCUUGAAUUUUGAUCUCAAAAGUUAGUUAUGGCAGUUAUGGCUUAGGGUUUGGCUUAUAUACUCCAUGCUAAUGACCAUGCUAAUCACACUUUGCAUUUGUUAAUCAAGAUUAAGGAGAUUUGAAGUGAUUUGAAAAAAUGCAAAAUGAGUUCAUUAUGCCAUGUUCUACGUGUACAGUACCAUGCAAGGCUUGGAAUUCACUUAAAAUCAACCAAGGAUCAACAUGGAAUUGGUAUUUUGCUUGUAUCAUAAGCCAAAUUUGAAUUAUGGAAAUUCCCUCCAAAAUAAACACAUGAGAAAUGAUGAGCAUACACACUUUUCCCAUGCAUGGCAAAGGCUAUUUUGAGAUGUCUUGAACAUUAGAAGCACUUUGCAAAAAGAAUGGGCCAAUUUGGAGCUUUGUAUCAAAAGUUAGGCCAUUUUGAAUUUCCAUGCACACCUUGUGAUCAAAUGAUCAUAACUCCUCAACCAUUCAUCAUAUGGACAUGAAUUAAGGCUUUUUUAAAAGGGGAGAAAAAGAUCUACAACUUUCAUGUUCACCAAAAAUCCAUUUGAAACAUCUUUGAUAUUGAAAAGUUAAGUUGAAGGUGGACCAAAAACUUGCCAAAUUGGGAAACUUUGAAUUACAGGUUACUUUCCAUUUUUGGAAACUUUUGCCAUGACCUUUGCAUCUUCAAGAUGUAUGUUUAAAAUUAUGAAUGGACCUCCUUUGAACAAGAUUUAGGUGUCUCAAUUCAUUUCCCCACCUCAUAGCCCUCAGUUGACUGCAUAGUUGACUUUUGGUCCUCAGAUGACCUUGACAUGCUUUGAUUCACUUGAGUCUCUACCACUUGGGGAAAUUGCUCAAAAAUGAAACCCUAGUUCAUGUAAGCUCCUUAUAGCAAUCAUAUGAUCCUCAUCCCCAGAAAAUACCUCAUCUCUUUGAGAAGCCUUGGUUGGAAGAAAUGCAUUGAUUAGGGUUGACCAGAGGUCACAACCCUAAUCCCAAGGAACUUGAGGAUGAACUAUGAAACCCUUGAUGAUGAUAGAACCAUGAUGAUGGUAAGAUAUCCUUUCAAACAAGAUGAUGCCCAAGACCUUUGAAGAAUCAAGAAACCCUAAUUGAAGUACAAACCCUCAGAUGGUUGAUAAUCAAUUCAUAGAGACCCUCAUGCUUGAAUCAUGUAACUUCUCCAUCUUUGACAAGAUUUUGGAGGAUGACCUUCUUAUUUCCCUAUGAUAUGCAAAAUGCAAUGCCUAAUGCUCUAAAAUACGAAAUGCAAUGUGUCAAACUAGUCUCAAGAAGAGGAGGGCAAAUUUUGAGGUGUUACACUAUGAUAAGUGAUUUUUUUAUGAUUGAUAUGGCUUUGGUAUGAAUUGGAUUACAUGGUCUUGGAUGUAUUAAUUAAUGUUAUUUAAAAUGAAGAUGGGAUUGAAAUGCUAGAAGUAUGUUAAAAUAUGCUUAAAUUGGAAGUUUGCUGCAGGUAUGAUGAGCAAUGCAUAGAACCGCAACUUACAUACGGUUAUGCUCUAAUAUUGUACUUUUCAUUUUAUCAAAGCCAAAAUUUCAAAUAAGAAUAUAUAAACAGUCAAAGUUAAAAUGAUACAUUUAAAACUAAUUUUACAUGUCUUGGAAUUGUCACCGCAUUUGUGUAUAAAUCAAUUUCAGGAAUACUUUUCUUGAGGGAACGGGGGGUCCGGCNNNNNNNNNNNNNNNNNNNNNNNNNNNNNNNNNNNNNNNNNNNNNNNNNNNNNNNNNNNNNNNNNNNNNNNNNNNNNNNNNNNNNNNNNNNNNNNNNNNNNNNNNNNNNNNNNNNNNNNNNNNNNNNNNNNNNNNNNNNNNNNNNNNNNNNNNNNNNNNNNNNNNNNNNNNNNNNNNNNNNNNNNNNNNNNNNNNNNNNNNNNNNNNNNNNNNNNNNNNNNNNNNNNNNNNNNNNNNNNNNNNNNNNNNNNNNNNNNNNNNNNNNNNNNNNNNNNNNNNNNNNNNNNNNNNNNNNNNNNNNNNNNNNNNNNNNNNNNNNNNNNNNNNNNNNNUUUUUCAUUUUAUUCACAAAGCCUAAAAUUUCAAAUAAGAAUUGAUUCACACUCAAAUUUCAAAUGACUAACAAUUUUAAAACUACUUUUACCAUGGUUCUGAAUUUGGUCACCUUUUUGGCUACUACUAUCAAUUUUCACGAAGAUCCUUUCUCUUUGAGGUGAAAGGAGGGGUCCGCGAUUAAAACAUAUGGUCAGAAAAAGAGGAAGGGACUUGGGAAAGUAAAAGAACAUAUAUAUUAUGUUUCCAUGAAAAAAAUCAAUGGCCAUUAAUGAAUGUUAAACUGGACAAUGUAUUUGGUUGUGGAGUUGGAUAGCAAAAAAUGGUUUAUGGCUAAUGAGAAUUUGAAUUGGAUAUGAAAAUAGGCUUAAGAAUUUGGGUAUGGGUAAAAAAGGAAGAAUGGGUUUUAAUAAAAAUAUAGAAUGCAUGGAUUAUUUAAGUUCACUCACCAUGGCCCACUAGUGAAAAACCGAAACAAGACAAUUUUAACAAUGGGAUCAAAUCGAAAUUAAAAAAGGUUAAUGGUUCCUAAAGUUACUUUGAUAAAAGAAAAGCAAAGCCUCCUAAAAAUCAACCCAAAGGCCGACUUGAAACCCCAAAGACCAAUUUGGGCGUAAACCCAUCUGAACCUCCGAGAUUAAAUCAGAUUUGAAAUCAAUUUGAAAAAGAAGACUAAGACACAAAUGAUGACUGAAUAAGCGCCGGAUUGAUGAAUCCUCAUGGCGCGACCUAUGGGUCAGAUCGUAUCAUGGCCAAAUGGACGAAUGGAUAUCGACCCCAUUAUGCACCAGAAACAUAUGACCAAGAACCAACUGGCUAAUCAAGAAUGGAUCCAGACCCCUAAAAAUGAGAUAUACAACCCCCUGGGACCCCUGAUCAUCAAAACACGUGGCAAACCCUGAUGAUCGAGGCAAUGAUCAGGUAUGAUCAAAUACCUUCAAAUCAAGCAAUUUACCAAACAAAUGAAAUUAUUCCCCGAUGUUAUAGACCAAGACAUCAGGGCUCGAUUGCCUGAUCCUCCUCAAAUUGUGAAUGAACCAGAGUGCUCACCAGGUGCAAGCAUAAAGCCAUGAAUCCAAAUCACUUGUAUCCUCUUGUAUUGGACCAUGAUUGUGCAGAUGAAAUGAAAUGUCUGUAAGGCUAUGCAUAUGAUUAAGGUUAGUGACCUAGAUGAACUUUGUGAAAGGUAGGGUGAAAUUUGGGGUAUGACAGUAACAUGUUGGGAUGAAUGGGGCUUUCUCCCAUUCCUUUUCUUGUUCCUCUUUUUGUUUCUUUUCAUGCCUCAAAAAUAUUUUGAAGUCCUUUACUGUAAGGGGCAUGUCACUGCUAGAGUCAGAUUCCUCUACUUUGAAUGUUAGGCUUUUGGUUUUCUUUUCUUGUUCAUCAUUUAUGACAAGUCUUUUAAGUUCCAUCUCGUGUACCUGUACUUUGAAAAAUAAAGUGUUUGUGUGUCGAUAGUUAAAUUCUUAAUGACUAUUGGGUUUCCAACUACGGUUUAGGCAUCUAAGAAAUUUUAUAACUAGGUCCUCGUUUGAAUUACUUUGAAAAAUAAAGUGUUUGUGUGUCGAUAGUUAAAUUCUUAAUGACUAUUGGGUUUCCAACUACGGUUUAGGCAUCUAAGAAAUUUUAUAACUAGGUCCUCGUUUGAAAGUGUUAUUCCCAGAGUUCUCAUAUGACAUAUGAUAUGGGUAAAUUGUCACUACUGCGUAAAUGCUCUUUCACCCUGGUUGGAAAAGAGAUACGAUCACGGUUGACCAACUAUGGUAGGGUAAGGCAUAAUAGUAAGUAUGUUGCUUUCUAGCACAAGCAUAUGGCCGUGAUGACAAACUAUGUCGCACGCUACAUAUCACAAAGGUUAUCUCAAACAAUCUUGGUGAAACAUAUUAAGGUCGUGGACUCGAUUCCCAAUCAUAAUAUGAUAUAUAAUAAUUGACACUCUAGCUAUCACCAUGGUGUCUUAUUCAAUUAUGGUGAAAGACUUUUUUUUAAAAUAUUCUUUUUUAUUAUUCCAUUUAUGUCCCCUUUUUUUUAGUACUUAUAUGCUAUAUUUUACCAUAAUAAAAUUAGCAAAUAUGCAUAUCUUUGUAACCAAAAUAUGACUAUAAAAUAUUUCCAUCAAACUUAAAAGUAUAGCAAACAUAUAAUUACAAAAUAUAGCUUUACCAAAAUGUAACCAGCCUAAAUAUUAUUUACAUCCAACAUAAAAAAAUAGUAAACUUAUAUUACAAACUUAUGUAUGAUCAACCUUACCUAUAAAAUGCAUUGAAAAAAAACACCAAACAUGCAUAUACGUCUCUAAAAUCUUCUUCUGAUAAUGAUGUAGUGUCACUACAAUAUACAAUAAAAAAUACACAACUAAUAUUUGUAAUAGUAAAGAAACACAACAAAUACUAUAAUUUUUGUUGAUUAAUAUAAAAAAUAAUAAUACAACACAGAUAUUUAUCAUUAAAGCAUAAAAAAAACACAAGAUAAAUAUUUGAGCGGCAAAAUAAAUCCGCUUCAAAUCAAAUGCAAAUAUAAAUCAAAUAAAUUUUUCAUAAAAUAAUAACAAGAAAGUUUGCACAAAGAUAAUUAGACGAUGAUGUUAUAGAACUAGAUCCAUAAUCCAUUACGAUAUAAGAAAUAUAAUAUUUUAUUGAUAUGAUAAUAAGGCAUACAUGAAAACAAUGCUAUAACAACACAACAUAAGCCAUAUAUAAUAAUUCAAACACGUUUAAAGGAAGUGAGGUUCCUUAAGUGCUUCAAUGGCUGAUCCGACACAGCAGCUUCAUAAUUGUUAGACGAUGAACCGUCUUUGGCAGAAAGAGUGAGGUGGUAGUUGGUCCCUGCAACAACCUGUGAUUCACCUUUGAUAAGUUUCUCAAACUCCAAUGUUGCUCCUUUUUGCUUGUUGUACUCGACAACUGCGAAACGGGCUAUUUCAAUCACAUAUGGAUCAGUGAUGUUCUUUAUGGGUGUCCAACCGCCUGGUAUAGCUUGAUUCAGAGUGGCCGAAGCAAACAAAAUAAGGAAGAGGAGACUAAGGGAUUGAAAUCUCAUGAUGUCUGUUAACUUGAGAAAUCAAGAUGGUGUGAGUUAAACUCUGUGGUGUGGAGGAGUAGUUAUAUAUAAUGUACAAAAGUUAUGCCAUUUUUGGUGAUAUACUCUUUUAUUCGUUGAAUUAAAUCAAAAAUUUCAUUUGAUUUUAUUUCAUGAAAAUAAAAUAAUUUUUUUUUUACCAAAUAAAUAAAAUCUCUUUAAUAAUAUAUAAUAUUUAAUAAACCUACAAUUAGUUUAAUAGAAAAGUAUGGUCAAAAGUAUUAUAUUUAAUGUCAUUCAAGGAAAAUGUUGUCAAAAGUAUUAUAAAUAAUGUUAUUCUAAAAAAUGUCAUACAAUGUUUCUGUUUUUUUAAUAUAUUUAUUUAUAUAAAACAUUUGUAUAAUAGGUUGUUCUAUGUUUUUGAUUUUAUCUUAAUAAAUGAUAAUUAUUUUUUUUCAAUUUUUUUAAGUAAUAAUGAUAAGAGAUUAAUUACUAUACACUGUCAGUGUAAAAAGUUUUACACUGUCGGUUCAUCACCAUCACCCGUUUGUAUUACUUUGUAGAUUUUUAAAAUAAAAGUCAAACAUCUUUUAAUAUUCAACGUCUAUAAUUAACUGACGGUGUAAAACCCUUUUACACUGUCAGUGUAUUUCAAUUAAUCUCUAAUGAUAAAUAUUUUUCUUCUAUAUUUUAUAAUAUUUGACAUGCACUUUCUUUCUUUGUCUCAAUGAAAUAUUUAUUCCUUGUUUAAUUUAAUAUUUAUUAGUGACAAAAUAUUUGUUCCGCGCCAUUUAAUUUAUUAUGACAAAUUAUAUAAUUCUAAAAAAAUAGAACAAUUAUUUUUUUUACAAUAAAAAUAAAUAAUCAUUAUUUAUUAUUAAUAAAUAACAAAAUAGGAGACAAAAAGUUAUCAUUCAUGUAUAAAAAAGUGCAAGAUAAUCAUUUUUUUUAAUAUAAAAAAAAUGGGACACAAAUAUUUAUUGUUGAUGCAUAAACAAAAAUGUGACAAAUAUUUUUUAUCGAUACACAAAUUAAUUAAUAAAAUGUAAGUUCAAGAAAAGGAAACAUGUUUUUAACAUAUAGGUGAAAAUUGAAGACUAUAUCAUCAUAUAAAUAAUCCGGUUUAAAUUUCUUUGGCCCAUAAAAAAAUAAUGAAAAAAAUAAAGGGAAUAUAAAGCAUUAAAUUCAAGAUGUGUGUGACUGAAACGGAGGAGGGUCUCCUUACCUUUUGUUGGUGCACAAGAUCAAGCCCAAACUCAAAAGGCAAACCACAUGAUCAAUGAGUACCAAAGACCAAGAACUAGGGUUUUGCGCAUAAGUAAAUAUCAUGAUUGUAAUAUUUAUGAACCAUGGUCCCAAGCAAUAAGAAUUAAGGUUUCACCCCUUGAUUCCAUAUUGAUUGCACCACCACAAUCUCUAGGGCUUGAUCCUCAAGCAAACCCUAGCUUUUGUCAGGUAUAUAUAACCACAAACUUUGAGUCUAUAAUGUAUGUUUGAGAGUGCUAACAUGAAUGAAUGAUGCAUAUGUAUUUGAUAUGAAUGAGUACAGAUGAAUCUCAAACCACACGUCAGAUGAAAAGUAAAAAGGGGAGGGCAAAUUUUGGGGUAUGACAGCUGCCCCUAUUUAAUCAUCUUAAACCUGAAUGUGUGAAUUGUGACACCUUUUCGGGUAUUCAAGGUAGAAGAGGAUUAAAUACCAAAAUAUUCGGAAAUUUUCCCCUUGAGAAUGGUUGUAAUGUGAGAAGGUAAGUGUAUUGGGAAUAUGGAAUGACAAGUAGACUUUUAUAGGUUCAUCUGUUGGGGAUUGACUGAAAUACUCUGUUGGGGAAAUAUAUCAGUCGAAAAGGAAAAGCAUGAUAUGCAUGCUAUAUGCAAUGUAUGUUUAAUUUUUAAUAAUACAUGAAAUUAUGUAUUCUACAUAGAAAUGUGGGUUAUUUUAUGAUAAAUGAAUGAUAUCCACAAGGGUAAGAUUUUUCUGGUGUAGAGUAGACUUCAACUCACUGAUAGUCGCACCAAAGAACAUGUAAUGAAGGAAUGCUUUAUGUUACCACCACUACUGGAUAUGUUCACUUGAUCCUGCUGGGGAGGAAAGAGUGUGAUCUGAUCGAGCAUUCAUUGAGAUGCUCUCAUAUAUCAAGCACUUUCUAGGUAAUCAAAGCAACACACAAAGCUUUGCUUGUUCAUUUUCAAGGCUUCAUGCUAUGAGCGAAGCGACAUGAUUCCACAUGGUGAUGAAUUAUGCAAUGGUUAACCAGAUGCUCAUGUGGCGGGAGGUGGGAGAUUUAAGACUAGGAUAAAGGUCAUAAAGACGUGAUUCUCCGAUGCCAACUUCAGGCUCAACAGUUUUCGUCACACCUUUGCGCUGUUUUAAAAUAGGGAGAAAACGUGUACCUUAGUAGCCUACCUCUUCCCCAGUCUGUAGGGUGUCUGCAUGAAUUUCCCCAAUCACAAAUUAUGAAGCAGUCUUGUCAUGGGAAGAUCUUGAUUUGGCUUUCCCCAGUGUCUUGAAACUGUAUCUCCUUGAUCAACCAUUUCCAGGAGUGUUUGACUUCUCGUGCUCUUGAGUUGGCAUGCCCCAUUAUGAGCCUUGAAGUGACUUUAUCCCUGGUUGGCUAAGCUAGGAGAGAUUUGUCUUCUCGAUGUGAUUGCCCCAGAUUGAAUGAGUCUUGAAGUGGUAUUCACUUCUUCUCAAGGGAAUGUUCAGGCAUUUUACCCUUUGGUAUGAUCAAACUUCCCAUUAUGGAAACUUUCUUGAUGUCAAAUGCUUGUUCGUAAGUAAAAAUGUUUAUUUUUCAAAUGAUAAUUCUAACGUUAUGUUUAUGUAAAUUUUGAAAUCCAAAUAUGGUCACUAAAAUUAUGAGAUAUAAUGAAUGAAUCAUUAGUUAAUAUGUCAUAUCAAUACCAACAUAAAGGAUAAGCAAAUCUUUAAGAGUCAGUUUUACAUGAUCCUAGUAUAGUAUGCUUUUCAAAAUAAACCAUGCUUCAAUUAGGUCUUUUGAGGGUUAUGAUGUGGCCUGGUUCACGGUUUUAGAAGUAAAGGAUACAAGGCUCGAAACCUAUUCUAACCCGCCCAUUCUCCUUGAUGUUCUACAGUCCUACGUUCAGCUCGCUCAACACAAACACUUAUUUUUCAAAAUGGAUUCUGAAUAUUAGUUGUGAUGGUUAAGGGACCCAUGAGAUUUUGAGAGUGACAAUCACCCACCUUUUACUUUUUCUUGUAGCCACACGAAUUUUCUCUUGUUGAGGAUUCUUGAUUCCUCUUUUUUUUUUCUUUCCCUUAUUUUUGCCAGGACUGAUCCCUUUUUAAUCUUGCAGUCCAUCGGGAUGCCCUAAUUUUCUCCUAAGUCACUUAUUUUCAAGUUUUCGACUUAGCAGACUUUUCUUUUGCUUUUGAUUUCUUUGCAUUUCUCAUUUUUCUUCUCUCUUUUUAAUCUUGCAGUCCAUCGGGAUGCCCUAAUUUUCUCCUAAGUCACUUAUUUUCAAGUUUUCGACUUAGCAGACUUUUCUUUUGCUUUUGAUUUCUUUGCAUUUCUCAUUUUUCUUCUCUUUUGAGAAAAAAUUCUGUGACAUUUGCUUGAUUUGUUGAAAGGGUUGUGACUGUCUCGCUCCUUUUUUUUUGUAAGGGAUAACCAUUAGGGAUCUGUGAUUCAAUCCUCGCCUGAGGGAUAUUAUGUGGUUGAUCCUUAGAUAGGAUACUCUCAUUUUUGAAAUUUCAACGCACGGUCAAACUAGAUGAAGACUACCCUACCCCUGGUUAAGACUGAGGGUUUUAUGUAUAGAAAGAAACUCCUACUCCAAGGCCCAAAGCGUUGACUAGGGAUUAUCUUCCUUAUACCUCCGGUGUUUAGGGAUUUGAAACAAUGCCUUACAUCGUCAACAAGGUUUUAUUCAAAAGCAUACAACCAGUAGUCUCGUGUACUUUGAUUUCAUCAUUCUCUUUUGAUUUUUAUUAAGCAAAAGUAUGAUAUUGUAAAAAAGAUAUGAGUGAACACGAAUGGAUUGAUUCAAAACAUGCAUAUUCAAUUCAUUAUGAUUAUUAUUAAAAAAUAAACAAGUUUUUACAAGUGGAUAUUACAUUGACAAACAAGAAAAACUAUAGAUGAAAAUGAAUGAAAAAGUGAUCUUCAGUGUUGAUUAGUCACCAUUUGUGCUAGAAUUUUCAUCAGUUAUACGUCAAGAAACCAGGUAAAUUGUAGAAGUUUCAGCUUAAUUAUGGGUAAUUCGAGUCAGUUGGUGUCUUAAUAGUAUUUUCUUUGUUUAAGUUUCUGUUAUCUAUUUUUAUGCUUUUGGUAUGUGUGGCAUGUUGGAUCUAGGUAUAAAGGCACAAGGAAUCAAGGAUCGGACGCAGGACAUGGCCAGAACAAGGAAUUAGAGAAAAAAAGAAAAAAAAAAGUGCAAGCAUCUUCCCAUAUGCAUAUGUACUCAUAUAAUACACGUAUGAACCUGCACUAUACGCGUACCUUACUGUAGCACCUCAAAUUUGCACCCAUCAUUGUACAUACAUUCUCAUAUUAGGUCAUAGCAUAUCAUGGUCCAUUGCAUAGCAUUGCAUUGCCUCAGUUGCCUCAAGUACAAGCAAGUCAAGAAUUAGGUCAAGACUGAUCAGAUCGGGGAGAUCAAGUGCACCAAGCAAGCAAGGGUGUUUCUCAAGGAGAAAAGGCCCUAGGUUUGUCCAACAAGUUCACAUGACUUGGAGGUCCAUUUGAAGUUUUUAAGUCAAGGGUGCGAUGUUCAGAACCAUCAGUUCAUGCACAGACAGUCAAAAACCUAGAAAGUCAAAGUUAGUCAACUGUGUUGAUUUUGGGGUUUUUUUUUUUCGGGGGGGGGGGAUGGAUGGAUUGGGUUUGAGAGGGCUUAUUCAUGUCCAAUAGGCCUCAUAUAUCAUGGCAAUCAACUCAUUGAAGAAUUUGAAGCCAAUCAGAAAAUUUCCAAAAAUAGAAACUGGACUGUAAUUUUAACUGCAAAAAUGGAAAACUUCUUGAUCCUCACUUGCAUCAUGAUACAAGGCUUCAAAUGAAUUUUUUGCCCAACAUGAAAGUUGAAGAAAAAAAUCUNNNNNNNNNNNNNNNNNNNNNNNNNNNNNNNNNNNNNNNNNNNNNNNNNNNNNNNNNNNNNNNNNNNNNNNNNNNNNNNNNNNNNNNNNNNNNNNNNNNNNNNNNNNNNNNNNNNNNNNNNNNNNNNNNNNNNNNNNNNNNNNNNNNNNNNNNNNNNNNNNNNNNNNNNNNNNNNNNNNNNNNNNNNNNNNNNNNNNNNNNNNNNNNNNNNNNNNNNNNNNNNNNNNNNNNNNNNNNNNNNNNNNNNNNNNNNNNNNNNNNNNNNNNNNNNNNNNNNNNNNNNNNNNNNNNNNNNNNNNNNNNNNNNNNNNNNNNNNNNNNNNNNNNNNNNNNNNNNNNNNNNNNNNNNNNNNNNNNNNNNNNNNNNNNNNNNNNNNNNNNNNNNNNNNNNNNNNNNNNNNNNCAAGGGUUGGAUGUUCAGAAGCCAUCAGUUCAUGCACAGACAGUCAAAAACCCUAGAAAGUCAAAGUUAGUCAACUGUGGUUGAUUUUGUGGUUUUGAUGGAUGGAUUUGGUUUGAGAGGGCUUAUUCAUGUCCCAAUAGGCCUCAUAUAUCAUGGCAAUCAACAUCAUUGAAGAAUUUGAAGCCAAUCAGAAAAUUUCCAAAAAUAGAAACUGGACCUGUAAUUUUAACUGCCAAAAAUGGAAACUUCUUGAUCCUCAACUUGCAUCAUGAUACAAGCUUCAAAUGAAUUUUUGCCCAACAUGAAAGUUGAAGAUCUUGUUCUCCCAUUUUCAAAAAGUCCAAGAACUCUCAAAUCCCAUGAAUGGUUUGCAAGAUAUGGUCAAAUCAUUUUCACAUUUUCAUGAACUUCAAAUGGCCAUAUCUCAUGAUUCCUUUGGCCAAAUUUGAUGGGGUUUUUUCCUACAAUCUCCAUUUAAUCCCCUCUUUCCAAAAAUUCAUUCAUCAUUCACCAAAACCUUGCCAAUCAAAAUGGCAUUUUUUGACUUGUUUCAUUAAAAUUCAAGUUUGACCAAAGGUUGACUUUUUGAUUUAAUUGUUUUCAGCACAUUUGGCCAUUUGGAAUUGAUUUAGAAUGUCAUUUGCAACAUGUUCCAAGCCCAAAUUCGUGCACUUGCUAUCACAUACCACCAUUUUGGCCAAAAGUGCAAAAUUAGCAAUUUGAUUAAAAUGAGCAAAGUUUGGUUAGCACUUGAUUAAGCUUUGUUAAACAGCAAAUAUAAAGUGUUUUUUCUGUCAUUCUAAACCCUAGUCACAGCCUCCUAACACACAGAAUUCCUUCUUCUCUCAUUUUUGCAUUUUCACACUUUGAGAAUUUCUGACCAAAAGCUUCAAAGUGCUCGAGCAACCCUUGAUUGUUUCAUCACUUGGCCAACCUUUGGAAGCUAUUUUGGACCUUAUUCCUCGACUGUAAGCAGAGGAAACUCACUGUUCUAUUGCAAGCUCUCUCAUGGCAGAUUAUGGUUCAAGCUAUCUCGUGCAUUCUUGAGCUGAAAUAACUUCAUUAUCCAUCAUUUCAAAGCAUAAAGCACAUCUGUUUCGAGCUUUGAAGGCCAAAUAACCAUUACAACUCAACUGUUCUUCAAUCUUGGUAACAUUUCGAAUCUCACCUUUUACCAAAUUAGCUAUGCUAGGAAGGUCUUUGUAAGCUGAAUGCCAUUGCAAACUUGUAACAUCAAAAAUGGUAUGAAGCGGACGAAAUCGAAUUCUAUGUGUGACGCAAACUAUUCACUCGACUUCCGCUUAGUAAUGAGUUAAUGAGAUCUGGUUUCCAUAUUUGGUGGUCGGUGGAUGAUGCAUUGAUGUAUGAUGUCAUCUGGCAUAAAAAUCNAUGCCAUUGAUGUAUUUGAUUUGCGGUUCUGGGCAUAAAAAAUUUUCGAGUUGAUUUGAAGAUGAUGAAGCAUACUGUAGCAUUAAAACCCUAGCAUUUUCCAGAAAAAACCCCUGUUUCACGUAUUGCAUGUGGUUGUUUACUGUGCAUUUCCAUGAUAGCCAAUUAAAACAUUUCAUUUGCCUGGCUGAAACUCUGCGUUUUGAUAAGUAAGGGCGGUAAUUGCAAAAUUGCCACCGGUCAACCAUGUUGACCUAGUAUAACCAUGUUCUUUGUUCAUUUUUGUCUCAAUUGUUAUUCAUCUUCCAAAAUUCAUUUCUCACUCAAUUUAACUCCAAAAAUCAUGGAAUUUUUUGCAUCAUGUUCAUGAGAAUGUCUUUUAUUUUAUCAUGAUUUUUGCUGAAUUUUUGGUUGGCUGUAUUUUUAAUGGUGCUAGUUUUCUUAACAUGUAUGCUCAUUUGACACAUGUUGCCAAUCCUUUUGUGAAAUGAUCAUGUUGCAUCCUUUUGAUCUGAAAAUUUUUGUGGUUAUUCUACACUCAUCCAUGCUUAUUUUGGUAUAAAUUUCAUGAUUUUAUCAUAUGUGGAUUGAGAGCUUUGAUUUUUUUGAAGUAAGGUGUUACAUUUGAUGUCACACCAUGAAUGUGCAAGUUCAUGAAUUUUGUUGACCUACUUCUUGGCCUCCAAUUGACCCCAAAUUUUGCAUGAUCCCUCUCAUAUAUGUCUAGUUGACUUGUGAAUUUUCUUGGAUUUAUUUGAGCCAUUUCCUAAUUACUUGAGAUUUUUCUUCCCUGCCUAGUCAUUUGUUGACUUUGUGUGACACACCUUGCCAUUUCAUUUGGGAAAUUCUCAUGCCUUAUUGUAUGAUCAUGCAAUUUUGCAUGUGCAUACUAGACAUCUUGAGAUUUGCAUUGGUGUUGAUCCCAUCCAUUUCUAAUCUGUUUUCAUUUUGUUAUGAUUUUUUGAAGAUGACACAUGUUUUGUUGACUUCUUUGUGCACACUUGAAAUUGUGUUGACUUCCUGAUUUUAAUUGACUAUCUUCCCAUGAUCCAAUUGAGCUGAAAUUUCAUAUGCAUGCUAUGUUAUGGAUUGUGAUUGAGCAUGAAUUAUUUGAUAAUUUUUGGAAUUGAUUAUGUUUGCUUUUGAGCUUGGUCUUGCUGUUGACCUUUUGCAUGUUUCCUUUUUGCCAUGUUUUGACUUCUUUGGUCUAUAAGAUGAUAAUGAUGCAUGAUAUGAGUUUGAAUCCAAUUGUGCUUGCUUCUUAAAUGCUUGAACUUGACNNNNNNNNNNNNNNNNNNNNNNNNNNNNNNNNNNNNNNNNNNNNNNNNNNNNNNNNNNNNNNNNNNNNNNNNNNNNNNNNNNNNNNNNNNNNNNNNNNNNNNNNNNNNNNNNNNNNNNNNNNNNNNNNNNNNNNNNNNNNNNNNNNNNNNNNNNNNNNNNNNNNNNNNNNNNNNNNNNNNNNNNNNNNNNNNNNNNNNNNNNNNNNNNNNNNNNNNNNNNNNNNNNNNNNUUGUGCGUGGAUCCCGUAGAGUACUACGGAUGCGUAGGGGUGCUAAUACCUUCCCUUCGCAUAACCGACUCCCGAACCCAUUCUCUUUGGUCGCGAGACCAUGUUCUUUCCUAGGUUUACUUCGAGCGUUUCCUUUCCCUCUUUUGGGAUAAAUAACGCACGGUGGCGGCUCUGUUGUUUCUUUCUUUUCCCGCCGGUUUUUCGCGUAAUGCGACACUUACGAUUUUUACCAGAAAGGAGAAAAAACGUGUUUGCUUCCCUUACGCAUAAGAACAAAGGUGUUACACGUAUGACUGUGACUAUUACUCGUACCAUGCGAGUUUCACUAGGAAGAGGAACAAAAACAAGCUUUUGUCCAUACGCGUACCGUACGUGUAAGGGCAUGCUUGAGAGGCCACUAUAUUGGCGUACACGUAAUGUAUGUCUUCAAGGAAUAAGGCAAUAUGCGUAUGACACUGGUCAUUACGUGUAUUAAAGCCCAAAUAUUCAGAAAGCCCAAAUUUUGAGUAUUUAGCUCCUUAACACGAUUUUACAAGGUUUGGACAAUUUUACUGAGAAAAAACAUGUUCUAAGGCUGGAUAAUUCAGAUUUUCAAGGUGGAUUCAAAUUUUCAAGAGUUUUCUGCAAUUGAAGACCAAUUCAUCUAAGAUUUCUGUAAUGACAAGAAUCUUUACUAUGUUUUCUUUUCUUUUUAUGAGUAGCUAAACCCCUUAUUGGUAGGUGGUGUCCCUGAUUCAAACUUGUAAUGGUUUUGAAUUACUUUAUGCAAUAAAAAUAAUUUUUAGUAUAGUUGAUUUAUUAUCAUGAACGUUCUAAUUGCUUUCUCUAACGGACAAACGGAGUUUGAUGUAUGUGAAAUAAUUAGGAUGACCGCCAUUAUUCAUGACCUGCUUGAGAAUAUAUCAUAGUAGAUGAUGCAUAGGACUAGGGAUACCAUAUAAUAACUGGAUUAUUCUUGAUAUAAUAAUGUUUAAUUUCAUCCUUGAUUUUCUAUGUACAUAGUAAUUAGGUUGAAUGAUUAAAGAUUUUCUCACUAAGGACUUAGGAGUAAACAUCCUUAAGAAUUGGUAGUCAAUUAUAUAAAAGUUGUUGUCGCACCGUGAGUUUGGAAUCGUUACAUGAUUGAAUCAUACACCUUCCCUUGCAUACUACUUAUAUUUAUCUUAACUGUUCAAGUAUUUUAUUUACUUUAUUCGCUUUUGCUUUUCUAAUUUCAUCAAAACAAUACAAAAACACCCAAGCUUUUGUUUUAAUUGAAAUUAAUCCAGAACUCUGUAUCAUCAAGCAGUCCUUGAAAUCGAUACUAGGGAUUUCCCCUUUUUGUUACUUCAUUGGCAUAUUAGUACACUUUCUAAUUUUCUGAUCAAACUUUUGGCGCCAUUGCGGGGGACUGCCAAAGAUGAUAGAGUUCAUAAAUCUAUUUCAGUUAAAGUUGUGUUGCUCUGCAACUAAAAUUUUAAAUUUCAGUUUUUUGUGUGUGGCUAUUGUUGGGUUAUAAAUAAUCUUUGUAAGUGAGAAAAGCCCUCAGCUGAUUUUACUUUUGAUGCAAAACCAAAAAGAACUUUUCACGCCAGGCUACGACAAGCUAAGGAAACAAGGUUGACUGCCACUGAAGCAAAAAUUUAUGAACACUCAAAUAUAGAAUCCCACAGAGAAAGAGAAGAUCCAAUUAUGGCUGAACCACAAGAAAGACUUCGUGGGGAUUAUGGAGGCGAAAAUGCCCCAUUGGUACAUUUAACUAUAGUGAAUCAACUAGUGAAUGUUCCAAAUUUUCAAUUGCAUCCAACAACCAUCUGUCAGCUUGAGAAAAGGCCUUUCACAUGGAAAAUCAAUGAAGAUGCAAAUAAACAUAUACAAAGGUUUCUUAUUAUGAGCACUACUUUGAAGAUUGAGGGGCACACUGAAGAAGCAAAAUUUUUUUGAGAAUGUUCCCAUUCACUUUAGCUGAAGACGCUGAAGAAUGGUAUUAUUCAUUGUCAGCUGGAAGUAUUACUACAUGGGAACGGAUGGAAACAACUUUUCUAAAUGAGUACUUUCCUGCUUCUGUUUAUAAAGAUAAGAUAUUGUGAAUUUUAAGCAGAAAGAAGGGGAAUCAAUGGGUGAUGCAUAUAAGAGAUUUAAAAGGUUACCGGUUGCUUGUCCCACUCAUAACUUGGAUCAGACUGAAUAGAUGAAAAUGUUUGUUAACGACCUCAGAUUGAAGACUAAGCAACUUAGUGAUACAACUUUCGGUGGCUCUGCCAAUUUUUACAACAUCCAUUAUUAUCAAGAAGAUAAUAGAAGCCAUUGCUGCAAAUGAACAUCUAGAGUUAUAUGACCAAAGUGCGAGUAAAAUAGAAGGUGUGAUUGACUUGAAAAGUUGUAAAUCAGAUUGUGAAGAUGGAAGACCAAGAUGCUGCUGAAGUUGAGAGAAGACUUAAGGCUAUGAAUAUAGGUACUCAACAAGUAGCCGAAGUUCAACCUGUUCAAGCGGUUGAUUGUGAGAUUUGUGGAGGGGCCUAUUUUCCCAUGCAUUGUGUUUCAACUACAGAAAAAAUUGAGGAAAUAAAUUUUUUGAAGCAAAACAACCCAUAUUCUAACACAUAUAAUCCGGGCUGGAAGAACCAUCCAAAAUUCUCCUAGCAAGAUCAGCAAGGGAAUGUUCAAAAGUAGGGUCCUACUCAGUAUCAAAACCAACCCAACAAUCUUAGAAUCCACAACAUCAACAACAGUAUCGACCACAGCAACAACAACAGUAUCGGCCACAGUACCAACCACAACAACAACAAUAUCAACAACAUGCACCCAAAAAGGCCAAUUUGGAAAUUUCCAUUGAAAAGAUGGUAGCUCAAAGUUCCCAGUUCCAAGUAGAAACAAGAAAUAAUCAAAGAAACACUAUGACUUCUAUAAAAAAUCUGGAGGUUCAGAUGCCAUAACAAAUAGCAGGUUCUCAAGCACAAGGUUCCCUACCUAGUGCAAGUAUGACAAACCCGAGAGACCAUAAUAAUGUGAGUGUAGUGACAACAAGCAGUGGGAAAUCACUUGAAGUUCCUGAAGAAAAAUCAAAGGAAGAAGACUAAUUGAUUGAAGUGGUGCUAGAAAUCAAAGAAAAUCAUACCACUACAGAGGAAUAGGUCACACCAAAAUAGGUUGUAAAAGAAAAACCCACUUAACGAAAACCAAUCAUCAAACUACCAUUUCCUACAAGGAACAUGAAGAAUGACCAAAAUGAGAAAAAAAUUGAAAAGUUCCUAGAGAUGUUUAGAAAGCUAGAAAUCUACAUUCCAUUCUCUUAGGCACUUGAGUCGAUGCUCAUAUAUGCGAAGUUCAUGAAGGAUAUUAUCUCAAAGAAAUGCACGAUUGAAACUGAACCUAUACUGCUAACUAAAACUUGUAGUGCUAUUUUAUAGGGUAUGAAGAUCUCAGUCAAAAAUAAAGAUAGAGGUUCUGUCACCAUUCCAUGCACCAUUGGGGAUAGAUCAUUAAAAAGGAACUUAUUGAUUUGGGAGCUAGUGUGAGCCUUACGCCUUUAUCCAUAUACAGGAAACUGGGAAUAGAAAUGGUACAGGAUACCAGGAUGACACUCCAGUUUGCAUAUCAUUCAGUGAAAAGACUUUAUGGUGUAGUUAAAGAUGUUCUUAUUAAGAUAGAUAAAUUUGUGUUCCAUGUUGAUUUUGUGAUCCUUGAGAUGUUGGAGGAUGAAGAGAACCCUUUAAUUCUGGGAAGACAUUUCCUAGAAAUAGGGAGGUGUAUGAUAUACAUUUAGGAAGGAACCAUGACCCUCAAAGUUUAUGAUGAAGAGAUAAAGAUUGAUGUGAGAAGUAUCAUGAGACACAAAGAAGACGUAGGGAAAAGUAAUGCAGUGGAUGUGAUAGAUAAAAUGGUAAUCAAAGUUAUUCAAAGCCAAGUCCAUAAGUUACCUUUGGAAAGAGUUCUUAGUUUGUCCGCCCAGGAAAUAGAGGAUAAUGAUGAUGAAAGAGAGAGGGAAGUUCUAGCUAUGUUUGAGGUACAACCACCGUGGUUGAGAUCCAAACCACAACGGUGGGAGGAUUUCAAAGCUCCACAAGAAGCUGAGACUAAAAAGGAAGUUAAAAUAGGUACAUGUGUAGAACUGAAGCAAUUAUAUGAAAAUAUGAAAUAUGUCUUUCUGGAUUCUGAAAAUAAUUGUCUUGUAAUAAUAAGUUCUGGGUUACAAGCAAAAUAAGAGGAGAAAUUGCUGCAGGUGUGUAGAAAUACAAAAGUGUUAUGGGAUGGACCAUUGGAGACUUGAAAGGGAUUAGCCCCAUAAUAUGCAUGCAUAAAAUAAUGAUGGAGGAUAAUCACAAACCAGUGGUACAACCCCAAAGAAGGCUGAAUUCAGCAAUGAAGGAAGUUGUGAGAAAAGAAGUGGUGAAGUUGUUGAAUGCAGGGCUAAUCUACCAUAUUUCUUACAGUUCAUGGGUGAGUUUAGUACAUGUGGUACCAACGAAGGGAGGAACAACGAUGAAUCUAAAUGAGAAAAAUGAAUUGAUUCCCUCUCGCAUGGUUAUAGGAUGGAGAGUGUGUAUUGAUUACAGGAGGCUCAACACCACAACAAGGAAAGAUCACUUUUCUCUUCCUUUUAUUGACCAAAUGCUAGAGAGGCUUGUAGGUCAUGAAUGUUACUGCUUUUUAGAUGGAUAUUCAGGGUAUAACCAAAUUGUUGUAGCCCCAGAAGCUCAGGAUAAGACAAUGUUCACAUGUCCUUAUGGUAUUUUUGCCUAUAGGAGGAUGCCAUUUGGGAUGUGCAAUGCCCCUGCUGCUUUUUAGAGAUGUAUGACAUCUAUAUUCACCGAUAUGCUUGAAAAGAACAUGAAGGUGUUUAUGGAUGAUUUUUAUGUUUUUGGAUCUUCUUUUGAUCACUGUUUAACUAAGUUAUCUCAUGUUUUGGAAAGGUUCCAGGAAACUAACCUUAUUCUUAAUUGGGAAAAAUGCGAUUUCAUGGUACAUGAAGGUAUAAUGAUGGGUGAGAAAAUCUCCCACAAGGGGAUAUAAGUUGACAAAGUGAAAGUGGAAGUAAUUUCUAAUCUCCCACCACCAGUAAAUGAAAAGGGGAUAAUGAGUUUCUUAGGACAUGCAGGUUUCUAAAAUUGUUAAGGACAUGCAUGAAUGUAAUGAUGUGUAUUAUGCAUGACUGGUUUAUGCAAUGGUAUGAGGGUUUACGGAUGCCCCAAGUUUGGGUAUGGUGUAAUGAAUACUGAGAAAAAAUUGCUUUGGUUGUAAGGCUCCUGAUUUAUAGGGUAUGAGUUACGUCUUGCAUGACUACCCGACAUCCUCAUAGUUCUUGAUAUUGCUGGAGGAAGAAUCUGACAUGGACCUUCUGAUGCCCCAAAUUGGAUCUGAAAAGCUCUUACAAGAAAGGAGAGAGACUUUCUCUCUUCAGACAGUCUUUCCCUAGUCUGCUGGGUAUUUGCAUGAAUUGCCCCAGUUACUGGUUAUGAAGAAAUCUUGCCUCUGACUGGCCGAUAUUUGAGGGAAUGCCCUUAACUAACUAAUAUUUGGAGAGAUUUGUCGAAUCUCGAUGUAACUACCUCAAAUUGAGUGAAUCUUAUAGAUACUUCUCGACAUGACUGCCCUAGAUUGACUGAAUCUUGAAGCGGCUUGUCUUUCUUCUUAAUGGAGUUUUUAGCCAUUUUGCUCCUCGACAUGAUCAAACGAAGUGGCUUGCCCCUCCUCAACAGAGUCUUUGGGAAUUCUUCACUUCUGUUGCAGUCAGGAUCCUCAAUUUAUGUUCAUUGUGGAAGAUUCCUUGAUGUCAAAUGCUUACUCACGAGUAAGACAGGAUCCUUUAAGAAAUGAUAAUGUCAAUGUUAUGCUAGUUUUGAAAUCCAAUUUUUUUCACUGGAAUUAUGACACAUAGUGAAUGAAUCACUAAUGAUAAUGUCAUAUCGAUACCAACACAAAUUAUAAGAAAAUCAUUAGGGAGUCAGUUUUAACACGAUUUUACUGAUCGUAGUACUUUUUUGAAAUAAACCUUGCUUCAAUUAGAUCUUUUGAGGGUUGUAACGUGUCCUGGUUCACAGUUUUAGAAAGAAAGGAUUUAUGGCUCAAAACCUAUUCUAACCCACCCAUUCUCCUUGAUGUUCUCCAGUCCUAUGUCCAGCUAGUUCGAUACAACCGCUCAUCUUCCAAAAGGGAUUUGGGAGUGAAGGGAACCUACAAGGUUUUUAGAGUGGCAGUCACCCACCUUCUGUUUGGUUUGUGGGAACACGAUUUUUUUUUUGCUGAUGAUUUUCUUUUUUUAUUCCUCUUUUGCUUAUUUGUGUUUUUUUUAUUUCCCUACUUUUGCUGGAUGGACUCGGAUUUGCAAUCCACAGGGAUGCCCUAAUUUUUGCCUAAGUCACUUGUUCUCAAGUUUUCGACUUAGCGAACUUUCUUUCUUUCUUUUUUUGGUGGAACAAAUUGUGUGACAUUUGUUAAUUUGAUUUGAAGGGGUUGUGAUUGCCUCGAUCCUUUCCGGGUGAGGGACAACCAUUAUGGAUUUAUGGUUUCCGACCUCUCGUGAGGGAUAAGAUAUGGUUGAUCCUCAUAUAGCACACUCCUGUUUUGAAGUUUGAACGCCUGGUCAAACUAAUUGACGACUAUCCUACCCCAGGUUAAGAUUGAGGGUUUUAUGUUUAAAAAGAAACUCCUACUCCUUGGAUUGAAGGGGUUGACUGGGGAUUAUCUUCCUUAUAACUCCGGUGUUUGGGGAUUUGAAGCAAUGUCUUACAUCAUCAGCAAGGUUCUAUUCAAAAGCGUACGUGCAGUGAUUUCAUGUGUUUUCAAUUUCAUCAUUUUCCUUUUGAUUUCGCUUAACAAAAGUUUGAUAUUGACAAAAUAAAGUAUGGGUGAACACGAAUGGAUUUAUUCAAAUCAUGCAUAUCUAUUUCAAUGUCAUUAUUAUUAAAAAACAAACGAGUUUAUUACAAGUGAAUGUUAUAAAUGACAAACAAGAAAAUUACACAUGAAAAUGAUUGAACAAACUAAUGAUUGCUGGAGUGAUCAACCUUAUUCUCUUACAUGUGGGGUCUUGAAGAAGCUGAUGGGACAGUCUGACAUAUAAAACUCCUUUAGAUCUACCAUUUAUAUAACUAUGGCACUGCAUAUGUGCUUACCUGCAUUACAUUUGGAACAACUAGCGUGAAUGAGAUAGCUUUCGAGUCGAUUAGGUCUUGGACCUUAUGCUUCAUAGCUCUGCAGUUCUCGACAGUAUGCUCAAGUGGUCCAAAAUUGAAUUCACACUUAGCAUUGGAAUCACAGCCUUGAGCGAGAGAUGUUUGGGGAGGUACUAACUCUCUAUAUUGCACCAAAGAGUCUCAAAGCAAGCUAACAAGCAGUUGACUGUACGACAUAGGGAUCAAAUUUGUCCUUAUCUUUAGUUUCCUCAGUUUCUGCUGCCCCUACUGAUAAUGAUUAUGUCAUUAUGGAGCGUAUGGUUGUUGAUACUGCAUUAGUGGAGGACCAUUAGGAAUAACAUAUAUGUUGGCGGCUGAUACAGUUUAGGUGCUACUACUGCCACCUGAUGGUAUGGCAUUUGGUAGGUUCCAACUCCCCCCUUAGUGAUUAUGGCAACAUUGGUCUCACAAUCCUUCUUCUUUGGGAAUCCGGAAUAAGAUUUCUUUGCUCCAUUGGCCGUAGCUAUUGUAUCUUGUUUCUUGACGACCUUCAAGAAGUUCUCGAUUCACUCACCAGUAAUGACCAGGUUUGAGAAUCCUGAGGAGACGCUUCCAACCAUCCUAUCGAGAUAAGGCCCCUGAAGGGUGUCCAUGAACAUGUGUACCCGUUCUCUUUCAAGAAGGGGGGUUGAACCCUGGCAGCUAAAUCUCUCCAGCAUUGGGCAUACUCUUUAAAUGAUUCAUUUGUCUUCUGAACAAGGCUUUAGAGUUGAGUUCGAUUGGAAGCCAUGUCUAAAUUAUACAGAUAAUGCUUUAGUAAGGCUUCAACAAGUUCCCUUAAGGUUCGUAUAUGUGUGCGCUCGAGUUGCAUAUACCAUUCCAGAGAAGCCCCACUAAGGUUGUCUUGAAAAAAGUGCAUUAAGAGUUUUUCAUCAUCAGAAUGAGCAACCAUCUUUCUGCAAAAGGCUCGAAUAUGGGUCUUCGGGAAGGUGACCCCUUGAUACUUUUCAAAGUUUGGAACUAGGCACAUGUCAGCAACAUCCAUCCCAAAGGUAACAGGUCUUUCUAUUGCUUUGAACCUCUCCUUCAUUAUACGAAACUUCCUUUCGAUGUCAGCAAGAGAAGGACCAAAAGCGUCAUAAACAAAAUAAGCCUUUGUAUUGAAGAAAGCAUCUUGAUUAUCUUCGUUCUCAGGUUAAGCUCUCCCAUUGAUAUGGAUAUUGAAUGUAUGACCAACAUUUUGAUAUAAUGGACCUCUUUCAAGAGGUGGUUGAGCCACAACAUGUGUACUAGGUCCUCCUAGUGGAUUUAUUGGCAUUGUCACAACAACAGAGUUAGAAGCGGCAACUCUCAGAUUAGCCUAACGCAUUUCCUCUUAACCUCUAGCCAAAGCUUGUAUGGAUUCAAUAAGAUGACCCAUAUGGGCCUUCAAAAUGGUCAUAUUUUCCCUUAUAACAGCUUGGUUCUGCUCUAAUUGAUCCAUGAGAAGUUUCUGAUUACUGCAAGUAUUAUAUGGAUGCCAGGAAGCCAGCUUGAUUGUAGCAGAUUCUGGAUAAAGGCCAAACAACAAUGAGCUUUCUGAAUAGAUAUGAUGAAAUGCAAUGAUGUAUGAAUGUAUGCAAUAAUUAUUUUUUUUGUGUUCCCAGAGGAAUGCGUAUGCUAAGUCAAUUUUAUGAUGCGAUGAGCUGGCAUGCGUCAUCAUAGAUUCAACAACUUAGUAUAAUAUAGAGAUUCUGGAUAAUCUGGCCAUAUAACACAGUAUAAAAUCAAAGGUCCGACAUGACCUAGAAAAUCCGGGUAACCUGUCCAUGUAGCUCAGUAUAAGAUCAACAGUUUGAUAUAAUUUGGAUAAUGUAACAUGUCCAUGUAACUUAAUAUAGGAUCAAAGGUCUAACGUAUAUAAGAGAUCAAUGGUAUGAAGGGUCUUGGUUUCCUGCACACACAAAAAAACAAUAGCCCCUCUCACAGGUGUGUAUUACUCCUCAAAGAUGGUCCCUAAAAGGUAUCCCAGAGUCAUUGACUCAAAUGAAAACACCAUGCCAUAGCGAAUUCUCACAGGAUAAAAGUACUUCCAAGUGAAUCUAGUCUGAGUGUGGUUCUCAUGACAACCUAACGGGAAAAAUGAAGGCCUACACGACUACCCACGAGUCUAUCCUAUGUAUAUACUUAAGCUUCAGUGUAGAGUUUCUCUCAUAUAGUAUCAUCACAUCCCAACAUAUAAUAUGACAAAUAAUAUCCAGAAUACAACAUCAUACGAAUAUUUAAAGCAUUAAGGUAAAUGCAACAAAUAACAUAAAGAAAACGAGUAAAGCAAUAAAGAUAAACACCUAAAAUACGCAAAGAAAACAAACAAAAUUGGGCUCAACUUGCUUAGGAAAGGGUCCCCGGCAGAGUCAACAGCUGAAGCUACGCGAGUUAUACCCGAGCAUAUCGCAUAUUCAGAGAAACAACAGAGUCGCCAUCGAACUUUAUUUAUUCCCGAAGGAAUGGGAAAACAUCGAUAGAAUCCGGGGGAAAGAGAAAAGGGUAAGGAAGUCAGUUAUGAAAUGGGAAGGUAUUAUCAUCCCUCAUAUCCAUGAUACUCCAUGGGAACCGCUUUGAAUUUUCUUUGCAAGAACGAGUGUUACUAUCUGAAGAUUACUCGUGAAAGGGGAAAUUAGGGGUUAAUAAUUAAUGUGCUCGCCAAGGAUUAGGGCGCUUGUGCCUACAUAUUCUCACAGUGUAAUGAGAAAGUCAGAGCUCCUUAGUUUGUGGAACUAAGACAGAUGUGUUAUUUGUUUUUAAUGAACAAUAUUAACAUUCGCGUUCUACUGUCAACUUGCGUGUAUGCUCGAGCAUGGGAGUCUGAAGCGUCUAUUUGUUUGCGAUAGAAUGGAUGAACUUGGAUCACACUCUAGUAGUUAAACAUUGCUUGCUCACACAUGAAGGCUUAAGCUUCAUUCACGGUAGAAUGGAAGUAACAUGUCCUUUCUGAAAAGGUUUUAAACUAAAAAUGAAGCUCAAAGGCAAAAUUAAAUUUGAUAAGGUGAGUUUUCUUUUAUUCUGAAAAGAGAGUCAUGAUUCGAAUCGUACUAAAGUCUAUGAAUGGAGAUGAAUACAGUGAAGAAUUGGGUCAUGCGUCUCGUACCCAAAGAUAUUCAGAAUGAGGAUAGGAAUUCUCCACUCUCAUCCCUUCUCCAUUACUUAAGACUUGUAGCGUACAAUAUUAAUCAUAUUAUUAAUUGUUUUUUGAGUUUAUUCACAAAAUGGUUUUAGUUUUACUGAGAGAGAACAAAGGGAGAAGAAGAAACCCUAAAAAGUUGAGGUCUGGUCUUCAUUCUGCAUCCCAUAUUUGUGUAGAAAAACUUAUCAAUCAUCCGAUUUAAAUUGCACUAAAGUCUAUGAAUAUAGAUGAAUACAAUGAGGGUCAUUCACCCCGUACCCAAAGAUAUUCAUAAUGAGGAUAAGGAUUCUCCAUUCUCACCCCUUUUCUAUUACUUAACGCUCAUGACGUGUAAUUUGCAUCAUAAUUGAUGAGUUUUGAAGUUGAAUUUCCUUGCAGCUUCAUGUGAGGAAAGGUUGUCCUUUAAGAAAGGAGACUUGACAAUCAACUUAUCAAAUUAUGCUAAAGUCUAUGAAUAUGGGUGAAUACGAUGAGCAACUGAGUCAUUUGUCUCGUACCCAAAAGAUAUUCAGAAUGAGGAUAUGAAUUCUCCACUCUCAUCUCUUCCCUAUUGCUUAAGGCUCAUGGCACAUAACUUGGCUCAUGAUUGAUAAGUGUUGAAUAAACCUUUGUAGUGCUUGGAUAGUAGUCUAAUAUGUCUUGUACUGAUUUGAAUUGAAUGAAGUCUUGAAUUUUGAUCUUUGAAUCUUGAAAUCUUAUACAAAUCUUGAGAUCCAGUAUCCAAUACAUAUUUAAUAUAAGAGACUUUCCCUAUCAAGUGAUCAAGGGUCUUUUUAUCACUUGAAUAUGCUUGGGGAAUUGAGCACAGUCAAAGGAUUUAAUUGAUCAAAGCAAACUUUGAUCAACUGAAUCAAUCGGGGAAAAAUCAGUUGAAAAUGAAUUGAAUCAUGUAUACAGUAAUCUAAAGGAUUAAUUACCCAAUCAGAAGAUUUUCACAAGUCCUAAACUAAGGGAACAUGCAAAUCAAGAUAUUAUACACCCUAUGGGUAAAAUGGUCAUUAUCCUUAAAAUGAAUUAACAAACCUAAUGGUCAAUUACAAUCCCAGCAUAGCAAAAUUAACCUAAUGGUCAAUUACAAUCCCAGCAUAGCAAAAUUAACCUAAAAACGAAUCAUGGAAAAAAAUCUAUACUUAAGCAUGUAAAUCCAAAUCAUGAAUAAAGUAAACAAAGUGGAUUAAUCAAACUAAAGAAAUGGGAAGUUACAAUCUAAAUAACAACUUUAUUUAAUGAACAUGAUCUUGAGAAUUAUAAUGUGAUAUACGGAUCAAAAUGGAAAAUUAACCUAAUGGAAAAAUCAUGGUAGAAUCUACAAUUAACCAUAUUAAUCCAAAUCAUGAAUAAAAUCGACAAAUGGAUUGUCAAAACCUAAUGGCAAGUGAUACUAAAUCAUGGCACGAUUAAUCAACAAUUGAAUUAUCUUCCAAAAAAUCCAAAAAAAAAGGAUGUAAUUAACAUGAUUAAACCUAAAUCAAACUCUAAUUAAACUAAUCAAUUUUAAGGAUGAAAAAUUAACCUAAUUAUGAACAAAAACUUUAUUAAUCCCUAAUCAAGAAAUCCUAAUUUUAACCAAGAUUAAAGAGUGAACAGUAGCAUGAUUAAGCACUAAAAAUAAAUAAAAAUUAAGAUUAGAAUUGGAUAAGGGAGAGAUCAUCAAGAAUAAUCAAUGGGACAUGGGGUGAAUCAAAUGGAGGGAUGUUCAUUGCAACCCAUGUCCUCAUACAACAAUACCCAGGUAAAACGUUCAGUAUCCACAAAUUCUCCUCAAGUUUCACUUCACUUCCUCAUUGCAAAAUCAUAGGUCGAACGCGCUCAACAGAAGAAUUUCAACAAGAACGUGAUUCAACAUGUUAUUAUCGAAUUUCAUACGUAAAAAAACAUAUAGCCAUCUGUCGCAACCUGAAAAAUAAAGUGCGAAAAAAAACAACCGGCGAAAGAAAAAGACAGAAGAGUCGCCACCGUGCGUUAUUCAUCCCAAAGGAGGGAAAGGAAACGCUCGAAGUAAACCUGAAAAAGGAAGGACAAGACGGGGUCUCGCAACCAAAUCUUGGGUUUGGAGUCGGUUAUACGAAGGGAAGGUAUUAGCACCCCUACGCAUCCGUAGUACUCUACGGGAUCCACUUUUUAGUUCUUGUCUAAAGGGUGUGGGUUUAUCUAAUGUACUAUUUACUAAAAAGGUUAAGAGAAAUGACUCGCGCGGAUGUCGCAUCAGCUGCAUACGUAUCUCAUCUGAAUAUGAGAAUCAGAGUCUUCGUAGCUCGGCUACCUAUGGGUUGGGGGGAUGUGUGCUCGCUAAGAACAUCGCGUCUUAUGCCUACGUAUCUCAUCUGGCCUGAGAAUCAGAGCAAAACGUAGUUCGGCUAACUGUGGGGUAUGGAUUGGGUUUUGGACAAACGACGUCACUACGCAAUCUACCGGAUGCUCGACCUUUGGAGACUUACUCGCCUGUAGUAGAAGGAGUUAACGUGUUGCUUUGGGUUUAGGGUUUGGGAUGCUCAAGGGCAAAAAGGCAGUCCUUGAUGAAGGAACCGCGCUACCUGCAGGGAUACGAACACAUACAAAACAAACAUGUAUAAAGUAAAUGUGCCAACAAGGGGCUCAGAAGUAAAUAAACAAAAGAAAAACAAAUGCCUCCUAUCGAGGUCUUCCAGCUAAGAAAGCGAUAAAUGUGGAAAAGAGGUAAAAGUACCACACGGAUGAAGAUCCGAAGUAACAACAAUUAAAGGAGUAAGAAACCCAGGGACUCCCAAGCUAAUGCCAUCAAAGAAAAGUGAGUCAGUACAGGUAAUCGGAAUGAACCUCCAGGGGGUAUCCCACAAAUAAAGUGGGAAAACCACGCAAACCAUCUCUGCAAGAGUCUGUGAGCCCUCACAAAAACUCAACAAAAGGGUUAGUGAAACACGAUAAGCAUUUUUUUCAUGAAUAACAGUAUGGUUUCAGAACUCAAACCCUGUGGCAUACAUUUCAGAAAUCAUGUGAUUAAACAUUCAAGGCAUAGGUUCACCCAUUCACAUACAUCACACAUUUAGAACAUUCAAAUUGAAGGCGUAAAAUAAUGGGAAUAGGGCAAACCUGAUUGGAGAGCUUGAUUGAAAUUGAGUUGCACCCGAGGCCCUUCAGGGUUUGGAGGCUGCUUGAGUUCUCUGUCAGGUUUCUCUUCAGGUUUUGUCCAGGGUUUUGUUCCAAGGAACCUCAGAGUAUUUUGCUUCUCUUCCUUUUUCUCAAAGUGAAGCCUUGGUAUUUAUAGACUGAAUUUCAUGGUUUUGUGGGCUCAAAUGAGAGAGACCCAAGUCCAAAUUUUUUUUUAUUAUAUUUUAUUUAUUUAUUAUUAUUAUUUUUAUUUAUUUAAUUAUUUACUUAAUUAAUUAAUUAAUUAAAAAAAUUUUAUUAUUAUAUUUUUGUAAAAAAUUAUUUUUUUUCGUUUUUUUUUUUUAGAUCUAAUUCUGAUUGACAUGAUGAAAUGCAAUAUGAAAUGCUAAAUGAAUGCAUGAAUGAGGAGGGCAAAUUUUGGGGUGUUACACCAUCGAGAAAAAUCAAGGACUCACAUCCUCAAUGCUUAAUCGAAGAACCGAGAAUGAAAAGUUGAGUUCGUAUUCUAACUCAAUCCUCAAGUUGCAAUCAACACUGAAAUCGAAAUCACUAGAGGCUUCUCCCUACGUGCUGAAUCGAGAGAUCAAAAGGAGAAGGGAAAUUUACCAGCUUGCUCCGACGUGGUGGCUCAGGUAACGACUUCCUGCGAUCUUCUUAUUCUCUUUGUUUCUACCUUUUUUCUUUUUUCUGUUUGAGAUGGUCGUCUCUGUUUGCGUAUUUAUCAUUGAUUCGGUUGUGUAUUUUGUAGAGAGUGGUUCAAAUUCUGGAAGAUUGGCUAGGUUCCAUCAUUAGUAGAAUCAGGUCAGAGCGAGUUUUUAUCUUUUGUUCUGGAAGUUUCAGGUUCAGUUUGAGUUUAAUUUAUAAUGCAGUUGCAAUUUGGUUUGAAGGUUUUUAAAGGAUGAAAAUUACCUUAUGAGUUCGUUGAGAGGUUGGUUUUUAUGCAGGUCCUCGAAGGAGUUCUUCUAGGGAGUUCUGUUAUGAGGAGGUUAUCACAAUUAGGAUGUGGAAGGUGAUUUUUGUUCUGUUAUGGUUAUGUGAGGGUCCAAAAAGUGAUUAGGGAGAUGGAGGUUAGUUUUGUUAUCACAGUUCGGUUAGGAAUUCUAGUUCAGUAAGUUGGAGAGAGAAGUUACAGUUUGUUAGAUUGGUUAAGAAGCGGUUAGAGGUCGUUAGUUGUGAAGGACUCAGUUAGUUAUUGUGAAGAUUGAAGUUAAUAAGUAAGUUGAAAUUGGUUUUUUCACUCUGUUAUGUAUGUGCUGGUGGAUCGAUUUACUGAGUUAGAAUGUUUUGCAGGGGGGUUAAAUUUGGUUUUGUUAUGUAUUAGGCAGGUUUGGACUAGUUUUGUUAUGAAAAAGAAGGUGAAAACAUGUUUUUCUUUGUAGGGUUGUACACUGAAUUUUCUGCUAUGUAUUAUGUAGGGCUUUCCUUCACAAUGACAUGCUAUGCAUUACUUCAAUGUGCUAUGUUGUGGAUCAAAGGCAAUGAAGUGUGGACUACAAUUAGGUGCAUAAAAGUUUGGAAAGUACUAUGGGCUCAAAUGUACAUGUUAUGGAAUUGGGAUUGGAAAGUGUAUUAAUGGUUGAAUAUGAAUUGUGUAUGGAAAAGUUUGAAAUUUAUUUUGAAUGUAUGGCUCAAUCUAUUUGUACAUGGAAUGUUUUUUGAUGUAAUUGGACAUUGAAUGUAUGGCUUAUGUUAUAAUUUGAAUUAAUGGUUGAAUGUAACAUUGUAUUUUUGGAAUGACAAUGGAUGUAAUGGUUAUUAUUGACAAUGAAUAAAAUGGUUAUUUGGACAUUUGAAUGUAUGAGUUACAUUGGUACAUGGAAUGGCAUUGUUUAGAGAAUUAAAUGGUGUAAUGAACCAAGGUUUAAGUCUUGGUUGUAAAUGGCUAAAAAAAUGCAAAACAGUUUAUGUAUUGUAAAAAAUGAACAUGGUUUAGAAUGGAUAUGUAGUGCAUUGAGAAAUAAAAUGGUUGGAAAAUGGCUUUGGUUAGAUGGUUGACCAAAAGGUCAACAGUUGACCAAUAGUAAACCUAGGUAAAGAUGUGUAUUUUUGUGUAAUACCUUAUGCACAAUCAUGAUGUAAUUGUAAUGAUAUAUAGUGAUACUUUAUGAUGACUUUAAUGGUAUUUACAUGUUUUUAAAUGGAUGGCUUUAGAUUGAAAUGAAAAUGAACUUGAAUCAUGACUUAAUGGAAUGAGUGAAAUGGACUUUGAAUGUGGACCACAAUGCCCUUAAACCAAAUGAAAUAUGCCAUUGAAUUAGACCUGAACUAAUGAACUCCAAUCAAGCAAUAUCAUGGACAUGUAAAACUUUGACUUAAUGCACCCUAAUCAAGGCAAUGGAACCAUAAACAAGUAUGACAUUUGAUGAAUUAUCAAUCAAACCAAUGAAUCCUCCAUAAAUGACUAAAGGACCCAGAUGACCCUCAAGCUUGAAUGCGCACAAAAUUGGUGAUAGUGCCACAACCAACAAUUAGGGUUUCAGACAAAGGUACAAGGCUCCACAAGCACUUCCCCAAACCAUGGGCCCCUAAUUAGGGUUUUAGGGACCGAAUCCAAUACCAGUGAAUCAGGGUUUCCCCUAUGCUCCAUGAUAAAGACAAACUAGGAUGAAGGGCCCACCUCCUAUUCAAUGUGUUGUGUGAUAAAAACCCUUAAAUCCAUGGCUUUGUGCUUCUCAAUGAAAAUGGAAUAUGUUAUGAUGCUAUGGGUAUGUAGAUCAAAUGAAUGACCACAAGGAUAUGCAUAUGAUUAGGGUUAGUGACCUAUAUGAAUGAUCAAUCACCAUUUUCACUAUGUUUUCAUCACUGAUUCGACAAGAAACCAUGAAUUCUGGAAUACUCUAUGCGCAUUAUGUCACAUUUUAAGUUAAUUUUCAUUUAUGUAAGUUAUUUAAGCAUUUUAUCGGUUUUUAGUUUUAUUUCAUGUAUUCGAGAUUUUAUGCUUUGGGUGCCUAUGUUUAUUUCCUCCAGGUCCAAGUAGAAGAUCCAACGGACUCAAUGCAAGAAAGUAGAGGGUUCAUACAUUCGAGGAAAGGAGAUUACUCAGUACAGGAGACCUGACACGGCCACCCGAGUCACCUGACACGAGCCGUGUCAGGAUGAAGGCAAAACAAGACAAGAGAUGGCUAAGACAGGGGCCUGACACGGCCACCCAUGUCAAUUGACACGGGCCGUGUCAGCCCCCCUGGGAUGAAGUUGAAGAGGAGGAUCAAGGCAAGAGCCUGACACGGCCACCCGUGUCAGCCCAGGCGCAAAAUAUUCCAAUUUUUUGGCUUUUUAUUUGGGCUUUAGUAGCAAGGACAUUCUGGGGUUUUCCAACCAAUGCCAAGGGAUUUUCACUAUUUUAGGAGAGUUUCUACGAGAGAAGGAGGACACUUUGGAGCGAGGAGAAAAUAUAACAUAUAGAAUUGUCAGACGAUCAAGAAUUACAGAGAUCAAGGAAUUCGGAGAGCGGAAGAUUUUCAUGAGCGGAAGCAAUUAAAGAUCCAAGUCAUCCAAUUACUUGUAAUGUCUAAUUUUUAUCUUGAAUUUGUUUUGAACAAUAUGAGUAGCUAAACCCCCCAAUGCUAUGGGGUGUCCCUAAUUUAGAUUUGUAAUGACUUUGAGUUUACGAUUGCAUUGAUAAUUGUUUUUCAUAAUUACGAAAAUCUUUUAAUGUGUUUAAAAUGCUUUCUUUUUCGGACCAAUUGAGAUUGUUGUAUGGUUAUCAAUUAGGUUGGACCGUCAUUGAUAAGGUUUUCAUAAGAUUACUUUGUAGUAGAUAUCACCUAGGACUAGGGAUACCCUGUAUUGUAUGAACCAGAGGAUUCUUGAUAUAAUAAGGCUUAAUUUCACUGGUAAUUUUCUAUGGACAUAGAGAUUAGGGUAGAAUGAUUAAAGGUUUUCUCACCAAGGACUUGGGAGAAAAUACCCUUGAGAACUGGUAGUAGUUAAUUGAUAUUUGUUGAUGCAAUAGUGACUCAGAGUUGUUACAAGGACAAAUUAUACAUUUUCCCUAGCAUGUUCCUUUUUUCCUUGAAACCCUUAUUUUUACAGUGUUUAUUUUAUUCGCCUUUAUUUUUAUAAAUCUGAAUCUAAAACCCCCCAAACACUAAUUUUUGUUUAAUUGAACGAUUAUUUGAACUUGAUAUUAACGUGUAGUCCUUGAGAUCAACAUCAGGGGAAUUUCCCCUUUAUUACUACAAAAGGCAAAAUAGUGCACUUGCUAUUUUCCCGAUUAAUGAACAUUAUGAAGGGUAGAGUGAAUUUUGGGGCAUGACAAUAUGCAUAAGACAUAGGAAUUGGAUCAUAGCAAGGAUGCCUCCUUUAUUGAUUGUGGUUUCCUUUGCUGAUUUGUUUCUGCUUCAUUUUUUGAUUUCCUUGGGCGGGUUUUUAAUGCAGUAGGAGAUAUUGUGCUUAGGGAGGAAGUUGUAGAAUUCCUACAGUUGCAUUUUGUAAGUUAUCCACCUUAAGUUUGUUCUCGGCUUGCUUACCAACUACAACUUAAUCUGAGAGAUCCAUUGUCAAGCUAUCUGGGAAGAGUCCCAAGGUCAUGCCAACUCUGCCUUCGACAUAAUCCAAACUCUUCUUUCACCUGGUAUCCUCAUGAUUACCCUGUUCCAUGAUUCUCUGAAAAUUUGCGUCGGUGAAUCGUUGUCUUUCUGUUUGAGGAAUGGGAAAUAGUGUAAGCAUGUUAUUUUAUGGUAUGAAAGGUUAUGAAUGCAUGGAUGAAUGAGAUGCAUGAAGGAAUUUUUUUUCACAUUUCCAGGGGAUCCCAAGAUUUUUGAAUGUUUAACACAAACUAAAGCUUUUGGAUUCCAUAAGAGUGUACAUGCUAAAAUUGGUUUUGAUAUGAUGUCAUGAGAUACAACAUGAUAAAUUCAAAGGUCUAACACAUCUGAAUAAUUUGUCCACACUCCUCAACAUGAGUUCAAAGGCAUGACGUAUCGACGUAUGUAGAGGCAUGUUUUCCUACACAAAACACAUAUUCCAUCACAAGGUAGGUUCUAAGACUUUAUGAAGGUUCUUAGAGUCGCGGAUCCUGAGGCAAAAAUAUCGUUAUCAUCACAAAAUGACUUGUGAGCCAACAAUACUCUCAGGACGAUCUACUCUAAGUGAGGACAAACCUCAACUUCAAAAACCAUAAGUUAACUAAAGGUCCCUAGAAUCAGCGACUCCCUUUGGAAGAAUGGUAGUCAAUGCAAAAUGACUUACGUGGCAAUGAAACUUCAAAAGGAAUAUACUCUAGGUGGGGUCUUCGUACCUUCCCAUCAAGACAACUACGUCUGAAAAGUCAGUAUGGAGCUCCCAAUCUAUCUCAGGUAUACUCUUAAAGUCUGGGUAUUGGGCUUCUCACUCAAUAGCAUCAUAAACCCAUCCCAUAAGAGAAAUAAAACAAAUAUGUCUAAGAUAUAAUAUAUGAAAGCAAUAAAGCAUGCGAUAAAUGAAAUAAUGGUAAAGCAAGUAAAAGUAGUUAAGAUAAACACCCAAACAAACAAGGAGACAAAAAAACUAGGCUCGACUCCUACUUGCAAGAGCAAGGAAUUCCCAUCAAAGUCGCCAGAUGAUGGGGAAUCCCACCGGCAAGAUUCCCCAGCAGAGCCACCAACUAAAGCUACGAGAAAAAUACUUAAGUGCGUCUCACGCUCGAAGAUACAACAUAGGUCGCCAUAGAAAUUUAUUUAUUCAAGAAGGAAAGAGAAAACAUCGAUAAAACCCGGAGGAAGAGAAAAAGGAUAAGGAAGUCGGCUAUGCAAGGGGAAGGUAUUAGCACCCCUUACAUCCGUUAUACUUAACGGGGACCGUUUUGAUUGUUCUUUGCUCGAAUGGGUGUUAUUAUCUAAAGAUUACUUGCAACAAGGGAAAAGGUAAAAAAGGAAUGGAAUAAUUAGAGUGCUCGGUGAGGAUUAGGACCCUCAUGCCUACGUAUCCUUAUAGUGCAAUAAGGAAUUCAGAGUUUCGUAGUUCAUAUAACUAAUGGUGAGGGAUGAAAGAGAGAGUGAUGUAAUGAUAAUAUGGUUUGAACCAAAGGACAAUGUUGUUUGCACCCGUAGGAUAGUUAUGUCUGAACCAAUGAGAAAAGGUGGCAUAUUGGACGAAAAUAAAGGGUUUUAUCCUAUAUAAGGACUUUCAAGGUAACAAAAGGAAAUGUUAGUGUAAACAACGAGAGGACUUACAAGACAAACAAAAAGGGCUCUUGGUUCAGAGGCAGGCGUUGGUUAUUGCCCAAAAGUAUAUAUGGAAUCCAAAGAAAGAUUGUAUUUGGUUCAAAGAGAAAGUAUAUAACUAAUGAAUGAUUGGAGGUUGGGGGUAGUGAAUGAUAUAAAAGAUAUUUAAUGGUGAAUGACGGAGGGUGAAUGGAAGGAUAAAUAAGAAUUAAUAAAUAAAUAUGCUCGCCAAGGAUUCGAAUCCUCGUGCCUACGUAUUCUCACUAUGAAAUGAGAAAGUCGGAGCUCCGUAGUUCGGGGAUCUAAUGCGGAACAAAGAAAGAAAGAGAUGAUUAGGUUGUCAAAAGGUGAAGGAUUGCCUAAACACAAGAGGAUUUAUAAGGCAAAAGAGAUCGAAUAGAUUCGUCUAGGCACGAGAGGACUUAUAAGGCAAACAAUGAAUGAGAAAUGAUUUGCCUACACACGAGAGGAUUUACAAGGAAAAAGAGCUCGAAAGGGUUUGUCUAAGCAUGAGAGGAUUGACAAGAUGAACAAUGAAUGAGAGAUGAUUUUCCUACACAUGAGAGGAUUUACCAGGCAAAAAAAGCUCGAAGGGGUUCGUUUAAGCACAAGAGGAUUGGUAAGACGAACAAUGAAUGUGAGAUGAUUUGAUUACACACAAGAGGAUUUACAAGGCAAAAGAGCUCGAAAAGGUUCGUCUAAGCACGAGAGGAUUGAAAAGACAAACAAUGAAUGAGAGAUGAUUUGCCUACAUAUGAGAGGAUUUACACGGCAAAAAAAGCUCGAAAGGGUUCGUCUAAGCACAAGGUCUUAUGACACGAAAAAUGAAUGAGAGAUGAUUUUCCUACACACGAGAAGAUUUACAAGGCAAAAGAGCUCGAAAGGGUUUGUCUAAGCACUAAAGGUCUUAUGAGACGAGCAAUAAAUGAGAGAUGAUUUUCCUACAGAUGAGAGGAUUUAUAAGGCAAAAAAGCUCGAAAGGGUUCGUCUAAGCACGAGAGGUCUUACAAGACAAACAAUGAAUAAGAGAUGAUUUUCCUACACACGAGAGGAUUUAUAAGGCAAAAAAUCUCGAAAGGGUUUGUCUAAGCACAAGAGGUCUUAUAAGACAAACAAUAAAUGAGAGAUGAUUUUCCUACACACGAGAGGAUUUAUAAGGAAAAAAAGCUCGAAAGAGUUUGUCUAAGUAAGAGAGGUCUUAUAAGACAAACAAUGAAUGAGAGAUAGUUUUCUUACAUACAAGAGGAAUUAUAAGGAAAACAUGAAUGUUAGGGUUCGUCUAAGCAUGAGAGGUUUGACAAGACGAACAAAGACUAAGAGAGUUUUCCUAAGCAUAAGGGGACUGAUAAGGCAAACAUGAAUAGGAUAUUAAUUGGGAUUCCAAGACGGGUAUUUGAUAAUGAGGUGAUUAACCCAAAGGAUGCAUGCGUAACAAAGACGAUUGUUAUGUUUGAUCAUUCAUGAUGAAGAUUGUUGAAAAUAUUGAAUGAUGAAGAGUUUGAAUGUUGAAAGAUUUGGAUGUUGCCUUAAGGAAGAAGAAUAUAUUUGAUUGUUUAUGAUUAUGAAAUUUGUUGGGUGAGUUUAAUUGUUGGUACUUAGAGGGAGACAAGCGUCUAACCACUGGCUAAGUACGACCAGCAAUUAGAAUACUUGGAAGUUGAGAGGAUAGUUUCAUCCUAACCACUCUUUUUCACUCUUAGAGCAUCAGAUUAGACUCAUUUUAUUUGUUAAGUGUUUUGUAAGAAUGUCAAGUAUCGGGCCACAAGCUAGGUACGACCGACAACCCAAGUACUUGAGAAUGUUAUGCACAAGUACGUACACCCCAUCUUUUUCAUCCAAUUUAUUAUGAAAAUGAUUUGAUGAAUAUAAAUGGAUAAAGAUAUGAAGUUGAAUAGGAUGAGAUGAAGAAUUGGAUGAGAUAGAAUGGAAAUGGAAAUGCAAAUGGAUGAGAUACUUGACAUUGGAUCAAGAACUCGUGUUGCUUUUGAUCUAACUUGACUUUGAAAAGCACUUGACGUUGAAUCAAGUGGGUCUUUAUUCUUUUGAAAAGUAUUCUUUUUAUCGUUUGAUUUUAUCUUGUUAAUUACAUGCAAAGUAAACAAUAAGGAAAUAAAAUUCUAAGUUAUUACAUGAUCAUGGGAAUGGGGGACAUAUUACCCACAAUGGGGGGAUGAAUCAUCAACCAUACAAAAAUGGGAAUAAAGGAUCCAUACAAACAUAUAAUGAUACCAUGCCCUAAAAUCAAUCAAGGGGAAAUGGUACCCUAAUAACUCCACAACUAUGAUUAUGUACCAUGCGUCAAAAUACAAUCAAAUGGAUACAAAUUGGUAUGCUAAUCUAAAUAAUUAAAAUUAGGGAUCGAGUCCUAAAUCUAAACAUGAAUCAAAAGUGGCUAAACAAUUAUGUAUCACAUUGAAUUACUAACCACAUUUAGCUAAAAAGUCAACAUACAAUGAGGGGUUGAAAAUACGAUGAAUCAUUACCUUUAAAAAUGACCUAAGGAUCUAAACUAAUUAGAAUCAAAUCAUGUUCUAAAGCAUUAAUCCAUUGAUUUAACAAAAUAGUUCAAAGUGAUUAACAAAACCUAAUUAAAAUUCUAACCAUUUAAUCAUGUAUUUUUGUAAAUAAUGUGAUCAAUCAUCAUGCAUUAAAAUGUGGCAAAAUGAUAGAAAAAUCAAUAAUAAAAUAAAAUAAAAUAAGAAGAGAAAAAAUAAGAAAAAGAAGCAUGGGGUGCAAACUGAAAUAUGGUGCAAAUAGGAAAUGGAAGUAGGGCCCAUGUGCAGAAAGCCCAUAUUUUCCUAACUUCUGAUCAGGGGUGCAUGAUGAAUUCAUGGUGCCAAAAGGAAAAUGUAUGGGCCUAACAGGUUAAGUCCAAGUACACUUGUGGGAGAGGGAGUUGAAAAUUUCAGAUGAAGUUCAAACUUGAGCAAAAAUGUGCGCUCCAUGACAACACAUAAUUCAAACAUAUGGCCUGAGCCACCCUCACAUCCGUCGCACUGGAGGUCGCCGACGACGGAGGAUGAGAGUUAUCUACUGAGAAAAAUACACCAUCUAAAUCGUCUCCUCCUUCUUCAUUCAUAUCUAUCAUUAAUUUUACAUUACUUCUAACCUAAAGCCUUAACCGGAAUGGGAUUAAUUAAGAACCCUAGGUGUUCAAACAUAAAUUAAAUCAUAAUCAUGCAUGGAAUUGAUCCACAACCAUGGGGCUUACAAUCUACUACCUUCAACCUACCAUCUGGUAACAAGAAUUUGGAGAAAUUGAGUGAAAAAGGAGAGCUUACCUGAGCGAUAUUGGAGUUCAACAUGCACCAUAACAGGUAAGGUAAUUCUUAUUCUCGUAUCAAUUCCUCUUUCUUCUUCUUCUUCUUGGUUCUGUGGAUGUGAAUGAUUGGUGAGAGUGAGUUUUUUUUACUCGAGUGAUUUGAGAUGAGUGAGUAUGAUGAACUGCACUGAGUGUUGAUGAACAAUCCUUUGGAACAGAGUGAUGAUGAUGUCAAUCAGGGUUGAUGAAGAAAUUGGUGAAAAUUUAUGAAUCCAAUGUUAAGUGAAGAUGAUGAAAAAAAUUGUGAUUGAUGAUUAUGAUCUGAAUAUGUGUCAAUGUUGAUGAUUGAUUUCUGUUGAGUGAAUAGGUGAAUAUGGUGAAUUGAUCUUAUGUGAAAAUUUGAUUCCCCUUGAAUGAGGAUUGACGUUAGCUUUUAAAGCCCUUAAAUCCUCUCAACCAAAUCAAUUAGAGGUGGUUAGUUAGUUGGCCUUGAAAAUGAGUGUGGAAGUUUGUUAGGAAAAACUGUUAAGGUUGUUGGAGAAUUGUUAUGACAGACUGAACUCAACCCUGUUAGUUAGUUAGGUGGUUUUUUUCUGUUAGAAAUUUUUGGUAGGUAGUUAGUUAGGUUAGGCAUGAGGUUAGUUAAGUUAGUUAGGGAUUAAGUGGUGAUGUAGCAAGAGGUUAGGAAUUUAGGAGGUGGAGUUGUGACAGCUAGAUUGAGUGAACUGAGGUUGCAGAAAUUAUGUUAUGAUGUGAGUGUCUUUGUGAUGUUCCAUUGCUGCUUGUUGUUGGUUAUGGUAGGUUUGAAUGGUUGUUGAGUUAGAUAUGUUGCAUUAUUUCCUGCUAUGAAUGAUGGUUGAUGCAACGUAGUAGGUCUGCAAUGCUACUUAGAUGUUAUGGCCUGCCAUGAUGUAUGAAUUACUGUUAAGUGAUGCUUGCAUUGUGGCUGCCUUGUUAUGCUUGCUUGCUGUUGUUGUUUCUUAUGUAUUGGUUAGUUGUGAUGUUUACAUGGAUGUUAUAAACAUAUGGAAAUGUGAAUUCAUAGCUUACUUAUACAUAAAUGCUUGUUAUUUCUGCUAUGAUGCAUUAUUGCUUGGAAUGUGGUAUGAGCUGCUAGCAUUUAUGCAUUAGUGUUGGAUCUGUCUUGAUAAUGUGCUAUGACUAAUUAGCCUACCAUGUUAUGUUGUAUUGGUACUAUUUAAUGCAUUAUUGGCUUUGGUUUGUACAAGAGAGAUAUGAACUGAUACAUGUUAUGUCUUAGCUUGUUAUAAAUCAAGGGUUGCAACUGUUAUCACUACGCCAAAAACUGGAAUAGACAGCGCACCUUAGAGGGCGCUUUCUUAAAGAAGCGCACUCUAAAGUGAAGAGAAAAAUAAGGAGGAAUAGACAACGCACUUUAGAGGGCGCUUUUGUAACAAAGCGCCCUUCUAAAGUGAAGCGAAAAAUAAUGAGGGAAUGGAGGGACACCAAUAGAGGGCGCAUUUAUGAAGCGCCCUCUAAGGGUACCCUUAGAGGGCGCUUUUAAAAAAGCGCUCUCAUAAGUCCAUGUACAUUUCCAGUUUAUAAAGCGCUUUUGGAAAGCCUUAGGAGCGCUUUAGAAGCGCCUCUUAGGCCCCUUUAGAGGGCGCUUUUUUUACACAAGCGCCUCUAAGUCCCUUAUUAACAUUAAAAUUAUAACAUAUAUACUGCAUGUCUCUUUAUUUUCCUCUCUAUAUGCUAUUUUCGUUUACGUAAUGGGUUUUCUCUCUACUGCGAUUACUUCUACUGUGAUUACUCUCGUCCUCCGUUCGUUCUCCCUCCCUACCGUCGUCGUCGCCGAGCCUUUUUCUGCUGCUGCAUUCACGUUCACUGUUAUCUGCGUCCACCGUCGCUGUUCACUUUUCUUCUCCAUCGUUACCGUCACCUUGAGGUAUCUUCUCUCUCCAUCGUACCGUUCACUUUCUUCAGGUGUUUGAUUGGCUUUUUCUAAACUGGUUUUCAUUUUGUGCAUUAUGGUUGAUAAUGUUGUUUAGGGCAAACGAGCAUUAUAUGGUGUCAUGGCACCCUUGUUAUAAGGUUUUUUAUUUCUGCAUUGAAAACUUGAUGUCAUUGGAGUGUGUUUGAGCUUGUGCUUGGAAGUUUGAUGAUUAUGGAUGCAGUUUGUUCAUGUUCAACACCAUAGUUUGCAUUGGUCUUUGUAUGCAGUAGUGUGUGUGAUGGUAUUCUAAUGAUGAAAAAAGAGAGAGUUUAGUAUUGUUGUAACAUUGAAGGAAAUGGAAGGUAUAUGAAUGUGUGUUUUUGUGUGUAGCUUCACGAAUAUGGUCAUUGUCUUACUUGGGGUCUUAUUGAAUCUUUCUAUUUAUACAGAUAAAAAUGGCUAACCAAGACGAUACCCAUUGACGCGAGUGGAUCACGUAACAAUGUUUGAAAAAAGAAAUCAAAUGAGGAUUGAUGUUAUGAAGUCAAUCAUUCGUGCAAGAGACAAGGGUGAAAAAUUCGAAAGUACAUUGGAGUGCUGAAGACCAACUAAUUGAGCCUAACGGUUCAAUGUUGACAAGUUACAUUGGUUCCCUUGUUCGACAAAUAUUCCGAUACAUGUCAUAAUUGGAGAAGUCCGGAAUUGAGGUUGGCAAAGAAAAAUAUGGUCCGAGAUACAGGUACUUACCAUAUAUUAUUAUAUGUUUUUUUUGUUGACUAUUUGUUGACCAUAUAUUGUUAUAAUAUUACUUAUAAUAACACACUCCUUUGUAUGUUUUUUAGAGAUCCUUUCACCAUCGAUGAAAGCGGCAAAAUAUUGUAUUCAAUUGGCCGGAAAAAGACUCCGAGGAUUUCGAUCCUUUUUGUCAACAAAUUUCUCAAGGAUGAGGAAGGAAACUUUGUUGAAGCAGAACGGCCAAUGAAGUAUGCGGAGAUUAUUUCAGCGAAGAAUGGGAUAACUUUGUCGCCAAACGAAGAAACGAAAAAUUCCAUGUAUGUCUAUUAAUUUUGGUAUUAUACAAUUGUUAGUUACUUGGUUCUAAUAUGCCUUAAACUUUUUUAUCCAGGAAGUAAGCGACAAAAUCGGAAAGGGCAUCAAAACCGCGUAUCCGUACAAAAAGGCGUACGGGAUAUGCACGGUUACAACAAAGAAUUGUGAGUAUAUUCAAAUGCUAUGACUUAUACAUUGUCACAAUAUGUUAUAAUUGAUGAUCUUAUAAAUAUUCAAUUUGUAGCUAGCCGAGGAGAAAGUGACACAACAUCUCUUCCGGAGCACGUAUGUGGAAGGCUGCUCGGCGUUGGGAAGGAUGGGGCUGUCGUUGAAACGUUUCAAAAUGUUUAUGACGAAUGUGUAAGUAUAUGUAACAUUAUUUUCUUAAUUAUAUCGAAAUUUUGUUAGACAUUAAUUCAUUUUUAAUCUCCUCUAAUAAUAUUUCAGGAGACUCUUAUCCCAAACCUUACCUUCAACCGAGGUCCAGGAUUGCAGAGCGUACUUAGUCGAGUACUAAAUGUUCCUGAGUAUUCGGUCGUGUGAGGGGUAAGGGUUUUUGUGUGACUCCGUCGUCAUUUUAUUAAAAAAAACCAAAACAAAAAUCCUUACAACAAAGAGGUGAUGGAGACCUUGGCGGUUUAAGGGCACAAAGUACUCGAACUGCAAAAGGAGAAUGCAGGUAUAGAGAGGAAAGGUGCGGUUCCGAGGCAAAGAUACUACGUGACCGAGCUAGUAUCAAUUGUCAACCGAAAAUUUCCCGAGGUAAUUAUAUAUGUUAUUAUGAAAUUAAAAUAGCACUUUUUUACUGACCACAUAUACACGUUAACAAUAACAUUUUAUUAUUGGUUUAGGGCAUACACCUUGUCAGCUGUAUCUAUCGUCACAACUUAUCGCAUAGUUGGCAAGGAAAAGUGCACAACAUUCGGGUGAAUUACUUCACCAUAAUCCCCUCCCGGUGGGAUAUAUAAAGUUUCGGUUGACCUUGUAUUAGAUACCGACCGGCUUCUACCAUUACCUGACGUUUUUCAGAGACAACGUUGAGCGAGAUGCAGUCGGAUCCUUUGUUGGAUGGCCGUCAGAUCUAAUUUUCCCAGAUGCCGAGGUAUAUAUGUUUCUAAAUGAUUAUGAAUAUUUAGUAUUCACAUUUCAAUUCAGCUACAAUUAUGAUAUUUAAUCAAUCCUUAUUACAUGGUAAUGUUAGACUCCUACAAGACCCACACAUAAAGCUGGUAAAGGGAAUUCAAGACGCAUCGAGUCGGUUGCAUCUACAAAAAGGUACAAAAUAUAUAUACCAUUGAAUUAUAUACGCAACGAUCUGUUGCAUCACAAAAAGUCAGGAUUUAAUUUAUAUGAAUUUUUAGGUUCCCGGUCGAAAGUUGAAAAAAGCUGGUAACGAUAUUCCAACGACGUCCGGGACAAAAUCUCAAAUUAUGAUGCGUCUUGAGAAAAUGGUGGAAGAGGCGAUAUUAUGCACGGCGCCAUCCGUUAGUGUAGAUUUUGAUGAAGGUGUUUUCGGAAUUGCUCAUUCGAAAUAAUUGCAAAGGAGGACAUGCAACAACUUUUUGAACACGAAAAUUGGGCAUCGCUGUCAUUCAUACAUACAUAUGGUACUCCGAUCAAUCUAUUACUUACUUAGUUGAACAAUUUAUUUACACAUUUUCAAUGAGUAGUCUAAUGUUUAUUAUGUUUCUAUUAGGUAUAUUAUGUAACAUUGAUGCGGGGAACUGAAUUGUGUACGAUUCAAUUUUAUUGCUGCUUCCCGUAUCAACACAAUGUUUUAUAACGAAAAAUCCAACAUCCGUAAGAAUGAACUAGUCGAUAGAUUCAUGGAGGCCGGCGAUAUACUACACCAGUUGUAUUUUUUACCGUUUAUUCUGGCAACGGUUAGAUUUUCUUUCUAAUAAUUUAUUUUAAUCUAUGUAUAUCUUUUACGUAGAAAAUUUUCAUGGACUAAAUUUUUGUUUUAUUUUACAGUGCGUCACUGGGUGUUGGUUGCUAUGGAUCUUUCGAGACUAAUGGUUGUAUUAUCUCGAUUCGUUAUCAGGUGAUGGAGUAAAUAUCCGAGUAUGAAGAAGACGGUUGACGCGUAAGUGAAAUUCCCCUAAAUAUUCGUGUGUAUUGUAUAUUUUAAUUAUGUCUGUCAGAUUGAUCUCAAUAUACGUUUUAUUUUGUUAAGGGCAAUACUAAAAUUUAGAUCGAAAAAUAAUUACCGUAAUAGGAAGACAUUACCUGGGUCAGAGUUCAGGUAUAUAUUAAGUAUCUUAUUUUGCUUAUAAUAGUGUUUGUUUUUUUUGCUUAUAAUAUGUUUGUAGAAAUUAACUAAUAUAUAUUAUUGUUUGUUUUUUUUCUUGUGUAGUGUCCUUCACAAAACAUUCGGUCGAUUGCGGAUUUUUUGUAUUGAGAUUUAUGAGAGAUAUCAUUGCGUUGAAUCGUAUGACAUCCCAAAAUGGUAUGGAAUAAUAACUUUAGGGUUUAUUUUAAUAUAUCGGAUAUUUCAUCUAAUUUGUUUACAAAUCAUGAUAUGUUUUAUUCUCUUAAUUGUAGUACUUUGAGGAAUACAAAUCUUACUCAAGAAGCUCAUUUUGGAUGUAAAUGAAGGAUGAAUUGUGUCAAUUCAUUUGUUGAUCAAGAAUCAUUAGCUAGGUUGUAUAUUGUUGUACAUAUAUGUAUGGAAUGUUUGUUGUUGUAGCUGUUGUUGUAUAUAUGUUGUAUAUUGUUGUUGUACUUUUACUAAAUCAUGAAUAUGUUGUUGUAUAUUGUUGAUCAAAAACAUAUAUUAAUGUGUAUAUAUGGGAGGAUUAAUGUUGUAUAUAAAUGGAUUCAUGUUGUAUAUAUCAAUGGAUUAAUGUGUAUAACAUUGGAUUAAAGGAUGAAAUCAAUAUGAAUUUUACACUUUUGCAGCAUGCGAACAGGUUACCAAUUAAAUAUCCACUGUUUUCAAAUAAAUUUUUUAAAUAACUAACACUUUAGAGGCGCUUUCUGUAGGAAGCGCCCUCUAAACACUUUACAUUGACAACUUUAGAGGGCGCUUUGUCCAGAAAGCGCCCUCUAAACACUUUACAUUGACAACUUUAGAGGGCGCUUUUCCAAAAGCGCCCUUAAGGUGUCCCUUAUGGACCACUCCAGAGGGCACUUUUUUCUGAAAGCACUAUAAUGUGGCCCUUAAAGGGACCUUUAGACAACGCUUUCUCCAGGAAAACAAAGCGCUGUCUUUACCUAUGCCAGCGCCACUUUAGAGGGCGCUUAAAAGCGCUGUUAUAGGCCAAAAUAAGCGCCCUCUUUUCCCUUAUUUGGCGUAGUGUAUACUUGAAUGAAUACCAAUCAUGUGCUUGUAUGUAGGCUUUACCAUGCAUUUGAUGAAUAUGGAUUAUCUUUAUCUUAUGGUAUGUUAUGCAAUGUUGCAAUUAAUUCAAUGAUUGUAUGCACGACUGAAACAAUCUUAGAGACAUGGUCAUGAUUGAAGCUUGGCAUGGAGGUUCAUGGUGAGAACUUGAAGAAAUCCAAGGCUUACUUGCUCAUAAAGAAAGGUUUUACCAUGGAAUCAAAUGGAAUGAAUGCAAGGAAUGACGACACAAUGGAUCAUUAGGAUUAGGAAUGUGUAAUUUUAGGUCAGUUGACUUUGGUCAACUGGUUGACAAAAAAGUCAACAGUUGAACAAAAGUUAAUUGUAGGUCAAAUUUGUUUUUUUUUUGUAUUUUUAUAUGGACCUUGUAAAAUGAUACUUGUAUGGUUAAAUGAGCAAAUUUGAAUGGAAAUACCCCUUCGAUUCAAUGAAACAUGCCUUUGAUUCAAAUUAUGACUUUUCCCCAAAAUCCAUAUUUAGAUCAUAGUUUGAAAUGAAUGAACCAUGAUCUUUAAAAAACUUGACCAAUAUGGACUAUGAAUGCAUGAUAACACAUGAACCAAUGGACUAUGAAUAUUUACCAUGAAUCAGGAACAAGUGGACUUAGAAUACACCAUGAAUCAAAGAUCAAUAGACUAGGAAACAAGAACCAAUUCACUAUGGAACAUGGACUAAUGCACAAUGAAUGCUCCACGAAGCAUGAAGUCAAUGGAAUAGGAAUGCAUAAUGGAACAAGACCCAAUGGACCAAAAAUGAAACAUGAAACAUGAAACAAUGAAUGCACCAAUAACUUGAAUCAAUGGACUAUGACAUUUGAAUGAAACAUGCCAUUUAUGAGGACCUUGAAUGUAUUAAGAAUCAUGAGCCAAUGGACUAUGAAGCAUGGAUCAAUAGACUGAAUGCACCAUAGACCUAGAAUUAAUGGACUUGAAUGGAAACUAGAAUGCAACAUGACUUGAAUGAAAGCUUGAACAAUGCCUUGGAUUAGAUGGAUCAUCAAGCAUGUAGGUAUGUAAAUCCAAUGGUCAACUUGAUGAAUUAUUCCCAAGAAUAAUAGUACACUUGAUGAUUGAUGAUGCAUACCAUAAUGAUCAAGAACCACACUCCAAUGAAUUAGGUUUUUAGUCAAUCAUAAGACCAUAUUAUCCACCAAUACCAAAUAUCCAUGAUUAGGGUUUCAUGAUGCAAACCAUCUAAUCAAAGAACUCAAACAAACAAGAAGCUCCACAAUCAAAUCUCCAACAAAUGGCCCCAAGAUUAGGGUUUCAAGAUCAAACCCAAGCUCAAAAGGCAAACCACAUAAUCCAUGAGUAGCAAAGACCAAGAACUAGGGUUUUAUGCAUAAGUAAAUACCAUGAUUGCAAUUUUCAUGAACAAAGGUCCCAAGAAAUAAGAAUUAGGGUUUUACCCCUUGAUUCCAUAUUGAUUGUACCACCACAAUCUCUAAGGCUUGAUCCUCAAGUAAACCCUAGCUUUUGUAAAGUAUAAUUAACCACAACCUUUGAAUCUAUGAUGUAUGUUUAAGAGUGCUAACAUGAAUAAAUGAUGCACUUGUAUUUGGUAUAAAUAAGUGCAGAUGAAUCUCAAACCAUAAGUCAGAUGAAAAGUGAAAAGGGGAGGGAAAAUUUUUGGGGUAUGACAACAAGAAGAAAAAAGAGACUGAUUUUUGCUUCGUCUUCAUCGUCCAAUUCAUGCUAAUUAUGUUACCGCAUUGUGGUUCAUUGUCCGUGGAUCCAAACCCCUAGGGUUUGGACUCCAAAUUGCUUCAGUUCAACGUUUGAUUUCUGAUUUUAGUAGUUUAUGGCUCAUAAGUGUUUUGCUUUGGUUUAAGGGAUGAGAGAAGAAUCAUGGAAACGAAUUGUGGAUUAUGGAAGAGGGGACUAGGAAGAUUGAUUUGAUGGUUGAUUAAAGGUUUUGGACCUCCGCCGCCGCCAGAGGUGAUUUCCGGCGCGACUGAGUUUUUAACUCUUGUCUCACAUUCUGAUAACGCGUUUUCAAACAAGAAACAUGAUUGAGAUAUCCAGACAUCUCCCCACUCUAUUGGCCUCCUUGAUAUAGGCUUAGGGCCCUUGGGCCCAUUGAAGUUCCUUCAUAAGCCCACUAUUUCUUGCGUAUACCCCCUCCUGGAUUGACACUGCCUUGUGUUGGGCUUUGCUUUGUCAAGCUCAAUCCAAAUGAUUCAUACAUCCUACUGAUGACAACACACCCCUUGCCUAUUCUUUAUUAUUAUUAUUAUUAAUUGGUUUUUUCAAUAUUCUUUUUAAUAAAAUCUUUUAUCACAUAUUACAUGGAAAAUACUUCGAAUAAUAAUGUUAACACUUAGAUUUUUAGAUUUUAUAUUUUCUUACGAUUUAAAAUACGUUUAGAAUUUUAGAAAUAAUAAUUAGAAUGCACUCUAGUUUAGAGAAUUACCCAUUAAUUUUUUAGAAUAAUCUUCAAUUAGAUUGUAGAAGUUAAAUAACAUGUUCAUUGGAUUUUUGGUUAAAACUUAAUUGUGUAGUUGUGAACUAAUGUUAACCUUAGAGGUUGAAAUACAUGAUUAUUACCUUUUAAUCCCUUUUUUACUUUGGUGCAUGUUAAUGCUUGAUGCUAAAAAUUAAUCAUGAUUAGUCUUAGGAAUUAAUUUUUAAGUAGAAUACAUUAUAAUUUAUUUCCUUUUCUUUUGCUUUUGUUUGUAUGCAUGGGUCAUGGUUGUGAAUGUUGCUUGAUUUCUUCUUACCAUUUGAUUUAUUCUCAUGUGCAUGAUUUAAUUUUAUGUACGGUGUAUGAUUAUCCCCCAUAUUUGGACAAAAUGUACCCCACUCCCAUGAACAUAUAACACUUUUAUCACUUUCCAUUUUAUUCCUCUCAUCACUUGUUAACUAAGAAAUAAUCAAAAGCGAUCUAAAAAGAACAUUUUUCAAAAGAACAUAAAUAAACUCGAUUAAACGUCAAGUGUUUUUAAAAAUCAAAUUCAAUUGAAUAUAACGCAUGUGCUUGAUCCAACGUCAAGUACAUCAUCCAUUUAAUUCACAAUCUUCAUAUUCAACUAGAAACACUUGAUCCAAAAUCAAGUCAUUUUCAAAGUUUUACAAUAAACCAGAUGGAAAAGAAUGGGGUGUACGUACUUGUGCACACCAUUUCUUAAGUACUUGGGUUGUCGACUGUACUUAACUUGUGGCCCAAUGUUUAUCUUCCAUUCAAAACACUUAACAAUAAAUGGCCUUUCCAUUUCACAGUUCCUACGAAAAUACUUAAAUGAAAAUUAGUAAUACAUAAAGACAUACACAAAUAUGGACGCAAACAGAAUCGGACCACAUAAACAUAGUUGCUCACAAACAUCAAAAUAACAAUUUCACAUAACAAAUUAAAAAAAAUCAAACAUAGUUGCUCACAAAACAUCAAUAUAACAACAACCAGAAGAGAAUCAGAGUAGCUCACAAACAUCAAAAUAUGAAGAAGAAAAAAAUGAACACGAACACAAAAGCGAACACAUACUGAAAUAUAAAGUUUCAAACUUUUAUCGGGUAUACCAAUAAGCAUUGCGUUAUAGGCUCAAAAUUAAUAACCUAGAAAAUGAACAAAUACAUGAAUAAUGAAGAAGACGGGACACUUGUUGGUAAAAUCAUUUGCAAAGUUCAUUUUGUUCAACCGGGAUGUUGAGUUUAUUAGUAUCAAAAUGAAAAAAAAUACAAAACAACGAUGAAGUGGAAGAACAAAUAAGAUCGAAAUCAGGCUGGUGCGAAACUAUCAAACGUCACCUUAAGAUUGAGUGGAUGGUGAAGGAGAGAGAAAGUAGUUUAAUAUUUUUGGGAGAAAGUACAAAUUUUUAUUUUAAAGGGAUAUAUGAAAAGGUUGAACUUUGGUUUAUGUGAUAAAGUUGAAUCAGAUAGUGUCUUUGUAACCAACCAAACCAAACCAAGUUGCAAUAUAAGGUAAGAUGGAAGUAAAUAGAAUAACUAGUAACCUAACAAUGCAAAUUAUGGUAGUUUGUUUGCAAAAAGUAAAUUUGGGACACAAAUUAACCUCAAAUUGGUGACAUGGCAUUAUUAUAGACGGGGGAAAGUUGUAUUUUCCACAACAUCUUCUUUUCUUAUAUUAUAGAUGUUUCAUUAUUAAUUUUUAAUAUUCAUGAUGCUUUUAUAAUAUUUUUAGGUUUCAUGCGAAUCACUAAUGGAAGUGUCUUGAGCGUUGAUACUCAUUAAAUAGACCACAAAGAUUUGUUUAAGGACGGAGAAAGGAAUAAAUAAACACGCUUAUAUUUUCCCUUGAUUAUUACUCAAAACCGAGGUAAAACGUGUUUCUUUUUAAAUAAAAAAUACAAAAAAAUAUAUGUUUCAUCCCAAACGCCACAUACCUCUCGAUUUCUAUAAAAAAAAUAAGGGAUGUAAGCUUUUUUAAAAAAUAAAUAAAUUAUUUACACAGAAUAUUAAAAUAAAUUGUUUAAACAAAUCUAGAUUUUAACAAUGGAUUCUUGGAGAACAACAAAUAUUUUCAAGUUAUUCUUGGAGGAUAACAAAUCUUUGUUAUUAUCCAGAUUUUGUUGUCUAUCAUUUGUGUGCAUUCUUUUCAAGUUCAAUGGAUUGUAUGCAUUGUUGAUUGUAAUUUUAAGUGUCGGGUUUUUGUUAUCGUCUCCACGGGGAUUGUGAGAUAUCGCCGCCUUUCGACAGUUGUUUUAAUUCUUAGCUUAAGGUAACAAUGGUUUUUGGUUUUAGUCACGGUANGGUCACAAAAUGGGUAUACCGAGUCGUGUUGAGUCAUGCAUGGGUGUGUGCAUUGCAAUUGAUGUGUUGUUUUGUUGAUGUUCAUGAGUUGUGAUUAUAAUGAUGAUGAUUGAUGAUGAACUGUGUUGACAUGUGUGCAAUAUGUUUAUAUUAUAUUCUGUCGUUAUAUUAUUGUUUAAUAAUGAAAUUCUCACCCCUUCUGCAUGUGUUUAUGUUCAUCUAUGAUGAGCAAUGUGCAGAUAAUGAAGAGUAGCUUUUGUUGAGGUUUGAAGAAUAAGUGUAGAGUUAUUCUACAGAGUCGAGUCAAAUGCUCUGGUCAUGUGACACCGGGGUUAUGGGAUUCGAUAGAUAAACGAGUUAUGAUUUACGUUGUCUAUGAUAUUUAAAUGUUAAGAUAUUUUAUGAAUUGUCAUAUGAUGCAUGACAUAUUCCUGAUGUUGUCCGCUGCGAAAUUUUAGCAAAAUAAAUAAUAAUUUUAUUCUCUGAUGUGAUAAGUAUUAUAUGAUGUGAAAUGUAAACUCUUCUACAUGUUGUACUCUGAUAAAUUAAUUAAAUAUGUCGUUUGGGUAGAAGGGUGUUACAAAAGCUGCACACUAAACCAAACAAAUUACAAGCACAAGUCAAAAAUUUAAAAAUUAAGCAACUAUUGUGAUGCUCGCAAUAUCAAUUCACAAUCCCCGGCAACAGCGCCAUUUUGUUGAUUGUAAUUUUAAGUGUCGGGUUUUUGUUAUCGUCUCCACAGGGAUUGUGAGAUAUCGCCGCCUUUCGACAGUUAUUUUAAUUCUUAGCUUAAGGUAACAAUGGUUUUUGGUUUUAGUCACGGUAUCUUGCAUAAAAGUGUAAGAAAAUGAGGUAAAAGAUUUGGUUUUAAUAUUUGAGAAAUAUUGCCAAAGUUAGGGUUCGACAAUCACUUUGCAUGCAUAUGUUCGAUCAACAAUACUUAUAAACUCCUUUAGAUGAUAAACUAUUUCACAAAGUCCUCCCAAUGUGUUUAUCUCUAACACACAUUGUGGGUUUUCCCAUUUUGAUCCAUUGUUUAUCUCUAACACAAUCUAUCAAAAUGACAACUUUUUGGUUUCAAACUUUAUGGUGAACAAAAUCAUUCAUUACUAUCUCUGCUAACAAAUAAGAUUGGAUGAAAACCUAGGUAAAGAGUGGUUAAACAUCUCUCGAUCUAAACCAACACAAAGAGUUAUCGAUAAAACAAAUUUUUCACCAUAUAUCAUCAUUAAAGAGUUUACAAAUGAAGAUCAUCCCAUUUACAACAAAGCUAAUUGAUAUCUACAUCUAACCUUGACAAAUGAAGAACUUAGCUACUCAUUUUUCAUGGUAGUUUGGCUCACAAAGUUUCGGAAGAAGGUUGAUCAACAUCCGAGUCGAAUAAUCGAGAUGGAUGGGAAUCCACCUUCUUUUUGUGAAAGAUGUUAAGAGAUGAAGAGAAAUGAUAAAAUGGGUUUCUAGGUCACAAAAUGAUCCAAAAGCAAUGCAGGAAAAUAUCUAGAAAAUCUAAGGUGUUGUCCAAAAAGUAGCCCUUGCUACUUAAUACUAUGGUCUGAGCUGUCAUGCUCGCUAGGCGAGCAGAAUGGCUCGCCUAGCGAGCCCCUAAAAUAGGCACCAGAGGCACCUGCGCCCAGAAAUAUCUAACUUCAGACUUCACAUGUUCGCUAGGCGAACAAAACCUUCGCUAGGCGAACAAAACCUUCGCUAGGCGAAGCCCACGCUUCCACCUUCGCUCCAGCGAGCUUAGGAGGUUUUGCUACUGGAAUUGCUCGCUGGGAGGUCGCUAAUGGCUCGCCUAGCGAGUGAGUGCUGGUUGCGCUUUUGACUAAGUCUGAACGUGUUCGCUACCACGUUCGCUGGCUGCUCGCCUAGCGAGCAUGCUGAUGAAUGCUUUCUUUUUCUUGGUCCCUUGCCAUUUUCUUAUGCCUUCAUUUUCAAUUAUUUCAUGCCUAAUUCCUGCGCAGUAACACACAAAUCAAAGGUACCAAGAUCAUUUAACAUUGUAUUGCGAUUCAUCUAAAACAAAGGCGGUUUCGAACGCUUUAGCAACAAAAAGGAGUGGAAAAUGCCCACAUUUGAUAGCUCAAAUAAGCACUUUUGGGCAUCUAACAUGCAUCCAAUUUUUGAUAAGUUAUUUGUUCCUACCAUGAUAAUUUAUUUUUAAACUUGCAAUCCAUCCUAGAGAUCUGUUCAAAGAUUUCAUUAUCUUGAGCAAAUGUUUUCAUGACAAAUGCUUUCACAAGAAAGAUAACAAGAUACACGUACCUGCAAUUUACAACAUGUUUAAGAAUAAAUUCCUCAAUAUUGUCAACCGAGAAAAACAAUAAAUCUUGGAGUGUUUUCUUUGAUUGACAACAUAGGAAGGUUAUUCCAAAAAUAAAAACAACAACAUUAACACCAUUAUAUUAUGAUGGAUGUAAGAGCAGAAAAAAUAUUGACAAAAUACCCUUUUUGGUCCCUUAACUAUGCCCUUAGGUUUAGAUUAGUCCCUUAAUUUUUUUCGUGUCAGAUUGGUCCCUUAACUCUUUAAAACUUAUCAUGUUAGUCCUUUUCGUCUAAUUGGCGACAGAAAAAUUCAAAAAUCGGUCGCUAAAUCCGCCGCUAAUUAGGCAAAAAGGACUAACUUAACACAUUUUAAAGAGUUAAGGGAUCAAUCUAACACAAAAAAAAAAUUAAGGGAUCAAUCUGAACCGAAGGGUAUAGUUAAGGAAUCAAAAAGGGUAUUUUACCAAAAAUAUUUUAUUCAAGAUAGAAGAACAUCAAAGAUUUUUCCUGUCUUGCAAUCCAUCCCAAAGCCUGAUGCAUACAAGUUUGGAGUGACUACAUAUAAGUUAGGUUUAUGAUAAAAUCUGAUUAGCGAAUGCUUUUAUAUUAAAAUUUGAUUAUGUAAUCCCUCAAUUAUUAAAGAUAAUUAAAGGAUUAGAUCAUUAAUUUAUAAAAAAAGAAAGAAAGACACCACUUUUAAAGAAAUAAAAAUAUAAACUGCUAUUGUUGGGAUUCGAAGCAUGUCCGGUCUGUAAUUAUUUUCCCUUCAAUUAUAUUUAGAAACCGAGGAAUUAUGUGGUAUUUAAUUUUUUUAAAAAUAAAACAUAGCGCGUCUUGGUUAUGUCGAUUUUUUGUUGGGUGGGUGAAAGCUUUGUCAUAAAAUAUAUUAUUUGUAGUAGUGUUCUUGUGGAAGUCCAAUAGUUUAAUUACCCCGUAGGGUGACAAGGAUCUUCUUGUGGAAUUUCAACAAUUUCAUUACCCCAUAGAACGACCAGGAUGUUCCUAUCGAAGUCCAACAAUUUAAUUAUCCCGUAUGACGGCAAGGAUCUUCAUAUAGAAGUUUAACAAUUUAAUUACUCUAUAUGGCAGGAAGGAUCUUCCCAUGAAAGUUCAAUAGUUUUAUUACCCCAUAGGGUGGCAGGGAUCUUCUUGUGGAAGUCGAACAAUUUAAUUACCACCGUAAGGCAAAAAGGAUAUACUUUUGGAAGUCUAUCAAUUUAAUUAAGGCGACAAGGAUCUUCCUGUGAAAAUUCAGCAAAUUAGUUUCGACAGUCAAACCAUAAUAACUUGUUAAAAAUAUCUUAAUCUUUUACAAGAGUUUUCAUACAUAGGCUUUGUUGCACGAUACUCUUUGAGUUCCUAAUAGAAGAUUCAAGGUAUCUCUUCUCUUGGUGAACUUGACAAGUGUCUUUUGAAGAUCGAAAAUUUCAUUUUUCAAAGUAUCACAUUCAUUAUACUUGUCAAGUUCAAUUUGUCUUUUUGUAAGGAUUUAUAUUUAUUUCUCAAGGUUUUUAUUUUUAAGUUCAAGAGAGGAAAUAAUAUCCUUGGAUGUGGAGACAAUUUGUUCCAAUUUGUUUGUUUCUUUUGUUAGUUUCUUACAAAUGCAAAAAACAUUAUGAUAAGAAAAGUAUGAGGUUACCUCAUAAUCUUGAUGAUUUACCAUGAGAUAGAUAUUGGCUUCUUCUUCAUUGUAUGAGGUUUCCAUAUCACUGUCUUCCCAUGAAGCAUAAUCUUUCUUUCCAUUUUUAUGAGUUUUCUUAUAUUUGUUUUUAUUUUUAGUUUUUUGCUAAGGGAAAUUUUGGCCCGAUUUGUCUUUUGUUUCCACAUAAGUAACAUGUUGGGAUGAAUGAGGCUUUCUCCCUAUCAUUGUCUUGUUCCUCUCUUUGUUUCUUUUCAUGCCUCAAGAAUCUUUUGAAGUUCUUUACUAUAAGGGACAUGUCACUGUUAGAGUCAGAUUCCUCUACUUUGAGUGCUAGACUUUUGUUUUUCUUUUCUCGUUUAUCAUCUAUGACAAGUUUUUUAAGUUCCAUCUCGUGUACAUGUCAUUUAAAAAAAAUAUUUGUGUGUCCAUAGUUGCUAAAUCCUUAAUGAUUAUUGGGUUUCCAACUACGGUUUAGGCAUCUAAGAAUUUUUACAACUAGUUCCUCGUUUGAAAGUGUUAUUUCCAGAGUUCUCAUAUGACAUAUGAUAUGGGUAAAUUGCCACUACUACGUAAAUGCUCUUUCACCACUGUGGAAAAAGAGAUACGAUCAUAUGACCGUGAUGACAAACUAUGUCGCACGCUACAUAUCACAAAGGUUAUCUCAAACAACCGUGGUGAAAUAUAUUAAGGUCGUGGACUUGAUUCCCAACCAUAAUAUGAUAUAUAAUAAUUGACAUUCUAGCUAUCACCAUAGUGUCUUAUUAUCUGUGGUAAAAUACUUUUUUUAAAAAUAUUCUUUUUAAUUAUUCCAUUUAUGUCCCCCUUUUUAGUACUUAUACGCUAUAUUUUACCACAAUAAAACCAACAAAUAUGCAUAUUUUUGUAACCAAAAUAUGACUAUAAAAUAUUUCCAUCAAACUCAAAAAUACAACAAAUAUAUAAUUAUAAAAUAUAGCUAUACCAAAAUGUAACCCGCCUAAAUAUUAUUUACAUUCAACAUAAAAAAAUAAUAAACUUAUAUUACAAACUUAUGUAUGAUCAACCUUACCUAUAAAACGUAUUGAAAAAAAAUAUCAAACAUGCAUAAACAUCUUUAACGUCUUUUUCUGAUAAUGAUGUAGUGUUACUAAAAAAUACAAUAAAAAAUACACAACUAAUAUUUGUUAUUAGUAAAAAGACACAACAAAUACUAUAAUUUUGUUGAUUAAUAUAAAAAAUAUUAAUACGACACAAAUAUUUAUCAUUGAAGCAUAAAAAAAACACAAGAUAAAUAUUUGAAUGACAAAAUAAAUCCGCUUCAAAUCAAAUACAAAUAUAAAUCAAAUAAAUUUUUCAUAAAAUAAUAACAAGAAAAUUUGCACAAAAAUAAUUAGAGGAUGAUGUCAUAGAACUAGAUCCAGAAUCCAUUAUGAUAUAAGAAAUAUAAUAUUUUAUUAAUAUGAUAAUAAGGCAUACAUGAGAACAAUGCUACAACAACACAACAUAAGCCAUAUAUAAUAAUUCAAACACGUUUAAAGGAAGUGAGAUUCCUUAAGUGUUUCAAUGGCUGAUCCGACACAGCAGCUUCAUAAUUGUUAGAAGAUGAACCGUCUUUGGCAGAAAGAGUGAGGUGGUAGUUGGUCCCAGCAACAACCUGUGAUUCACCUUUGAUAAGUUUCUCAAACUCCAAUGUUGCUCCUUUUUGUUUGUUGUACUCGACAACUGCGAAACGGGCUAUUUCAAUCACAUAUGGAUCAAUGAUGUUCUUUAUGGGAGUCCAACCGCCUAGUAUAGCUUGAUUCAGAGUGGCCGAAGCAAACAAAAUAAGGAAGAGGAGACUUAGGGAUUGAAAUCUCAUGAUGUCUGUUAACUUGAGAAAUCAAGAUGGUGUGAGUAAAACUCUGUGGUGUGGAGUAGUUAUAUAUAAUGUACAAAAG
Molecule: long non-coding RNA, 104578 nt
Filed under: Lathyrus oleraceus (garden pea)
Lineage: Eukaryota; Viridiplantae; Streptophyta; Magnoliopsida; Fabales; Fabaceae
Description: Pisum sativum (pea) long non-coding RNA (PSAT_LNC032302)
Source: RNAcentral